This 155388-nucleotide long non-coding RNA is filed under the name Zea mays. RNAcentral describes it as "long non-coding RNA (ZMAY_LNC000164)". Lineage: Eukaryota; Viridiplantae; Streptophyta; Magnoliopsida; Poales; Poaceae. The record is from RNAcentral.
GGCGACCUGAGCCCCGUUGACGAAAUCGUCGUCCUCUUGAACCGAGGAAGCUAUAUCUGGCAUGUAACCGUUGCUGCCUCCGAUCUCGCUUGGAUUGGCGAAGUAACUGUUCAGGUCAUCUUGGAUGGGUACGGCGGCAUCAGAGGCGGAGUCAGAUGGGGAGCCAUUGAAUGGCAUGCUGAGGGACGACAUAUCAGACACGGCAGGGAACAAUGUGUUCAUGCCAGUUACCCGCUUCACUGAGUCCUCUGCCAUCUUCACCUGAAAACAUGAUGCAUUCCCACGUUCCAUCAGAAUGGCCAAGAACACCCAAUUAGGCCUUGUUCGGUUAAUCCUGUUACCCAUGUAUUAGAUGAGAUUAGAAAAAAUUAAGAAGUUUGACUUGUUUGGAAUUUAAACCCACCUAAUCCCACCCAAUCCACAUAGAUUGAGAGCUAACCGAACAAGCCCUUACGCGUGGAAAGGCCAUGGAUUAUCUCUGAAAUCUAGGGGUGGGAGGUGAUUCACCUAGUGCUAGCAGUUGAAACAACCCAAAGUGCCUAAUUCAACAGAUGCAGGGCUCACACAGCACAGGCAAAGCAGUGUACCUUUGCUCUUAAGGUUUCAACAUCUGCCUUAAGCACCCUAUUGUCAACAGCAGCCUCAUUGAACUUCUGAUUAACGUCAGCAAGUCGCCUUAGGAGCGAAGAGUUCUCAACUCUUAACUGUGAUACCUGUAACAAGACAUGCACAACUCUAGCUCGUUAGCCAAGCCAGGGACCCAAGAACAUUUUGGAUCUGUCAAGUGUCAACACAUAAAAACAAUAGCAUAACCCAUCAGACCUGUGCCUCCAGUUCAUUCAAGUGAGCUGCCUUUCUGCUUCUCGAACGCCUGGCUGAUUCUCGGUUGGAUUGCUUCCUGGAAACAGUCAGGAAGACUGGCUCAACUCAUCUAUUCGGUUGUGGCAUCAAGCCAACACCAGUUUUACAGUAAGGCUAAAAUUAUUGCCGGCCUUAAGAACAAACAGACCACUCUAAAUGAGAAUUUGUCCACUAAAUAAUACUAGUGCCUGUAUAAGAAAACAAUGGCAAUACAAAUUACAAUUAUUAUGGCAUACAAUAUACAAGAGCGUCCACAAACUUGUCAAGGAAUGUCAUUUAGGUCCACAAACUUUAAAAAAUGUGUUUCUGAGUCACUAAACUUGUUAAGUGGUGCACUGCAGGUCCAUAACAACCAUGUUGGCAUUUUAUCUGACAUGACAUGCAUCAGGCUGGUGCGUAUUAUUAAUUGAUCCAGGUCCAGCCCGAGAUACUGCAGACACAAUACACACUGCAGUGUUAGCGUGCGUUCGUCUACAGGUGAGCCUUCGCGUCUCCCUGAGCCUCGACGCUUCAAGAACCCGUCCCAGCCUCAAGCUGCCUGUGAAGGGCUGUGGACACUCGAGCGAUGUUAGUUGUUAGUGGGGGCAGCAUAGUGGGCGUUGGCUGCGAGGCCACGGUCACCCGCUCACAAGGUCGAAGGAGGAGCAGCGGCUUCAAGUGCGGCCUUUUUUUUUUUAAAUGCAAAUAGGUGAGGCUAAAACCAUAUUUGAUUUGGCUUUUGGCAGUAGCUUUUGCCCUCAAAAAGCCAACCAAAGGGAUUGGCUCCCACCCAAAGCAACAGCCAAAAGCAACUUUUGCCUAGUACAAAUUUCAUAGCAGCCUUCCCCGGUCCCCCCUGCUUUCACUGGCCAUAGAGUUAGGAAGUCCACGAAAUUACCCACCUGCACUAGUUAUGAAGAUAACAAUUUAUUUUUUCCCAGCUGAAGCAGCCAGCCCCAGCGACCUAGACAAUCUACAGGAGGAAGAAGGUGUUGACGAGAGAGGUCCGCUUGGUGUGUGUGUGUGUGUGUGAGAGAGAGAGAGUCGAGUGGAGAGGAAUGUGGAUGACAUGUGGACAAUAUACUUAUAUAAUAUUCUAACACUCCCCCUCACGUCGAGGCUCUCUUAGCUCUCAGACGUGGAAUAGGAGCAAGCAACAAUUAUUCUUGGCUCUAAUAAUAUAUUAAGUUGUAUGCACAAACCAGUUCAACCCAAAAACUUAAUCUAAUAAAAAGAGGUGGACAAUUCACUUGUACUAUAUUCUAACAUGCUCCACAGUUUUUCCAGAAAACACAACUGCUCAACCAAACGGCUUUUGGCUUUCUCAAAGCCCACACUCAUUAACAGCUUUUCCACUACUACUUUUCCAGAACCCACAGCUCAACCAAACAUGGCCUAAGAUGAGUUAAAUGCAAAGUGGCAACAUAGUUAGCCUCAGCCUUACAGUGGCACGUCAGAUAAAAUGCCAGCAUUGCUAGUAUGGACAUGUGGUGCACCACUUAACAAGUUUAGUGAUAACAAAUGCAUUUUAAAAGUUUCUGGACCUAAGCGAGCACCCCUUGACAAGUUCAGGGGCUGCUCAUGCAUUUAACUCAAUAUACAAUGUUGGCCAUAAAGUCAUGAUGCACACACAUUUCACAAACAGGUAAAAAAGAUCACCUUCUCUGUAAUCUGUGUUGAACAGGGUUUCCAUUUCCAGUAGUCUCAGCAUCUCCUUCCAUGUCAUCAUCGUCUGACUGCUCACGUGAGGAAGAGCUAGUGGUUUGCUUAACAGGGAUAUCGGCAUUUUGUACUACAUGUGGACUUGAUCCCCCGCCUGGAGCACCAACUAGCUUGUUUUGAACUAGACUUCCAGUACCUGAUACGUGCCCAAUAUCCAAUCCAGACCAUACUUCAGUCAUUCAACCAGAUGUCAUACAUAUAAGUUAGAAGGCUAGCAUUUACAGUGUGUGCAUGUUUACCCAAAUAAAAUAGCAACAUGUCAGUGAAAUCACGAUUAAGCUACUUGGUCCAAUUGUGAAGCUAAGUGCACGUGCAUACCUUGCAUAGUAAUGGACGACACACCAUAAAGAUACAACCAUAAAGGCUUCAUAAUCACAAGGUGUUUUGUUUUGAAAACUCAACAACAGAACAUCAAGUUCCCCAUGGUUUACUAAAUCGAUUAGACCGGGGAUGGGAGAUGGGACGUAGGAAAAAAAGGCGGUCGGGCGCGCCCUUGUCGUCUUCCUCCUUCGCCGUAGUGGACCGGAGUUCUCUUGGGCCGAUUUCCCACGCUCCGCACGCUCCUCGUGCUAUCCCUCUCUCGCGUUUCAUAGGCAGGCGGGUCUCCGGGUGAGAAGGUCUCUGGCGCGGCCCAGAAGGAUUCCUGUCCCUCGUCGCGCGAUACAGUGACUUCUACAGGUACCGCGUUAGGGUUUCCUUCUGACUUCGUCGGAUCGUAUUCCUUUCCGCAUCUCGCCUCUUCGCUCUCUCGGCUCUGGUCUCUCCCGUCGUCGGUUCGCUCCAGUUUCCACGGUGGCUGGUUCGAGUCCCCGAUCCGUCCUCCGCUGGUGGAAGAGGAGUGGCCGCCUCUGCCUCGCUUGGCGUCCGUGUUGAAGAUGGAUCCAAAAGGUCGAAACCCUAAUUGGGAUCGGUGGGGACCGAAAGAGGUGCCUCAAGGAUCUCAAUCUUGGAACAAGAAUCGAAAUCUCAGUUGGAGAUUGAAGCCAAAUCUUGGCAAAUCUGACAUCAAGGAAGACAUUGUGACUUUUCUGGCGAUGGGGCCAAUCAGGUAUUCUCAAAACCCCUCCCCUGCUUUGAAAAAAGAGAUUGAUAAUGUUCGUCGCCCUUUCUGUCAAAAAUGCGGGGUGGAGGGUCAUCAUGCUAGAGAUUGUUUCAAGUCUCUGUGGUGCGAUAUUUGUCGCAAAGAAACUCAUGUGAAUGCUCGUUGUGUCCUUCCCAAACAAAACAAGCCAUGCAUGCCUAUUGUUGGUAUGGCGGCUGACGGGUUAAGGUUUUAUUCUUCCCAUUUUGCGAAAUCCUUAUCUAGAAAACCGAAAAGGAGCUUCAUCGGUUUGGGGAAAGUUGUUGAGGGGUUGAUUUCUGCAGAAGAUCUUGAGAAGGAUUUUGGUUUUCAUUUCCCGUGGGGCAAAACUUGGAAAGCAACCAAGUGUCACGCCGGGUUCUUGAUGCAGUUUCCUUCUCAGGAGAAGUUAGAUGAGAUGAUUAAUUUUCCUGGACUUAAAAUGAAAAUGUCCGGGGCAAAAAUUUCAGUCUCUUAUUGGAGCUCACAGGCUAAACCUAAAUCCAAGCUUCAUUUUGUGUGGAUUGUGGCGGAAAAUGUCCCUGAGGAACUCCAAAAUUACCAAGCUAUUUGUGAGUUGGGGUCAACAAUUGGGUCUGUUGAAGAGGUGGAUAUCUUAUCUUUAGACACUAAAGAUAUUGUGAGAUUCAAAGUGCAUGUCAAAAGUGUUGCUAUGAUUCCACCAAUUAUAGAGGUAGGUGUUAAACCCUUCCUCUAUGACAUAUACUUUAAAAUUGAUGAUAUCACUAAUGAGGGAUGGAAUGAUGAAUCUAUAAAUCUUGGUGAUAGUCGCCUAGAGGGGGGGUGAAUAGGGCGAAACUGAAAUUUACAAAUAUAAACACAACUACAAGCCGGGGUUAGCGUUAGUAAUAAUAAAUGAGUCCGCAAGAGAGGACGCAAAACAAAUCGCAAGCAAAUAAAGAGAGUGACACGUGGAUUUGUUUUACCGAGGUUCGGUUCUUGCAAACCUACUCCCCGUUGAGGAGGCCACAAAGGCCGGGUCUCUUUCAACCCUUCCCUCUCUCAAACGGUCCCUCGGACCGAGUGAGCUUUCCUUCUUCUCAAUCAACCGGGAACAAAACCUCCCCGCAAGGGCCACCACACAAUCGGUGCCUCUUGCCUCGGUUACAAUUGAGUGUUGAUCACAAGAGCAAAAGAGAAAGAAAGAAUGCGAUCCAAGCGCAAGAGCUCAAAAAACACGGCAAAUCUCUCUCGCUAGUCACUAAAGGCUUGAGUGGAAUUGGAGAGGAUUUGAUCUCUUUGUAUGUGUCUAGAAUUGAAUGCCUAGCUCUUGUAAGUGGUUGAGAAGUGGGAAAACUUGGAUGGCAAUGAAUGUGGAGUGGUUUGGGUAUUUAUAGCCCCAACCACCAAAUGUGGCCGUUGCUGGGAGCUCUCUGUUCGAUGGCGCACCGGACAGUCCGGUGCACACCGGACAGUCCGGUGCCCCCUGCCACGUCAUCGUUGCCGUUGGAUUCUGACCGUUGGAGCUCUGACAUGUGGGCCUGCCGAGGUGUCCGGUGCACACCGGACAUGCACUGUUUGAUGUCCGGUGCACCGGUAUGGGCGCGCCUGCCGACUGCGCGCGCAGAGCGCGCAUUAAAUGCGCUAGCAGGUGACCGUUGUCGCGGAAGUAGCCGUUGCUCCGUGGUUCACCGGACAGUCCGGUGCACACCGGACAGUCCGGUGAAUUAUAGCGGAGCGGCUGCCGCGCGAACCCGAGGCUGGCGAGUUCCGGAGGCCGCGGUUCCUUGGAGCACCGGACAUGUCCGGUGCACACCGGACAGUCCGGUGAAUUAUAGCGCGCCGGCUUCCGAGAAUUCCCGAAGGCGAAGAGUUUGGGUCUAAGUCCCCUGGUGCACCGGACAGGUACUGUUCACUGUCCGGUGGCACACCGGACAGUCCGGUGCGCCAGACCAGGGGUGCCCUCGGUUCCCCCUUUGCUCCUUUAUUGAAUCCAAAACUUGGUCUUUUUAUUGGCUGAGUGUGAACCUUUUGCACCUGUAUAACUUAUACACUAGAGCAAACUAGUCAGUCCAAUAUUUGUGUUGGACAAUUCAACCACCAAAAUUAUUUAGGAACUAGGUGUAAGCCUAAUUCCCUUUCAAUCUCCCCCUUUUUGGUGAUUGAUGCCAACACAAACCAAAGCAAAUAUAGAAGUGCAUAAUUGAACUAGUUUACAUGACGUAAGUGCAAAGGUUACUUGGAAUUGAGCCAAUAUAACUACUUACAAGAUAUGCAAGGAAUGUUUCUUUCUUAUGUAACAUUUUGGACCACGUUUGCACCACAUGUUUUGUUUUUGCAAAUUCUUUUUGUAAAUCCAUUUCAAAGAUCUUUUGCAAAUAGUCAAAGGUACAUGAAUAAGAGUUUGCAAAGCAUUUUCAAGAUUUGAAAUUGUCUCCCCCUAUUUUAAAUGCUUUUUCUUUGACUAAACAAAACUCCCCCUAAAAGAGAUCCACCUCUUAGUGUUCAAGAGGGUUUUGAUAUACCAUUUUUGAAAUACUACUUUCUCCCCCUUUUGAACACAAUAGGAUACCAAAUGAUGAAGACUUUUGGAAAGCACUAAGUUUUUUGAAUUUGGUGGUGGUGGUGCGGUCCUUUUGCUUUGGGCUCAUUUCUCCCCCUUUUUGGCAUGAAUCGCCAAAAACGGAAUCAUUAGAGCCCUCGAAGUGCAAUCUUCCCUUUGGUCAUAAAUAAGUGAGUUAAGAUUAUACCAAAGACGAAGUCCUUUUGCGUUUGAGCUUUUACUCUCUCCCCCAAGGAUGAAGUCCUUUUCCUUGAUGCUCAUUUCUCCCCCAAGGACGAGAGAGUUGCUCGGAGUGAUGGCGAAGCAUGAGUUACGGAGUGGAAGCCUUUGUCUUCGCUGAAGACUCCAAUUUCCUUUCAAUAUACCUAUGACUUGGUUUGAAAUCGACUUGAAAACACAUUAGUCAUAGCAUAUAAAGGAGAUAUGAUCAAAGGUAUUCAAAAGAGCUAUGUGUGCAAGCUUUAGCAAAAGAAAUUUCUAGAAUCAAGAAUAUUGAGCUCAUGCCUAAGUCUGGUAAAAGAUUGUUCAUCAAGUGGCUUGGUAAAGAUAUCGGCUAAUUGAUCUUUAGUAUUAAUGUAAGAAAUCUCGAUAUCCCCCUUUUGUUGGUGAUCCCUAAGAAAAUGAUACCGAAUGGCUAUGUGCUUAGUGCGGCUAUGCUCGACGGGAUUGUCGGCCAUUUUGAUUGCACUCUCAUUAUCACAUAGCAAAGGGACUUUGGUUAAUUUGUAACCGUAGUCCCGCAGGGUUUGCCUCAUCCAAAGCAAUUGCGCGCAACAAUGUCCUGCGGCAAUGUACUCGGCUUCGGCGGUGGAAAGAGCGACCGAAUUUUGCUUCUUUGAAGCCCAAGACACCAAGGAUCUUCCCAAGAACUGGCAAGUCCCCGAUGUGCUCUUCCUAUUGAUUUUGCACCCUGCCCAAUCGGCAUCCGAAUAACCAAUCAAAUCAAAUGUGGAUCCCCGAGGGUACCAAAGCCCAAACUUAGGUGUAUAAGCCAAAUAUCUCAAGAUUCGUUUUACGGCCGUAAGGUGUGAUUCCUUAGGGUCGGAUUGGAAUCUUGCACACAUGCAAACGGAAAGCAUAAUGUCCGGUCGAGAUGCACAUAAAUAAAGCAAUGAACCAAUCAUCGACCGGUAUACCUUUUGAUCCACGGACUUACCUCCCGUGUCGAGGUCGAGAUGCCCAUUAGUUCCCAUGGGUGUCUUGAUGGGUUUGGCAUCCCUCAUCCCAAACUUAGCAAGAAUGUCUUGAGUGUACUUCGUUUGGCUAAUGAAGGUGCCCUCUUGGAGUUGCUUGACUUGGAAUCCUAGAAAAUACUUCAACUCCCCCAUCAUCGACAUCUCGAAUUUCUGUGUCAUGAUCCUACUAAACUCUUCACAUGUAGACUCGUUAGUAGACCCAAAUAUAAUAUCAUCAACAUAAAUUUGGCAUACAAACAAGUCAUUUUCAAGAGUUUUAGUAAAGAGUGUAGGAUCGGCCUUGCCGACUUUGAAGCCAUUAGCAAUAAGGAAAUCUCUAAGGCAUUCAUACCAUGCUCUUGGGGCUUGCUUGAGCCCAUAAAGCGCCUUAGAGAGCCUAUAGACAUGAUUAGGAUACUCACUGUCUUCAAAGCCGGGAGGUUGCUCAACAUAGACCUCUUCCUUGAUUGGUCCAUUGAGGAAGGCACUUUUCACGUCCAUUUGAUAGAGCUUAAAGCCAUGGUAAGUAGCAUAGGCCAAUAAUAUGCGAAUUGACUCAAGCCUAGCUACGGGUGCAUAGGUUUCACCAAAAUCCAAACCUUCGACUUGUGAAUACCCUUUGGCCACAAGUCGAGCUUUGUUCCUUGUCACCACACCAUGCUCAUCUUGCUUGUUGCGGAAGACCCAUUUGGUUCCUACAACAUUUUGGUUAGGACGUGGAACUAAAUGCCAUACCUCAUUCCUCGUGAAAUUGUUGAGCUCCUCUUGCAUUGCCACCACCCAAUCCGAAUCUUGGAGAGCUUCCUCUACCCUGUGUGGCUCAAUAGAGGAAACAAAAGAGUAAUGUUCACAAAAAUGAGCAACCCGAGAUCGAGUAGUUACCCCCUUAUGAAUGUCGCCGAGGAUGGUGUCGACGGGGUGAUCUCGUUGGAUUGCUUGGUGGACUCUUGGGUGUGGCGGUCUUGGUUCUUCCUCAUCCUCCUUUUCUUGAUCAUUUGUAUCUCCCCCUUGAUCAUUGCUAUCAUCUUGAGGUGGCUCGUCUUCUUGAUUUUGCUCUUCAUCAUUUUGAGCCUCAUCCUCAUUUUGAGUUGGUGGAGAUGCUUGCAUGGAGGAGGAUGGUUGAUCUUGUGUACUUGGAGGCUCUUCGGAUUCCCUAGGACACACAUCCCCAAUGGACAUGUUCCUAAGCGCUAUGCAUGGAGCCUGUUCUUCACCUACUUCAUCAAGAUCAACUUGCUCUACUUGAGAGCCGUUAGUUUCAUCAAACACAACGUCACAUGAGACUUCAACUAGUCCAGUGGACUUGUUAAAGACCCUAUAUGCCCUUGUGUUUGAGUCAUAACCAAGUAAAAAGCCUUCUACAGUUUUAGGAGCAAAUUUAGAUUUUCUACCUCUUUUAAUAAGAAUGAAGCAUUUGCUACCAAAAACUCUAAAAUAUGAAAUGUUGGGCUUUUUACCGGUUAGGAGUUCAUAUGAUGUCUUCUUGAGGAUUCGGUGAAGAUAUAACCGGUUGAUGGCGUAGCAGGCGGUGUUGACCGCUUCGGCCCAAAACCGGUCCGGUGUCUUGUACUCAUCAAGCAUGGUUCUUGCCAUGUCCAAUAGAGUUCGAUUCUUCCUCUCUACUACACCGUUUUGUUGUGGCGUGUAGGGAGAAGAGAACUCAUGCUUGAUGCCCUCCUCCUCAAGGAAGCUUUCAAUUUGAGAGUUCUUGAACUCCGUCCCAUUGUCGCUUCUUAUUUUCUUGAUCCUUAAGCCGAACUCAUUUUGAGCUCGUCUCAAGAAUCCCUUUAAUGUCUCUUGGGUUUGAGAUUUUUCCUGUAAAAAGAAUACCCAAGUGAAGCGAGAAUAAUCAUCCACAAUAACUAGACAGUACUUACUCCCGCCGAUGCUUAUGUAAGCGAUCGGGCCGAAUAUAUCCAUGUGUAGGAGCUCCAGUGGCCUGUCAGUCGUCAUUAUGUUCUUGUGUGGAUGAUGAGUGCCAACUUGCUUCCCUGCUUGGCAUGCGCUACAAAUCCUGUCUUUCUCAAAAUGAACAUUGGUUAGUCCUAAAAUGUGCUCUCCCUUUAGAAGCUUAUGAAGAUUCUUCAUCCCAACAUGGGCUAGUCGGCGAUGCCAGAGCCAACCCAUGUUAGUCUUAGCAAUUAAACAUGUGUCGAGCUCAGCUCUAUCAAAAUCUACUAAGUAUAGCUGACCCUCUAACACACCCUUAAAUGCUAUUGAAUCAUCACUUCUUCUAAAGACAGUGACACCAAUAUCAGUAAAAAGACAGUUGUAGCCCAUUUUACAUAAUUGGGAUACAGAAAGCAAAUUGUAAUCUAAAGAAUCAACGAGAAAAACAUUGGAAAUAGAAUGGUCAGGAGAUAUAGCAAUUUUACCCAAGCAUUUGACCAAACCUUGAUUUCCAUCCCCGAAUGUGAUAGCUCGUUGGGGAUCUUGGUUUUUCUCAUAUGAGGAGAACAUUCUUUUCUCCCCGGUCAUAUGGUUUGUGCACCCACUGUCGAGUAUCCAACUUGAGCCCCCGGAUGCAUAAACCUACAAAACAAGUUUAGUUCUUUGUUUUAGGUACCCAAACGGUUUUGGGUCCUUUGGCAUUAGAAAUGAGAACUUUGGGUACCCAAACACAAGUCUUGGAGCCCUUGUGCUUGCCCCCAACAAAUUUGGCAACUACCUUGCCGGAUUUGCUAGUAAGUACAUAAGAUGCAUCAAAAGUUUUAAAUGAAAUGGCAUGAUCAUUUGAUGCAUUAGGAGUUUUCUUUCUAGGCAACUUGGCACGGGUUGGUUGCCUAGAGCUAGAUGUCUCACCCUUAUACAUAAAAGCAUGGUUAGGGCCAGAGUGAGACUUCCUAGAGUGAAUUCUCCUAAUUUUGCUCUCGGGAUAACCGGCAGGGUACAAAAUGUAACCCUCGUUAUCCUGAGGCAUGGGAGCCUUGCCCUUAACAAAGUUAGACAAAUUUUUAGGUGGGGCAUUAAGUUUGACAUUGUCUCCCCUUUGGAAGCCAAUGCCAUCCUUGAUGCCAGGACGUCUCCCAUUAUAGAGCAUGCUUCUAGCCAAUUUAAAUUUUUCAUUUUCUAAGUCAUGCUCUCUAAUCUUAGCAUUUAGUUGAGCUAUGUGAUCAUUUUGUUUAUUAAUUAAGGCUAGGUGAUCAUGGAUAGCAUCAACAUUAAUAUCUCUACAUCUAGUACAAAUGGAAAUAUGCUCAACAUUAGAUGUAGAGGGUUUGCAAGAUUUUAGUUCAACAACCUUAGCAUGCAACAUAUCAUUUUUAGUUCUAAGGUCGGAAAUAGUAGCAUUGCAAACAUCAAAAUCCUUAGCCUUAGCAAUUAGUUUCUCAUUCUCAUUUCUAAGGCUAGCAAUGGAAACAUUUAACUCAUCAAUCCUAGCAAGUAAAUCAACAUUAUCAUUUCUAGGAUCAAUGCAAACAUGAGAAUCUACCUUAGCAAUUAAUUUAGCAUUUUCACUUCUAAGGUUGGUAAUAGUGUCAUGGCACAUGCUUAGCUCACUAGAUAAUUUGUUACAUUUUUCUACUUCUAGAGCAUAAGCAUUUUUAACCUUAACAUGUUUCUUAUUUUCCUUGAUUAGGAAGUCCUCUUGGGAGUCCAAGAGAUCAUCCUUUUCAUGGAUGGCACUAAUUAGUUCAUUUAAUUUUUCCUUUUGUUCCAUGUUAAGGUUAGCAAAAAGAAUGCGCAAGUUAUCCUCCUCAUUUUUAUCAUCAUCCUCAUCACUAGAUGUUUCAUAUUUAGUGGAGGACCUUGAUUUUACCUUCUUUUUGCCGUCCUUGGCCAUGAGACACUUGUGGCCGCCGUUGGGGAAGAGAAGGCCUUUGGUGAUGGCGAUGUUGGCGGCGUCCUCGUCGUCGGAGGAGUCGCUUGAGCUUUCGUCGGAGUCCCACUCCCGACAAACAUGGGCAUCGCCGCCCUUCUUCUUGUAAUACUUCUUCUUCUCCUUUCUUCUUCCCUUCUUGUCGUCGCCCCUGUCACUGUCACUAGACAUAGGACAUUUUGCAAUAAAGUGACCGGGCUUACCACACUUGUAGCAAACCUUCUUGGAACGGGGUUUGUAGUCCUUCCCCUUCCGUUGCUUGAGGAUUUGCCUAAAGCUUUUGAUGAUUAGGGCCAUCUCCUCAUUGUCGAGCUUGGAGGCGUCAAUUGGUUGUCUACUUGGUGUAGACUCUUCCUUCUUCUCCUCCGUUGCCUUAAAGGCCACCGGUUGCACCUCGGAGGUGGAAGGCUCGUCAAGCUCGUUGAUCUUCUUGGAGCCCUUAAUCAUGCAUUCAAAACUCACAAAAUUCCCGAUAACUUCCUCGGGGGUCAUUAGUGGAUAUCUAGGAUUCCCACGAAUUAAUUGUACUUGAGUGGGGUUAAGGAAAAUAAGAGCUCUUAGAAUAACCUUAACCACUUCGUGGUCAUCCCAUUUUGUGCUCCCGAGGUUGCGUACUUGGUUCACCAAGGUCUUGAGCCGGUUGUACAUGUCUUGUGGCUCCUCCCCUUGGCGAAGACGGAAGCGACCGAGCUCCCCCUCGAUCGUUUCCCGCUUGGUGAUCUUGGUGAGUUCAUCACCCUCGUGCGCCGUCUUGAGUAGGUCCCAAAUCUCCUUGGCGUUCUUCAAUCCUUGUACUUUGUUGUAUUCCUCCUUGCUUAGGGAGGCAAGGAGGAUGGUUGCGGCUUGGGAGUUGAAGUGCUCGAUUUGGGCCACUUCGUCCGUGUCAUAGUCCUCAUCCCCUAUUGAUGGUACCUGUACACCAUACUCAACAACAUCCCAUAUACUCUUGUGGAGAGAGGUUAGAUGAAAUCGCAUUAAAUUACUCCACAUAGCAUAAUCUUCACCAUUAAAAGUUGGUGGUUUACCUAAUGGGACGGAAAGUAGAGGUGUAUGUUUAGGAACACGAGGAUAGCGUAGGGGAAUCUUACUAUACUUCUUACGCUCUUGGCGUUUAGAAGUGACGGACGCCGCGUCGGAGCCGGAGGUAGAUGUCGAUGAAGUAUCGGUCUCGUAGUAGACCACCUUCCUCAUCCUCUUGUGCUUGUCCCCACUCCGAUGUGGUUUGUGAGAAGAAGAUUUUUCCUUCUUCUCCUUGUGGUGAGAAGAGGAAGAUCUUUUCUCCUUCCGCUUGGAGGAGUUCUUCUUCUCCCUUUUCUUGGUGCGGGACUCUUCCGAUGAGGUGCUCCCUUGGCUUGUAGUGGGCUUGUCGCCGGUCUCCAUCUCCUUCUUGGCGUGAUCUCCCGACAUCACUUCGAGCGGUUAGGCUCUAAUGAAGCACCGGGCUCUGAUACCAAUUGAUAGUCGCCUAGAGGGGGGGUGAAUAGGGCGAAACUGAAAUUUACAAAUAUAAACACAACUACAAGCCGGGGUUAGCGUUAGUAAUAAUAAAUGAGUCCGCAAGAGAGGACGCAAAACAAAUCGCAAGCAAAUAAAGAGAGUGACACGUGGAUUUGUUUUACCGAGGUUCGGUUCUUGCAAACCUACUCCCCGUUGAGGAGGCCACAAAGGCUGGGUCUCUUUCAACCCUUCCCUCUCUCAAACGGUCCCUCGGACCGAGUGAGCUUUCCUUCUUCUCAAUCAACCGGGAACAAAACCUCCCCGCAAGGGCCACCACACAAUCGGUGCCUCUUGCCUCGGUUACAAUUGAGUGUUGAUCACAAGAGCAAAAGAGAAAGAAAGAAUGCGAUCCAAGCGCAAGAGCUCAAAAAACACGGCAAAUCUCUCUCGCUAGUCACUAAAGGCUUGAGUGGAAUUGGAGAGGAUUUGAUCUCUUUGUAUGUGUCUAGAAUUGAAUGCCUAGCUCUUGUAAGUGGUUGAGAAGUGGGAAAACUUGGAUGGCAAUGAAUGUGGAGUGGUUGGGGUAUUUAUAGCCCCAACCACCAAAUGUGGCCGUUGCUGGGAGCUCUCUGUUCGAUGGCGCACCGGACAGUCCGGUGCACACCGGACAGUCCGGUGCCCCCUGCCACGUCAUCGUUGCCGUUGGAUUCUGACCGUUGGAGCUCUGACAUGUGGGCCUGCCGAGGUGUCCGGUGCACACCGGACAUGCACUGUUUGAUGUCCGGUGCACCGGUAUGGGCGCGCCUGCCGACUGCGCGCGCAGAGCGCGCAUUAAAUGCGCUAGCAGGUGACCGUUGUCGCGGAAGUAGCCGUUGCUCCGUGGUUCACCGGACAGUCCGGUGCACACCGGACAGUCCGGUGAAUUAUAGCGGAGCGGCUGCCGCGCGAACCCGAGGCUGGCGAGUUCCGGAGGCCGCGGUUCCUUGGAGCACCGGACAUGUCCGGUGCACACCGGACAGUCCGGUGAAUUAUAGCGCGCCGGCUUCCGAGAAUUCCCGAAGGCGAAGAGUUUGGGUCUAAGUCCCCUGGUGCACCGGACAGGUACUGUUCACUGUCCGGUGGCACACCGGACAGUCCGGUGCGCCAGACCAGGGGUGCCCUCGGUUCCCCCUUUGCUCCUUUAUUGAAUCCAAAACUUGGUCUUUUUAUUGGCUGAGUGUGAACCUUUUGCACCUGUAUAACUUAUACACUAGAGCAAACUAGUCAGUCCAAUAUUUGUGUUGGACAAUUCAACCACCAAAAUUAUUUAGGAACUAGGUGUAAGCCUAAUUCCCUUUCACUUGGCAAAAGAGCUUCGGUGGACAGACAAGGUCUUGAUGAUCCUUCUUAUGAAAAAACUGGCAAAAAAGCUAGAAAUAUAGGGGACAAGUCUGUUAAGGAAGAGAUGAGGCUCGAAAAUAUUGGUGAUAUGAUGUCUCAAGGCAAAUCUUCUGGUCGGGGAUCUGACUUGGGUGAUAACAAUGAAGACCUGAAUCCUGUGACUGAAGAUAAAGGUUAUGAUAAUAACCCUAUAAAUGAAGAUGAGGAGUUCCAUAAGAGUGAAGAUGACCUUCUGAGUGAGAUUUGGAGGAAUUUGCCAAAGAUGAGGAGGUGGUUUUACCUCCACCCCAAGAAAAAAUCAGCAAGUCCUUAGUGGGUGCUCAAGUUGAAGGCUCUGGAAAAACUGAAGCUGAAAAACAAGUUAUAAAUAUGGAAGUGAAUCAUGGUGAAGGCAUUAGGAGGAGCAGCAGACUUGAAUCCAAUGAUGACAUGAAGAUUGCUGACAAAGCUGCGACAAGAGCUAUGGCUAAAGAUGCUUUCAUGAACAAAGGUAUGAAUUCAAAUCCUUUUUCUGUUCUUAAUACUGAAAAUUCUGUGCUUAUGUCGAUUGCUUCAGAAUUAGGAAUAGUUUUAGGUAAUUCUUCUACUGAUUCUAUGGUAAAUUUGGAAUUGAUCAAGUCUUUAGAGUUAUCCAGGAAUAGUCUUGCCAUUCAAUCUGUCAAAAAAUCUGUAGAGCAUAAUCUCCAAGCUGGUUCUGACUCUGAAAUGGAUAAAUCUAUCCAAAAUGAGGAUGGCAACAAUGAGUUGACUGACUUGGAUGAUGUUAUGGUCCUGAGAAAAGGCAGGAAAAUUCGUUAUAAAAAAAAUCAGUCAAGAAGAAGAAAAAAAGGUCUUUCCCCAAAAUUAGGUAUUCACCUAAUAAAGGGAAAGGGAUCCCCUCUGACUUCAAACUCAAUUAUUCAGAAUGAUUGGUCUUAUUUGGAAUUGUCAGGGGUUAGGAAAAGAGGUAAAAAUUGAAUUCUUAAAGGAAUUGAUUAGAAAAGAAAGAAUUGAUUUUAUUGGUUUACAAGAAACUAAUAAAAAUCCUUUGAGGAUUCUUGGCUGAACUCUAUUAGUGGUAAUAGAAAUUUUGCCUGGUUUUGGACGCCUGCAAAUGGUAGAUCUGGUGGCCUUCUUGUAGGUUUUAAUGCAGAUGCUUUUGAUGUUAGAGAAACUGAAAUGGGUGAUUUCAUGAUAAAAGUUCUUUUGGUUCAUAAAGAAAAUGGUUUCAUUUGGAAUUUUAUUAAUGUUUAUGGUGCUGUUCAAAAAUUCCUUAUUGAGUUGUCGUCUUUCUGUUCCAAAUGUAAAUAUCCCAUAUUGGUUGGCGGUGAUUUUAAUAUUCUAAGGAAAGAGUCUGAUAAAAACAAGCCUGGGGAACUAACAGUUGGAGUUCCCUGUUUAAUUCUAUCAUUGAUAUUCAUAGUCUGAUUGAACUUGAUUUGAGUGGUAGAUUAUAUACAUGGUCCAACAACAGAGAUCCUCCCACCUUUGAAAAAUUGGAUAGAUUUCUGGCUAGUCCAGAGUGGGUCCUUCAAUUAAAAAAUAUGUCGGUUACUGGUCUUAACAGGACUUUCUCUGAUCAUGUUCCUUUGUGCCUCAAAAUUGAUUCUCUUUCCAUCUUGAUAUGAGAUUUUAGAUAUGAGCUUUGCUGGAAGCUUAGACUGGAUUUCAAAGAUCUUGUCUGGAAUAAUUGGUCUCUUCCGGUCAGAAGUCGAUCAAGUAUCGAUAUUUGGAAAGAGAAAAAUAAGAGAUUGAAAAAAACGUUGAAAGGGUGGAACAUCAAUGUGGAAGGAAGAUAUUCUAGACUUAAAAAAGAUUUAUUGCAAAAAUUGAUAGCUUAGAUAAAAAAGUGAAAGUACUGGUAUUUCGGUCUCGGAAAGACUUGAAAAGCUUGAUAUGGAAUGUAAUUUAAAAAAUAUGAUGGCUGAAGAAGGUUGUAAGAGAAAGCAAAUGGCGAGAGAAAAAUUUAUUAAUGAGGGUGAUGAGAAUUCUAGGUACUUUCAUCUUAUUGCCAAAGGGAAAAGAAGAGUUAAAAUCCUCUCCUUAGUUCAUGAGGAGGACACAGUCGUUGAUGACAAUGGUAUUAAUAGAGUUGCUACUGCUUUCUAUAAAGAUCUUUUUGGUCCUUCUGUUCCUUCUAGUAUAAAUAUGUCGAAUUUACAUAUGAAUAAAUUAAAUGAUGAGGAUCGAGCUUUGCUCACUGGACCUUUUUCUAUUGAGGAAAUUAAGAAGGUUGUGUUUGGUCUAAAGCACAAUAGCGCCCCUGGUCCUGAUGGUUUUCCAGCAGAAUUUUUUCAAGAUUUUUGGGAUCUCAUUCACAUUGAUCUGUGGAAUUUAUUCAAGGAUUUUUAUGGAGGGGUGCUUGAUAUUAAAAGACUUAACUUUGGGUUAGUGACUCUUUUACCUAAAGUGGAUAACCCUGUCGACAUGAGGAAUUUCAGACCUAUCUGUCUCUUGAAUGUCUGUUAUAAGAUCAUUACCAAAGUUCUGACUAAUAGACUUUCUACUUGCAUUACUAAAGUGAUUAGUGAGUAUCAAUAUGACUUUAUUAAAGGGAGGUACAUUAUGGAUAGUGUGGUUUCCCUUAAUGAAAUUCUUCACGAAGUAAGACAGAAAAAACAAAGUGGUGUGGUUCUUAAAAUUGACUUUGAAAAAGCGUAUGAUAAAGUUAAUUGGCAAUUUCUUCAUUAUAUGAUGGAAAAUAAAGGUUUUGGGGAUAUAUGGUGUGAUUGGGUUAUGAGAACUGUCAGAGGUGGUAAAGUUGCCAUCAAAACUAAUGAUGUUGUUGGUCGGUUGGCCCCGGUCUCAAAAAAAGGGUGGGCCAUAUCUCCUCUCAGCUUGGGAUGGCACGGGAAAUUAUGCACAAGUUGCAGUCUGCUCAAGAUAUCAGACCCUUGUCAGUGCUAGAAAAUUGGCCGUUGAAGCAGCUUGAUGGUCAUGUUGUGGCCCUUUCAACCUUGCAACGUUCUAUGGCUCGGAGCCGCUCUAGGAUUACCUGGUUGGCUAAGGGGGAUGCUAACACUGCCUUCUUCCACCUCCACGCUAAAUACCGCAAAGGCAAGAAUUUUAUUGGUAAUCUGUUAUCCGACGAUGGUUUAAUAAAGUCAAGGCAUGAGGACAAGGAGGAAACUAUAAGUGAUUUUUUCCACAAUUCGCUGGGUUGUUCGUCUGAUCGAGCUCAUACUAUUGAUUUGGAUCAUCUCCAAAUUCCUUCUCAUGAUCUCUCUUCGCUGGACAGCCCCUUCACGGAAGAUGAAGUCUGAAAAACAGUCCUUUCUCUACCUUCAAACAAGGCUCCUGGCCCGAAUGGUUUUACUGGGAAAUUUUAUAAGUCGUGCUGGCAUAUUAUUAAAGGAGAUAUUAUGGCAGCUGCUAUGGCUGUUUGGAACAGAAAUCGGGGAAAUCUGGAACUUCUCAAUUCAGCAUACAUCAUUCUUCUACCCAAAAAAAGAUGAUGUAUGUCAUGUCAAAGAUUUUCGGCCUAUAAGCUUGGUCCACUCAUUUGCUAAGCUUAUUACAAAGCUUUUGGCAAAUAGGCUGGCCCAAUCCCUGGAUAAUAUGGGUUCGCAGAAUCAAAGUGCUUUUAUUAAAGGCAGAUCCAUUCUGGAUAAUUUCAUGCUUGUGCAAAAGACAGCGAAGUUAUUUCACCAGAAAAAGUGUGCAAGGAUCCUCCUUAAGUUGGAUAUCACCAAAGCUUUUGACUCUGUCUCGUGGCCCUUCCUCCUGGAGGUCUUAAAGCAUUUGGGUUUCGGGCAAAUUUGGUGCGAUAUUGUUAGCAUUCUUCUUGCUUCUGCCUCUUCCCAAGUAAUGCUUAAUGGUAAACCAUGUAGGAGAAUUAUUCAUAGACGUGGUCUUUGGCAGGGGGACCCUCUCUCCCCAAUGUUGUUCAUACUGGUUAUGGAUGUGCUAGGCUAUUUAAUUAAGGAGGCUGCUAAUGAUGGUUUGAUGGUGCCUCUGAUAGAAAAUUCAGUUCAUAACCGUAUUUCUAUUUAUGCUGAUGAUGUGGUGAUUUUCCUCCACCCGGUGGCUCUUGAUUUAGUAAUCACCAUGGACAUUAUCAGGAUUUUUGGGGAGGCAGCUGGGCUCAAAGUGAAUAUGGCAAAGAGCAGCGUUUUCCCCAUCCACUGUACUGCUGAAAAUCUGGAUACCAUUCAUAAUCUGCUGCCAUGCGUUGUUGCCAACUUCCCCUGCAAAUAUUUGGGGGUGCCUCUAUCCUUAAAGAAGCUCGACAGACAGCACUUACAGCCAUUCAUUGAUAAAAUUGCACAUCGUCUUCCCUGCUGGAAAGCUGAUCUGUUGACUAGAGUUGGAAGACUGAUUAUUGUCCAGAUUGUCCUGUCUUCAAUGAAUAUCUACUUAAUGAUGGCCAUGGACCUUCCUUCUUGGGUUUUCAAAGCAAUUGACAAGAUCAGAAGGAAUUUCCUGUGGAGAGGGAGAAAAGAAGCUUUGGGAGGACACUACUUGGUAGCUUGGAACAAGGUUACUAGGCCUAAAGAAUUUGGAGGAUUGGGUAUCUUAAACCUGCGUUUGAUGAAUUGGGCUCUUAGAUUACGCUGGCUCUGGCUGAAAAAAACUGAUACUGGCAGACCUUGGGCAUCCUUUAAAAUAAAUGUUCAUCCUUCAGUUAAGGCCUUUUUCUCGGCAGCAAUCUCUUCGGUGGUGGGCAACGGUAAAAACACUUUGUUUUGGACAGAUAAUUGGAUCGAUGGCCAAAGUCUAUGUCAGCUGGCCCCUCAUUUGGUCCAGAUGGUCUCUUCUAGGGCUAAAAUGAGGAAUGUCCAUGAUGCCCUCAUUUCAAGGAGCUGGGUCCAUGAUAUUAGAGGAGUUAUCACUGUAAAUGUUUUGUCUGACUUCCUCAGGGUUUGGGACCUCACUACAGACUGGGUCUUAACACCAGAUCAGGAUGAUAAGCAUAGCUGGAGGCUUUCAAGCUCAGGUUUAUAUUCGGCCAAAUCGGCAUAUACCAGUUUCUUUCUUGGAGCAACAACUUUUAAACCUUGGGAAAGGAUUUGGAAAUCAUGGGCUCCUAAUAAAUGCAAGUUCUUCAUGUGGCUCGUGGCCCACGAUCGCUGCUGGACAGCAGAUCGACUAGCAAAAAGAGGACUGCCUCACCCUCAAUUUUGUACACUAUGUGAUCAAGAGGAGGAAACGAUAAACCACUUGCUGGUUUCCUGCGUUUUCUCUCGGGCUGUCUGGUUUCAGAUGAUGAAAUCUGUUGGGUUGCAGCACCUUGCUCCUAACCCUGCGUGAUCCUCCUUUGAAGAUUGGUGGGAAGGGGUUGCUACAUUUUCUGCUGGUCUAGCAAACACAGGGCUGCACAAGGGCUUGAAUUCUUUGAUCAUUAUUGGUGCUUGGGCCAUCUGGAAUCACCGCAAUAGCUGUGUUUUUAAUGGUGUGCAGCCUAGUCAAAGCAUGGUCAUCAAUUGGGUCAAGGAGGAGGCUCAUCUCUGGUAUAGGGCUGGAGCCAGGGAUUUAUCUAACAUCCUUAUGAUCCAGUAAUUUCAGUGGGUAAUCUUUAGUUUGAGUCUCCAUGGUCACGGGUCUAGAUGUCUUUUGUUGUUGUUGAUGUUAAUUUUCUCCUUCUCCCUAAAGCCUAGUGUUUGUGGGUUCGUGUGGAGUUGUACGAGGUUUCCUUGCCUCACCCUUUCUUCUUAAUAUAUUGAUACGCAGCUCUCCUGCGUUUUUGAGAAAAAAAAUGUUGUUGGCCCCUAUUUUUUUACUCAUAAAGGCGUUAGACAGGGUGAUCCUUUCUCGCCCCUUUUGUUCAAUCUUGUUGCAGAUGGCUUGGCUUGUAUUAUUCAGAAAGCUCAAGAAAGAGGUCUGAUCCGUGGUCUAAUUCCCCAUAUUAUUCAAAAUGGUUGUUGUUGUCUUCGAUAUGCUGAUGAUACUAUCUUCUUAAUUCAAGAUUGUUUGGAAGGUGCUAGAAAUCUUAAAUAUAUUCUUUGUCUUUUUGAGCACAUGUCUGGUUUGAAAAUUAAUUUUCACAAAAGUGAAAUUUUCUGCUUAGGGGAUGCUAAUGAGUUUGAAAAUGUGUAUGCUGAUAUUUUUACUUGUCCUGUGGGGCAUCUUCCGAUGAAAUAUCUUGGUGUUCCAAUUGAUAACAAGAAAAUCAGUAAAUCGCUUUGGUGUCCUAUGAUGGAAAAGAUGGAUAAAAGGCUUGCUAGUUGGCAAGGAAGAUUUUUAAGCCUGGGGGGAGAUUGACGUUAUUAAAUAGCUGUCUUUCUAAUGUUCCUCUGUACAUGUUAUCGAUUUAUCCGGCUCGUAAGUCCAUUAUUAGGAAACUGGAUUUGUACAGGAAGAGACUUUUAUGGCAAGGAGGUUCACAAGCAAGAAAAAUUCAUCUGGUUAACUGGAAUUCUGUCUGCACACCUAAAAAUCAAGGUGGCUUAGGGGUUUUGAAUCUGGAGUAUAUGAAUGAUGCCUUGUUGACGAAAUGGCUUUGGAAUAUUGAAAAUUCAAAUGAUUUAUGGCAAAAGAUUAUUACAAAAAAAUAUAUUAAGGGAAAACCUCUUAUCUCAGUUAAGCAAAGACAGAAUGACUCUCAGUUUUGGAAAAAACUUCUAAGUCUCAGAGAAGUUUUCUUUAAAUAUUGUAAAGUUGUUGUUGGUAAUGGUUGUAAAACUAGUUUCUGGAAGAAUACUUGGAUUGGUGAUUGUCCUUUGGCAGUUAAAUUCCCUGUUCUGUUUGACUUGGCUUUUGAUAAGGACAUUUCGGUUAAUAAGGUCUUGACCUCAAAUUUUGAUGUUCUUUCCUUCAGAAGAAGAAUGAUGGGUAAUCUUCAAGUGUUUUAUGGUGAAUUAGUUGAUUUGUGUGCUCAUCAUAAUCUAUCAGGUCAAGAGGACAGAGUGAGUUGGUGUAUUGGUAACAAAGGUUUCACUGUUAAUUCUUUAUAUAAGAAAAAUUCGAUUGAUCAGGUGCCUGUUCCUCACAGGUUCUUGUGGAAAUCUAAGUUACCACAAAAAAUCAAAGUCUUCAUCUGGCUGGUGGUAAGAAAUAAAAUUCUUACAAAAGAUAAUCUGAAAAAAAGAAAUUGGCAUGGUUCUAGUGAAUGCUGUUUUUGUGGGGGUCUUGAAUCGAUUGAACAUUUGUUCUUUAAAUGUUCCAUUGCUAGAUUUGUGUGGAGAGUGAUUCAAAUUGCCUUAAAUCUUGAUUUCAUUCCAAAAAGCAUUGGGGAGUUAUGUGACAGAUGGUUGAACAAAUCUAAAGACAGAAUCUCCAAUUUAAUGAUAUUUGGUUGUGGAGCUGUUUUUAGGCUAUUUGGAGAACCAGAAAUGAUUGGUUUUUUGGUGAUAAAAUUCUCCUUGAUCCUGCUAACAUAAUAUUUCUCUGUUGCUUUUGGUUGGAUUCUUGGGCUAUUCGUCAGAGAGAGAAGGAAAAAAAGAUGGUGGUCCAAGGAAGUCGGCUAAUCAGAAAGAUAGUAAGUGAAGUGAUGUGUCGGUCGUUUGGGUGGUGUCCGAGAGAUCGCCACAUUUCUGGAUGAAGGGUGAUUUUGGCUCAUUUCUGUGGUUGGCUAUCGCUCAAACUCUGGGUUGUCCCUUUGGUGAAAGUGUUUAAACUGGCUUGUUAGCUUCGUAGCUGCGCUUUUAUUUUCAGUCGAUGUAAUAAGCUUUGCUUAAAAACUCUGGUUGCGUCUGGAUAGAUUUUAGUGGUUGCUGGUCCUUUUUUUUUCGAAAACGCAGGAGAGCUGUGUAUCAUUAUAUUAAGAGGAAAAAAGGUGAGGAUAAGAAAACCUCAUACAAGCCAAACUAACCCACACACCCACACACACUCAAGGAUAGCUAGAAGUACAAUGAAAUUAAAUUAUGACCAACUGCCCUCAUGACCAAGAAAGAAGGACGCCGAUUAGUGCGUUGGAGCGGAAAGGAUGCUAUCUAAUCCACUGGCUCCAGCCCUACACCAAUUGUGAGACUGGUCCUUGCUGGUCCUUGCUUGUCUAGUUUGAUAAUGUGAGGGUGCUAGCAUCACUAGGUGCUCUUUUGUCGAUGGGUUGUAGCUCAUCGUUUUGUAUGUAAUGACUCUUAUCCUAUUUCUUAAUGAAAUAGGGGGCUCUCCCCUUCGUAAAAAAAUGGUUUACUAAACGACCACAAGUGGAUCCUAGCAAGCAACCUAAAAAAAUGAUGCUUACAAGGACAGAGAGGAACUGAAGGUCUAAUAUCUAUUGCAUGAGUAUUGAGCACUGAAACAUAAGAUCAUCUGAGCCAAGCUUCAAAACCAGUUUGAAAUGCAGCAAAUGAUGCUGUGGAUGAUUACCUCCGAUGGGUUUAAGAGGGCCUGCGUGUGGAACAUCCACACUUGGCAAGGAAGAACCAGCUGGAGAAUGAUCUGGAGGUGCUGCACCAGAAGCCUGUGGAUAAAAUGGUAUCAGAAAUACUCGAUAUAAAUGAAAAUAUAGAAAGAGUGCUAGGAGAAAAAUGAAACCAUGCAUAUUGGGCUCCCACUCAUAUUACUGUAGUACUUGAUGUUUGGCAAAAAAAAGAAGAAGGAAUUCACUCGAUUACAGACAUUGAGGAAAGGCAACUCGAUGCUUGUACUAUGAAGUUUUGAUAAACAUAUCAAAUAUCUACAAUAUUCUGAUAUACCAGGCUCCGACAGUUCCUAAGAGUAUAUACCAAACAAGCUAAUUCACUUAUCAUAGAAAAAAACAUAUAGGAGACAAAUCAAGGUGAUAUUGAUACUACUCACAUCCUCAAAUAGCGGAUAAUCGCAUAAGAAUCGCUACACACAGAAGUCACAAUUAACCACCUCUCACAAUUAACCACCCACACGUGAAAUGACAGGAAUCAUGAACUUACAACAAAAUAUAGGAUCUCUGCAAUAACCUAAUGCCAUAAACACACGAAGUCUCCGCGAAUUCCACGCAUCCGUAGUCCUAAAAGCACAUGAUCACUAGCGCCGACAUCUCAUUGCUAUGAUGUACUGUGCUGGACUGAUGGCUGUUUCGUGUUCUCUAGAAAUCUUAACUAUGCGGUUGUGGAGCAGCAAGCGCAGCAUCAUGUAUGUCACAGUCUCACGGACUGACCACGUAAGAACGCAAACAAGAUACUAUAAGCCUGACCAUUCGAAAACCAAACAGCAUUGCAGAUGAGUUGCAGCUAAAGGCAAGUGAACAUACCCUCCACAAGGCAACGGCAGCGAGGUCCUUCUCCAGCUUCUGCUUGAGCAUCGCGUUGUACUCCACGGGGUCAACAACCGAGCUCGAGGCAGCCGCCGGCGCCGCGGCCCCCGGUGUCUUGCUCUCCGCAGCCUCAACUCCAGCUCCAACGCUGCCCCUACUGGCGCCGGCUACGGGAACCGGGCUGUCGAGCACGGCCUCCUCCAGGAACUUCUGGAAGUACCAUUCCGACGGGCACCGGUUCAUCAGCCCCGCCGCCUCCCCCGCUGGUGCAGCAACAGCGCCGGCGGCCGCCGAUUGAGGGUGCGGCGGAACCCAGUAGGGGUUGGGGAUCUCCUCCACGGAGAAGACGCGCUCCAUGCCGGAUCGAGACGGAUCGCGACACUGUUGAGGAGAAGUCUCCGGGGGGCUAGGUGUCGGAGAUUUCGAGGAUUUGAUCUGAAAUUUGGGAGAAAUUUCUCUGGCCGCACUUGGUUUGGUGGAAGAGAAGAGAAAAAAUGGAAGGGAAGAGAGGAAGAAGAGAAGAUGAGGUGUGCACGACUGCACGGUGGCUGCAAUAAAUAAUAAUAAAGUCGGCACGGACGGCUUUCACGGCUCUACGCGCACGCCAGUAUUUGCUGAGGAUUAAAUUUAUCUUAAGAAUUAGCCAUGGUUUAUAUAAAUAGUUUUGUAAUUAACUUAUCUUUAAUCCUCUUAAUCGGUAUUUUAAAUCUGAACAAAAUUUUAAUCCAGGACCAAAGAUAAAAAAACAUGGGUUUUGUUUGUCCUUUUAUUUAGAAGACGUGAAUUUUCCCCCUUAUAUACACGCCUCGUUUUCCAUGGUCACGAAAGGUGCCUCUUUAUCUAUACACACAUAUUCGAUGCCACGUUGAGGGUUGAUUCUAGGUAUCACGGACAAAGUAACAUUUUUAUAAUAAAUAUGUUAAGGGAGAUAAAUUUUAGAAGAUUUUUUUAUAAAUUUAAUUAAACUUAAAAAUUUAACUUAUUAUGAGAUACAUAAUUAUUUUAGGACGGAUGAAGUAUACAAUUUUUUUGUUCCCCUAACACUUCCAGGUUCAGGAGACCCUAUUAUCAAGAUCUCUAGGCUCGCCAAUUUCGAUAGACCAUUCUUCUUAACAGAACACCAAGCCCAAAAAAGGCACUACUCAACUCCACCGGUAGGAGAUUUAGAGCAUCUCCAAGAGCUUUCAGAAGUCUCUCCUAAAUCAAGUUUUUUGACAAAAACACAAAAACGUAUCUCCAACAGUUCCCCUAAACGCUCCCAAUUUUUUUUAGCCCUUAAAACUCUGUCAUUUGUAGCUAUAAAUGAGAGGGUUUUUAGGCUCCCCAGAAACAAUAUGUCACUUUAAGGAAUCUGUUAGAGAAAGGAUUAAAAUCUACCCUCACUAAUUUUUUAGAUGCCCCUUAAAACUAAUUUUGAGGAGUCAUUUUCUAGGAAGCUCUUGGAGAUGCUCUAACCCUGUUUGGUUUUUAGUCACCGACUAAACUUUAGUAGUCACUGAAAUAUCCUGUUUGAUUUCAGUAAUUAAAUCUAAGUAAAAUGCAUUAAUUAUUAAGUAUAAUGAUAGUUUUACUCUUAAUCAAUGCACAGGCUCCCGCUAUGAGUCAGUCUUGGUACUUGAGCCAAGGAAGGGUAAGAGAUGAAAAAUUCUACUUUUAGUUACUUUUAGUCAACAUUUCUUGAUUAGAGGACUAAAAUUUAGUCAAUUCUUUUUAGUCUUGCUGCUUGGUUUUUUAAUAACUAAAAGUGACUAAAGUUUAGAUGUUGUUUGGUUUUUAGAGACUAAUUUUAUAGUCUCUCUAUUUUAUUUCAUUUUAGUUACUAAAUUUUUAAAUGGGAACAUUAAAACCCUAUUUUAGUUUUAAGAAUUUAGAUACUAAAAUAAAAUAAAAUGGAGGGACUAAAAAUUAAUCCAUAGAAAUCAAACACUCCAUUAGUCAUUAAACUUUAGUCACUUUAAACUAAACGGGGACUUAGAUGACGCCUUCUCAAGAGACUUUUUAUGGUAUAAUGAUGCUUUAAGAGAGAUCAAGGUUACCCUGUCAUAACUAGCUUCUCUAACUCUCGUUAGAAUUGCAUAGGGAUCAUCUUCGGGUGAGGGCAUAGCCAGCGACAAAAUGCUUGGAAAACGUAAUGAUUUGGAUAAUAUUCAAAGUUAAGACUAAGGAUCCCUAGGACUAUGCUGUGUAUGGGUGUUGAUGGAUCAUAAUCCAAAUGUUUCUUCAUAAUAUGUUUGAACUCAUAAUUAAUUUUAGUUUAAAAUUAAGUAGAAAUAUAGUUUGAUUAUAGUUUUAUCCAAUCUUUAAAUUUUAUAGUGUAAAGUUUAAAUACAAUUAUCAUCCCUACCUUGCUGACUCCAACUAUCAUCAAUGAACGAUGCAUACCGACCCUAAUUCCCUUGCAAAUACAGUUCUGAUUUCCUAACGCGAAGGCCUUUUUAUAGUGCGCGAAACGGAUAUUCUUAUUUGUACUAGGUGAGUGCCCGUGCGUUGCAACGGGAAUAUAUAAUACAACGGUAACUUAUGUAUAAAUAUGUAUUAUGCUGAAAUGUAUGUUAUACUGUUAUAAGAAAAUGUUUUGUACGUUACAUAUAAUACCACGAUAACACAAGAACAUAUAAUACCACGAUAACUUAUGUGCAUUGCAACAGAAACAUAUAAUAUCACGAUAGUUUAUGUAUAAAUGUGUAUUAUAUUAAAAUGUGUGUUAUAUUUAGCAGUCUUAUCCUUCAAGUCCACCUAGAAAAUAUCAUACAUACAGCCAUUUCAAACAUCCAACAAGGGGAGCAGCAGGAGGCUUAACCAUCCCCUUCCUUAAUUCCAUAAGUUGUGGUGAGAAUUCCAAUGCCACACAACCUGUUGUACCGUGGAGAUUCGACCAGAGGAGAAGUUCAGAACAAAAAAUCAGCAUCCAACAUCGUGACCUAACUAAUUGCUAUGCAACUAAUUCAGAGUUUCAGACCAGUUUAGAUAUUCAGCCUGUGUGAUAACUGUUGAAACUUGUCCAAACCUUGAAAUCAACUAUGUCAAAACAAACCAUUUGACACCAGCUUUAUGCUCAAGGUUGGCAUUAAAUGUUUGAGCAGUAUAGCAAGUAGGGGAAGUGUCAUAGUUCUUUUGGGUCAUUCUUAUGUAGAAGAGUUUGCAAGCUGGGUUGCCUUGGACCACGAGAACAGGCAACCGUCAGACCUGUAAGAAAAGCCUUGGAGUCUUGGAGAUCAGAACACCGAACCAACGGCGAGCUGCUUUACAUACGCUUCGAAGCUACUUCAAUUGGUUUUAUCAAGCUCCCCUGAGGAGUCAUGCCCUCCAGAGGAGGCCUUCUUCCUUGCAAAUGAUCUUCUUGAUAUUGUGCCCGCUGUUGAGUCCUUUGCUGGCUCAAGAUUUGCACCCAGCAUAGUUUCUGCUCUGAAGCAAUGGCUGCCUGUGCUCUUGUUGGGUCUUGUAUGCCGGUGGCUAAUUGGAUCACAUAAUGAAAUGGCACCCAACGUAUUCCACUUUGCUGACUCUGUCUUACCACUGUGGGUCACUACCGUGGCAAAGAAUGAGCUUGUUGAUUCCAAAGAGCCUGGCCAGGACGAGCAAAGCAAUCUGACUGCAGAGGGCGAGGACUCACUGUUAUCCAGAAAGCUAGCAGAAAUGAUGGCGAUCCUCUUGAAGAAAGGAAGCCCCAGAAUCCUCGAUUGCGCGAGUGGAGUCCUUCUGUCCACUUUCCAGUUGACGCUGCGAAGAUCAGACUAUGACAUUGUCCUGGGCAUGACUCGUUUCAUUUGUGACAAGUUGCUUGGGAACAACUCCCUAGCAUUGGAAAAGUUGCAGCUUACCCGCGACUUUCUUCAUGAGAAUUUCCUCGAGAUUGAUAGGUAUGUCCGCGAUGAGCUUGUCCAUGAUGACGAUUCGAGGCAGCAACUGGAGAAAGCAAAAGCGUUGAUAAGAUCAGUUCUCACCGAUGUCUGAUUGAUGUACAUACCAGUUGUAAGCAACAAACCGAUAAGAUCAGUUUCCACCGGUGUCUGGAGAAAGCAAAAGCGCUGAUAGUACUACUUAGUUUUUUUAAGAAAAUGAUGUUGCUUAGGUAUAUAUAUCUCUUUAAGCAUGUAUAUUCGUUGAUGUCAUGGUACAGCCCAGGGGCUGAUUAGUAUCACGUUGUGUCAUUGUUCAACAAAGGCACUGCAGUGACCAUGUGUGAUUGGAUAGAAGAUCAUUUCCACUGACAAGUAGAGAUCAGAAAUGAACUGUUUGAAUCAACAAUCAAGCUAGAGUUAUAACUGCUGUUGCAUUCAAAUUUGCAGUCUACUUACAACUGACACAGGUACAAACUAUGUAACAAUCCCACGUUAUUGUAAUCCACCACAUGCCAUUUCAUAAUAGCAAAUGGACGCUAGUGUAUACAAGCCACAAGGUACUAUUUGUAAGGAAAAAAAUAAAAAUAAAUGGACGACUCAAUAUACAGUUUAGUAAUACGGGUAUAUUAAUGUCGCAGUCAAACAAAUCGUUUCUUCACAAAUUGGUGCUCUGCUCCUAUUCUUGUGGAUUAGGUAAGGUUACAGUAGUUAGCAGCUGGUGAAGCUGAUCUAUUGCUCUUAAUCUACAUGAUUAUGGUAUCCGGCCAUCGUCUUCGCGAGGUUCCACAGGAAUCAGUUUGAUGGCAGCAGCAAUGGGCAUCCCGAGGAGGCCAAAGAGAAUGCUGACGAGCCAUUGGAGAUGGGUGAGAGGCAUGGUGUUGGCAAAAUCUCCCAGGAACUGGACCAGGAUGAACUGGAAGAUAAUGGUGCCACCGAGGAUGCACAUGAAAAUGGAGUUCUGUGGCAAACCCUUCAAAACAUUGAUCUCCUCCAUGUCUCUCGAGCUUAUCUCAUUGAAAACCUACAUGGCAUGCAAAGAUUCAGCACCGGAGAGCCAUUUCAGAAAUAAAAAAAACCACACCAUUAUCCUCUCUUUCCAGCUCUAUCUGUUCUGUUUCUUGUCCUGUACUCUAGAAUGCUAAAUCAACGAAUGGCCUCUUCAUUUCUGCGAGUUGUUGGGGAAGAAAAUAUUAAAAAAAACUGUAAGGAAUGAAGUGGAAAACAAUAGAGGUUUUGUUACGAACUUACGAUGACCAAAUAGGAGGGUAGCAUGGUAUUAGAUUCAACAAAUGUGUCAGUUUCAGAUUUCAGAGUUAGCUGUUGCAUAGUCCUUUAGGCAGCUAGUUACUUCAAUAGAGUACGGAUUCAAGCCUAAGGAUGACUAUUUAUUUUACAUAUUGAACUUCAGCAGAACUCUUUCAUCACAGAAGUAUAAUUCAUGUCUUCCAUCUUUAGCAUUCAGCUUUGCAUCAAAGAUUUCAAGUGAAAGUGAACCCAAUGACAUAGUGGAUGCUACUUGUCAGCAAAUAAAACUUAUAAUAGAAAAAGCUCAUUAGACUUACUUUUUCUUGAGAAUUAUACGGUACAGGACACCAGUGCUGAUAAUAUUCAAGUUCUUCAGAAUAUGGUAAGAUGGUGCAUACACAUAUUCAAAGAUAUAAUACUGAUAACCACAGAAGCAGGGAAACAUGCUUAUGUUUUGCUUGUUUUUGUUUUUUUUAAUCAUACAACAGAAUGAGUGGGCAACUGGACAUACCUGCAAUAAGUUCUUGACCAGGUAAAGCAUUGCAGGAAUGGGGUAAACUCUAAAUGUCUAGAAGGUGGAAGAAGACAACAAGCACCUAAUAUGUACUAUCGACAAGCACGGUGAGCGGAAACCUGAGAAGAAGAAACAAGAUGCAGUCAGAAACACAAAAUAAUAUGAUUUGUACCUCAUGCCUAUGUCUAGCUGCUUAUUGUAGCUGUUCUAGUUUCUGUUGGUAAAAAAGGGCCCACUUUAACCAACUAAUUUCGUUUCAACAGCUAUAAAUAUGAAAAGCAUUAUUUACCUGAUAGUAAAUGUUAGUGCCCAUAAUGUAAUAGGAGAAAACUAAAAGCUUUAAUUAUUACAUAAUCCUCAUGGGAACCAGUGAACACAAAAACUUACUAUGUCUGGCUUGAUUAUAUCAUUUCACUCCUUUGUCUUGCUCUUCAUCUCCUUGGAAUUUGAAUCGGCAAGCUGCAGAACCAAAUGGAGUAGUUUAUAUGCAUAUGAUAUAUAGAACAUGUAAUGCACGUCUAUUGUGUACAUCUGUUUGAGCGCAUAACACAAAUAGACUUUUGUUUUCAGUCAAAGCAAUGACGAAUACCGUAGGUACAAAUGGUACCAUUCUUUUUAUAUUUCGAAGAAGAUGAUCAUUUGCAAUAUUUAAGGAAUAGUCAUGCCAUGCCAAACGCUGAAUCUGGAUGCUAAUCCAGCCUAUAUAACAAGAAAUAAAUAAGAAACGGAUGGAUGAAAAGAGAAUCCACAUUACCAAAAGAGAUUGUAAGGCAUCUGCAACAACUUCAGAAUGGCGUGCAGUGCAGUGCAUUCAAUCUCAAAUAAAAGCCCUGCUACAGUGCUAGCAACCUUCUCCCUCCGCUGCUCCGUCAAGGAAGGGGAGGAAGUGAAGCACAGAGAGAGAAAGAAAGGGGAGGGGAAUGGAGGUGGAGGAAGGCGGCCGAGCCGCCUGAGUGCUGCUGAGCUCCCAGUGUCUUUCGGCACCGCUCCUCCUACUGCACCGCUCCUCCUGCUCUGCCAUGCUCUCCGCCGUAUUCCUCACCCAGCCUUGCUCGCAGCUACUACUUUUUCUUGUUGUUGCUGCUUUCAGCACUGGUCUGGCUGGCGACUCUUGGCUGAGAAAGAUAAAAAAAACACUACCAGCCACCCCCAUCUCCCAUUGCUGCACCACCGUUCGCUACGUUGCGGCUGGAUGGACAUGGAUUCCCCCCCCCCCCCCGCCCGCUUCCAGAUCCCACAUGUUGCUUUUAGUGAGCUAGACGCUCUGCUGGAUUCUUGCCACUAUUAGCAAUGCCGUAUUCAUAGCAGUCAAACACAUCCACAUGUUUGCAAUUUCACGUACUGCAGCAAUAGAAAAAACUAAAACAGCUAGCAGUUAAAGCGAACCAAUACAAGAAACUUUAAUAAAAUACAUGUAGAUACAGACCAAGCGAGGUUAUUUGAAACGCUCUUGUGUGUAGCUCCAAUUGAAACAUUAUAAAUAUUUUUUUCUUGUUAUGAUGACUUGCAGGUCAUGUUGCCAUCAUUCACUCACAUUCUCAUGAUCACAUUAAAAAAAGAAUGACAGAAAGGCUAAGAGCAAAUGUCAUAUUUAUCUUCAUUUACAUUCACCAUCAAACAGAAAAUAUACGCUUUAUUUCAACUUGAAUCCCAUAUUCAGUACACAUUCCUAGUUGAAUAAUUUCUUAAGAAGCAGUUUACAAAACAAAAGAAAAAUAAGGUGUGAAUAUGUUUUUUAGUGUGUGAGGGAAGACAUAUCUAUGAUCUUCUUGUGAACUUGAUUAUGUUAGUGUCAUUUGAAACUGUUUUCAGAAACUACUCUACAUAGAACACUUCUUAUCUAGAACAGUUAGACAAUAUAUCAGGCAGAGAAAACAGUUAGACAAUAUAUCAGGCAGAGAAAACAGUUUCUCUUGGACAAAAUGAGCGCAGUUUCUAUAUAUCUACAACACUGCUUGUCUAGAACAAUUAAAUACCAAAAAUACUGAAACCUUAUUGAAACACUAAAAUACUGAAAUUGUACCUGACCAACAGAAAUUCAUAGGAAAAGAACAGUCUCACUACAGAUGUCUGAUAAUCAAGGUUUAGUGAUGCAAAUAGUGUAUACAAGAUUCGGACGUACCUGGCAGUAGUAUGAAGAGAUGCAUUUGUUAUGUAAUGUUUCUUGACAUUUUAUAUGCGUGAAUCUGUGUCGUCCGCCUUCAUCUUGCUCUAGAUCUAGGCGACGCUUGUUGGGCAGCGGCGUGGUGCCAGCCCGCACCACCGUGGAGGUGGGCAGCCAGCUCUGCUCCAUCCAGCAGUGGAGGAUGUCCGAUGUGUGGUGCGACACGUGCAGUGCCCACUGGUCAUCCACCUUCUGCUUAGCGUACACCUCCGCCGCUAGCUCCGACUUAAGUGCAACAAGAAAAAUCAUAGCCAACUGGCAAAAAAAAUGACAACGCUUCUAGAUCAGUUUGCCGUACACUGAAAACAAAUCAUGACAAUAAACGUGUAUGAUAUCGAAUUCAUCGUCACAGGAUCCAGCCAGCAAAAGUUGCAAUGCUACUCAGUAAACAAGGGUUCCGAAUGAAAAAAAAUAGGGGGUGGCAGUCAUACCCAGGAUCUUGCUCCACAAGCUCGCAGAUUUUGAUCUUCUUUUCCCAAUCCAUCUCCUUGAGCUUGCCACUCAUCGUCGCCUUCACCAUUUCUGUUCCAUCUUCUCCCCUAGGCCUUCUCACUGUCGAUCACAUCUAGGCCUGGUAUUCCACAACCACAUGGCGAGGAAAAGGGCAUGAAGAAAUCAAAAUUUAGUAACAUAAGACCAAGUAUUCAAAAUUGAGCUACUAAUUCUGUUGAAAAACAAACGAUAGAUUUACAGAAGGGUGCAACAUGUACCUGUUGUUUCCUACAAAAUAUAUAGAACGUUAAUAGUGGUCAAAAUAUACAUAUCAAAUCUUUGUCUAUAAUUCUAUGCAAGCAUGAUUACUGAAGACCGAUAGUUUCUCUAGGCAUAGUUUUUUUAAUUUGCUUCCGUACCAGUGAUUCACUAAAUAACACAGGAUUAUAGAAGACAACACCAGCUGUGAGUUACAGUAUACGUUUAACAGUUCAUAACCCUUCGCUUUUGUUCUACAAAUUACUACUAAAGCCAUUAUUGUCUUGCAAUUUCAGUCUUUCAGUGUUUUGACAUGAUACAUUGUGCAAGCAAACAGAGACAGACAAAAAUGGAGGCAAACCUGGAGUUUUCUGAGCGCGUUCCAAACAAGCAUUUCCCUAAACACCUAGUGGUCAUCCCUGUAGCGGAUGCAAGAAGAGAGCCUCAGAAGCGCACUGAGAUGGGCCUAGCCGCCUAGGCAAUACACACGGAAGAGGCACACAGCUCGCAGCCCCGCACACCCGAGACUUACUGAGAGAUUCAGAACACUAUCACAUACCUGCGCCGGCGCGCCACCACCGAAGACGAUGAGGAAGACACCACUGUGUGCUUGCGCACCGCUGCACCGUCGGCCGGACGCAUGUCGCUUGGCACCUGCGCACUGAUGCACCACUGGCCGGACGUGGUGGUUUGGGCCUUCAGGGUGGGGUGGGGGAGGCUAUCUCGAUCGGGGGCAUCAGGGGGGGCGAUGGCAGGCGCGUUGGGGCGAGCGGGGCGGGCGCGGGGGAGGGGAACGAGCGGAGAGGGGGCCAGCAUGGGAGCCGAGCACGACAUUGGUUCCAAGCAGCAACGUCGACACGCCAACGCACUGGAUCCCCAUGGUCUUGCCUCAACCCUCUUCCCCUUCCCCUACCGCGAGCUCCGCUUCAUGCCCCUUGAGGUAGGCCUCUGGGCUCCAGGGGAGGAGGCAUCCUUUAGGUGGCAAAGAUGGAGGAUUGCUGCUGCUGUUUUUGUACCCAGAUGGGGCUACACCAGCUGAAGCCAUCUCUGAAGAAAGCCAACGUGCAGCAACUCAGCUUUGCAUUAACUCCCCCGACGUAGCGCCGGCCCUGGCGGGGGUCGAGCAGUGCCCCCGACCAGGGCCCCCAUAUUAACGGGGCCUCAUUUUAGAUACUAAAAACAGUAUAUAUAUACAAAUAUAUAUAUAUAUAUAUCAUAUUUUAUAUAGAUCUAUAUAUUGGCUCUAUAAUUUUUUUUAAAAGUCUAAUCAUAAGUCAAAACACAGCAACAAUGAGUAAAGAGAAUUAAUUGUAGUCCAUUAAUCUUGACUUCAUAUAGUCUCAGGUCCAGCCGUCUAUGCUCUCAGUGUGUAGUGAAACAACGAUGUUUGCCAUUUCAUCUCUAUCUCUCGCACAGUCAUAGACAGACAGACAGUCGUGCCCUAUCCUCUUGGUAGCCAGCGCACGAGCAUCGAGUACUACGGCGCUUUCGUCCUGCUCUACACGGUGAAAACGAAACUAACAUGACCUGAUCGACUAAUCUAACAAUGUUCAUCCAUUUAAUCACUGUUCGAGGUAACCUUCUUUUGAGUUAUCUAGACAUAUAUAUAGGGCAUUUUUCUUCGAGAUGUUAGGCUAUAUUUUAAUUACCUUUUAUUUAAUAUAAAUACCUUUUUCAGAUAUACAUAAAUAUUUAUUGACAAUAUAUACACACUAUAUCUAAGUGUAAUAAUUAUUAUUAUAAAGGGCCUCCGAUAUGAGUCUUGUCCCGGGCCUCUAAAAUAUCAGGACCGGCACUGCCCCGACGGCAGUAGAUCUAUUGAGCUACCUGUAAGUGGAUUAACAAUCAAAUCGAUCAGAGCGAUGAUUCCAGAUAUAGCAAUGGCAGCAUCAUUCACAACAGCGGAGCUUUAAUGACUAACGAGGUGAACUUUGUUAACGAGUACAACCCGUCCCUCGAAUCUAGAUAAAUGUAAGGAACGUGAGCAAGUUCUUCCUAGGAUUGCAAACCCGGCUGAGUCAUGAGCCAGGCAGACAGCCGAGAGAAAGCAGAGCAGAGUCAGUCACCUAAGGAUUCAGAUGCUAUGUUCAUCAGCGAAAUAAAGUCUUGCCAGAACUCAAUGAUAUCAAGGAAUCGUGCUCCUGACUCUUGGAAAGUCAUAGGAAAUAAUCCUAAUCUAGGACCCCCUGUGAAUCUGUUCAGGGGCAUUUCCGAGCCUGUAACGAAGGGGAACAAGCAAAUCCACAAAGAAUUGACGGCUCGGGCACUAACUGAUGGAUUUCGGAUGAAAUCGUAUGCACCAAUAGAGAAGAGGAAGAGAGAAGUCGUGAGAUCCGCAGCAAACGCUACAGCCUCUAGGCUGACGAAAACUUGAACACAAACUCGGAGAAAGAGCGCAUCGUUCUCAGAGCGAAGCCGACCUCGCCAAGAACAGAGAAAACGCUCCAGAAACCAUAACUGGCCCGCGAGAAGAAAAGGCCGCGAACGGUCCGCGGCUCUCACCGGGGAAAAGGCAGAUCCCAGCGAGACGGACGACCAGAGAGCUCCCAGAAUCGGCAGCGGCGCACGCGAACAUGGACCAGGAACGCCCAUUCGCGGUCACAAACUACCAACAGCGAAGAACAGACAGAAAAAACAAACAGCCAAAUCAGGAGCAAGAACAGAUGGAUGCACACAUACCUCUACCCUCCUCCUGCUGCCCCCCUUCCUCCUCCACGAAAGAACUCUCUGUUACCCUUCAAGAUUUGGUUCCCCCUACUCUUCGCCCUCUCCCUCCUCCGAGGAUCCGACUCCAAGGCACAGGGACAACGACCCACGAUGAGCAGGUCGAACUUCUCGCUCAUGGCGCGCACCACGGACGCCGUGCCCUCCGCAUCCUCCACCGUCUUCUCCAUGUACACCACCCCGCUCGUUGUCCCCUCCAGAACUCCUGCAGCAGCUCCUCGUCCCUCGCCGAUCAACCGGUUAGCAGCCUGUGGCACACCAGGAACAUUCAUGGGGUCCAUCAACCGGUCGAUCAAGGGGCAUGGAGGAGGAGAAGGGAGUUUAGGGUUAAAGUUCAUGGGUUGUACCUGAUUGGAGACACGGUCGAGGGUCGCCCGGGCGGCCGCGUCGGGCACCUUGCGCAGGUCACACACCUCCAUCACCCACCGUCGCCGAAUCGCCGAUACACGCCAACACAGCGUGGAUUCAAAUGUGUUGAAGCCUAUGGCGGAUAAGCAAGCGGGCAGGAAGCUCGGCUCCUGUGGGUGGGGAUCGCAGGAGAUGUGAGAGGGACUGGAUGAAGGAACUACCGUGGAGGCGGGGCGACAGAGGGAGGACCGCGGUGAGGGGCCAGUGGGGGUGCGGGAGGCGGCGCAGCAGAGGGAGGGCUGCUCGCGCGGCGCGGAAGGCUGGGGGCGGCGUGGGCGGCGUGGGUGGACUGGGGGCGGCGUGGGUGGACAGGCAUGAACGGACGGUGCAGAUUCACAGAGGCUAACGGACGAUCCAGAUCUCCUGGAGGCAGAACGCAAAAAGGCAGGCUACCCUUAGAGCCUUAAUAAGUAGUAUAGAUUCAUAUUUAAUUGAAAGCAUAGGUUUCGAACGCGCUUCAUUCUAAUGCUAUGUUUGGAUCCUCCUGUUAAUUGUUUGUUAGUGGCUAACAAUUAGCCGGUGUAUGUUUGGAGUCUUAGCUAAUAGACAUCUAAAACACAGUAAAUAUCCUGUUUAGAGAAAGGAAAGAAACGAUCUAUUAGUACAUAUUAGCAAGGUUAAAUAGCUAAUGGGCAAACAAUUUGGCAGCCCUCUCGUUUAGAGUCCAAGGUGCUAAAAUUAGCUGACAAACAAUUUGCUAAAUGGAUUCAAACAGGCUCUAUGAAGUGCAAAAGCUUCAUUCAUUCUUUAAAAUAUACUAUAAAUAUGGUGCUAACUAUUAGAAAUAUACCCUAGAGAUAAUCAUAAAGAUAAGCAUAUUUCUUUGUAUCCAUAAUGUCGGUGUUUUGGACCCGCGAGGACCCUCAACCAACUAGUGAAUUUGUUGCUGCGUGUCCCUGCCCAGAUGGGUUGAUGCAAGAUGGAACACAAGCGGGGGGAAUGAGGCUUAUAUUACCUUGCACCGGGGUGCUCGUAGUAGGGGUUACAAGCGUCGUGAGAGAGAGAGGGAGAGAGAGAGAGUUCGAUCUUGUGGUGAGGUGCCUGAGCUGGCCUCCACCGCGUCUCUCCUACUCUGCCUGCCUCCGCUCGUCCCCUUCUCCCUGCGUGCGUGUGUGUUUUCUACGUCUCUCCGUUCGUCCCCCUCCUCUGUAGGAAGGCCCUGGACGUCCCCUUUUUAUAGAUACAAGGGGAUGGCCCAGCUGUACAAUGGGGUGUAGCUAUGUGCUAACGUGGCUGGCGGAGGAGUGCCUUGAGCCCUGCACGUGUGCUAACGUGACUGUCGGAGAAGUGCCUUGAGCCCUGUAGAAGCAUAGCUGGCGGUGCGGCAUAGAUCCUGCUGACAUUUCCUUGCUUCCGUAGGGGGUUGAGAGCAACCGACGUCAUGGGUGCACGCGGGGAACCAUCAUUACCUGUUACCGGAGUAACCUUAGAUGGGACACCGGUCUUGUUCCUUCAUAGCCUGAGGCAGCUAGCUAGGAGUAGGGUAAUGAUGUAUCCCCUAUAGCGUAGUCGGUCCGAGCCCGAGGUCGGGCGAGGCAGAGAUUUCUCCUGAGGCCGAGGUCGAGGUCGGGCGAGGAUGUGACUCCUCCCGAGGCCGAGGCCUAGGGUCGGGCCAGGCGGAGACCUUCUCCCGAGGCCGAGGCUGAGGCCGAGGCCUGAGGUCGGGCGAGGCGGAGCUCCCUGUUGCGCCCGAGGCUGAACUCGUGGGAGAUUGUGACUGUUUUACCCUGGUGGUUGGCACAGUAGUCGGAACGGGGUGAAUAGCGUUGUUUUCCUGUCAGAACGGUCAGUAAAGGGGCGAAGUGACUGCGGUCACUUCGACCUGGCCGACUGAAGCGCGCGUGUCAGGAUAAGGUGUCAGGCGAUCCCCGCAUUAAAUGCGCAUGCGAUACGGUCGGUUGGUAAGGCGAUUUGGUUGAGGUCGCUGCACGACAAAGUCUGCCCGAGCUGGGCUUCGGGCGAGCCGAGGGUGCGCCCACUGCCUGAGGAGGCCCUCGGGCGAGGCGUGAAUUCAUCCGGGACUACUGUUCCCGCCCGAGGCUGGGCUCGGAUGAGGUCGCGUCCCUCGGUAGACGUGGUCUUGACUUGAACCGCGCUUUAUUAGCCAUGUAUGGUUUGUUCUGAAGAUGUUUUCCAGCCGGAUUAAGGAGCAUUGGGGGUACCCCUAAUUACGGUCCCCGACAGUAGCCCCCGAGCCUCAAAGGGAGUGUAGGUACUCGCUUUGAGGUUCUACCGGAUUUUUUGCAAGGGGACCAGCCCUUCUCGGUCGUAUUUUGUUCCGAUGGGUGCGCGCGAACGCACCCGUCGGGUGUAGCCCUCGAGGCCUCGGAGGAGUGGUUUGACUCCUCUGGGGUCUUAAUUCUUUUCGUGUUGCCUCGGUCAGCCUUGUUGUUCCCUCAUGCGGCCUGGCCGUAGCCCGGGUGCAUGGUCAGGCUCUGAGUUUUUAAGCUGGUUUGUUGAUGUGGUCAACGGUUUGGCCGUAGCCUGGUGCGAGAGCAGCCCCCGAGCCUCUGCAUGGAGCGAGAGGACGAUCAAGGACCAUCUCGACUUUUAUUGUACGGCCCUUCGUCGCCUCUCUGCAAGGAGGAAGGGGGGGAGCGCCAUGUUACCCUCGGAGGGCACCGAACAUGGUGUUUCCAGUGAGUUGCUAGCGGGUGAUCCGAGUGGACGCCCGAGCCCCGUUCGAUAAGGGUCGGCUAGUGGCCCAGAGGCGCGCUCCAAAAGUACGUGCAGGUGAUUUGCUAGACCCGGACCCAUUCGAUAGGGUUCGAGGGCUCGAUGCCUCCUCCGGUGGGAUUCCUGAAAGGGAAUUAGGCUUACACCUAUUUCCUAAAUGAUUUUGGUGGUUGAAUUGUCCAACACAAAUAAUUGGACUAACUAGUUUGCUCUAGUGAAUAAGUUAUACAGGUGCUAAAGGUUCACACUUAGCUAAUAAAAAGACCAAGAAUUGGGUUCAAACAAAGGAGCAAGGGAUAACCGAAGGCAGCCCUGGUCUGGUGCACCGGACUGUCCGGUGCACCACCGGACAGUGUCCGGUGCACCAGGGAACUCCAAGCUGAACUUCGCACCUUCGGGAAUUCUCAGAGCCGGCGCGCUAUAAUUCACCGGACUGUCCGGUGUACACCAGACAGUGUCCGGUGCUCCAAGAGGACGCGGCUCUGAACUCGCCAGCUUCGGGAAUUCGCAUCGCCUGCUCCGCUAUAAUUCACCGGACAUGUCCGGUGUACACCGGACUGUCCGGUGUAACUGCGGGGCAACGACUACUUCAGGCGCCAACGGCUACCUGCAGCGCAUUAAAUGCACGCCAGCGCGCGCAGAAGUCAGGCACGCCCAUGCUGGCGCACCGAACAAUCCACAGUGCAUGUCCGGUGCGCCAUCGGACAUCCAGGCGGGCCCAGCAGUCAGAGCUCCAACGGUCGGAACCCUAACGGUCUGGUGACGUGGCUGUCGCACCGGACAUGUCCGGUGUGCACCGGACUGUCCGGUGCACCAUGCGACAGACAGCCCCACCAAACGGCUAGUUUGGUGGUUGGGGCUAUAAAUACCCCCAACCACCCAACAUUCAAGUCAUCCAAGUUUUCCUACUUCAACCACUUACAAGAGCUCUAGCAUUCAAUUCUAGACACACCCAAGUGAUCAAAUCCUCUCCAAAUUCCACACAACGCUUUAGUGAUUAGUGAGAGAGAUUUGCUUGUGUUCUUUCGAGCUCUUGCGCUUGGAUUGCUUUCUUCUUUCUUUGACUCUUCAUUGCGAUCAAACUCACUUGUAAUUGAGGCAAGAGACACCAAUCUUGUGGUGGUCCUUGUGGGAACUUUGUGUUCCAAGUGAUUGAGAAGAAAAGCUCACUCGGUCCGAGGGAUCGUUUGAGAGAGGGAAAGGGUUGAAAGAGACCCGGUCUUUGUGACCACCUCAACGGGGAGUAGGUUUGCAAGAACCGAACCUCGGUAAAACAAAUCCACGUGUCUCACUCCUUAUUCGCUUGCGAUUUGUUUUGCACCCUCUCUCGCGGACUCGAUUAUAUUUCUAACGCUAACCUGGCUUGUAGUUGUGAUUAUUUUUGAGAAUUUCAGUUUCACCCUAUUCACCCCCCCUCUAGGCGACUUUCAAUUGGUAUCAGAGCCCGGUGCUUCAUUAGAGCCUAACCGCUCGAAGUGAUGUCGGGAGAACUCGCCAAGAGGGAAAUGGAGACCGGCGACAAGCCCGCUACAAGCCACCGGUCAACUUCAUCGGAAGAGUCCCGCAACAAGAGGAAGGAGAAGAAAAACUCCUCCAACAAAGGGAAGGAAAAGAAAUCCUCUUCCCACAAGUCGGAUCGGAGAGACAACAAACACAAGAGGAUGAGGAAAGUGGUCUACUACGAGACCGACUCUUCAUCACCAUCGACCUCCGACUCCGAUGCACCGUCCGUUACUUCUAAGCGCCAAGAGCGCAAGAAGUAUAGUAAGAUUCCUCUACGCUAUCCCCAUGUUUCAAAACGUACUCCUUUGCUCUCCGUUCCAUUAGGCAAACCACCGGUUUUUGACGGUGAAGAUUAUAAUAUGUGGAGUGACAAAAUGAGGCAUCAUCUAACCUCACUCCACACAAGCAUAUGGAAUGUUGUUGAGUUUGGUGUACAGGUACCAUCCGUAGGGGAUGAAGACUACGACUCGGACGAGGCGGCCCAAAUUCACCACUUUAACUCCCAAGCCACUACUAUACUCCUCGCCUCUCUAAGUCGAGAGGAGUAUAAUAAGGUGCAAGGGUUAAAAAGUGCGAAGGAAAUUUGGGACGUACUCAAGAACACGCACGAGGGAGACGAGGUGACAAAGAUCACCAAGAGGGAGAUGAUCGAGGGGGAGCUCGGUCGAUUCAUGCUUCACCAAGGGGAGGAUCCACAAGCUAUGUACAACCGCUUGAAGACCUUGGUGAACCAAGUGCGCAACCUCGGGAGCGAAAAAUGGGAUGACCAUGAGAUGGUCAAGGUUAUUCUUAGAUCCCUCGUAUUUCUUAACCCUACACAAGUUCAAUUAAUUCGAGGUGAUCCUAGAUAUAAACUAAUGUCUCCCGAGGAGGUUAUAGGAAAAUUUGUGAGCUUUGAGCUAAUGAUUAAAGGCUCAAAGAAAAUCAUCGAGCAAGGCACCUCCUCCACACCCGAGGCACAACCUGUCGCAUUCAAGGCAACGGAAGAAAAGAAGGAGGAGGCUACUCCAAGUCGAACACCCAUCGACGCCUCCAAGCUCGACAACGAGGAUAUGGCGCUCAUCAUCAAGAGCUUCCGUCAAAUCCUCAAGCAAAGGAGAGGGAAAGACUACAAGCCCCGCUCCAAGAAUGUGUGCUACAAAUGUGGUAAGCCCGGUCAUUUCAUUGCUAAAUGUCCAUUAUCUAGUGAUAGUGACAAGGGCGACGACAAGAAGGGGAGAAGAAAGGAGAAGAAGAGGUACUACAAGAAGAAGGGCGGCGAUGCCCAUGUUUGUCGGGAGUGGAACUCCGAUGAAAGCUCUAGCGACUCCUCCGACGACAAGGACGCCGCCAACAUCGCCGUCACCAAAGGCCUUCUCUUCCCCAACGUCGGCCACAAGUGCCUCAUGGCAAAGGACGGCAAAAAGAAGAAGGUUAAAUCUAAAUCCUCCACUAGAUAUGAGUCUUCUAGUGAUGAAAAUGCUAGUGAUGAGGAAGAUAACUUACGCACUCUUUUUGCCAACCUCAACAUGCAACAAAAAGAGAAACUUAAUGAAUUGGUUAGUGCUAUUCAUGAGAAGGAUGAUCUCUUGGACACCCAAGAGGACUUCCUUAUUAAAGAAAAUAAGAAGCAUGUUAAGGUCAAAAAUGCUUACGCUCUAGAAGUAGAGAAAUGUGAAAAACUUUCUAGUGAGCUAAGCUCUUGUCAUGAAACUAUUGACAACCUUAGAAAUAAAAAUGCCAAUUUAUUAGCUAAAGUUGAUUCUCAUGUUUGUAAUGUUUCAAUUACCAAUCCUAGAAAUAAUGAUGAUGAUCUACUUGCUAGGAUUGAAGAAUUGAACAUUUCCCUUGCUAGCCUUAAAGUUGAAAAUGAGAAAUUGCUUGCUAAGGCUAAAGAUUUUGAUGUCUGCAAUGUUACUAUUUCUAACCUUAGAAGUGAAAACGAUAUAUUACAUGCUAAGGUUGUAGAAUUAAAAUCUUGCAAACCCUCUACAUCUAUCGUUGAGCAUGUAUCUAUUUGUACUAGAUGUAGAGAUGUUGAUAUUAAUGCUAUUCAUGAUCACAUGUCUUUGAUUAAACAACAAAAUGAUCAUAUAGCAAAAUUAGAUGCUAAAAUUGCCGAGCAUAACUUAGAAAAUGAAAAUUUUAAAUUUGCUCGUAUUAUGCUUUAUAAUGGGAGACACCCUGGCAUCAAGGAUGGCAUUGGCUUCCAAAGGGGAGACAAUGUCAAACUUAAUGCCCCUCCUAAAAGAUUGUCUAAUUUUGUAAAGGGCAAGGCUCCCAUGCCUCAGGAUAACGAGGGUUACAUUUUGUACCCUGCCGGUUAUCCCGAGAGCAAAAUUAGGAGGAUUCACUCUAAGAAGUCUCACUCUGGCCCUGUUGGGGACUUGUUCUCAAAUGCUAUGAGUCAAGAACAAGGCAACAUAGAAAAUGUUAAUCGGUAAAGUCCUUCGUCCUUCGAAGCAUUAUUCCCCUUAGGAUAUAAUGGUUUUCGGACGAAGGUUAUGAAGGGCGUACCUUCAUAAAUACAUUAUACAAUGACGAAGGAUGAAUUGUAAGGAAUAUAAAGGACAACAUAAACAAUUAUAUAUUACUAUUAUGUAUAAACAGAAAUAACGUUGGAUUACAAAUGUACCUUCAACUUGAAGGAGAUGAAAGUACAAGCGUGACGCAAAAGCGAAUGCCAAAUCAGCGUGAACAGUACGGGGGUACUGUUCACCUAUUUAUAGGCACGGGACACAGCCCAUACAAAAUUACAUUCAUACCCUUUACAUUUGAUAAUAAUUCUAUAGUAGUCUAUCGAGGUCUGAAUAGCCUUUUCAUCUCUAAGUCGGUUUCAUUUUCUGCUACCACGCCGAAGCUUUCCUGCUCACAUCUUCGGCGCUGUAUCGACCUUCGUAUUAUUCUGGUCUUCUUCUGUCGCGAUACCGACUUGAGUCCGAAGAUACCUGCUCACACAUUAUACUCCAGAAAUACUGUUAAAUCCUGUUUUUGAGGACCUUCGUAAGCCGAAGGCCCCCAACAAAUAAAGUCUAACCAUCAAGGAAGGAUCAGCCUUGCCUCGGCAAAGCCCUACCCUCCCUCGGGGGCUAGAAGUGGGGAACCCCCUCUGCAUCAAAAUUUUCCUCCGAAAAGUUUUCUACCAAAACGACUUUCGUGCUUUUCGACUCAUAUCGAUAACAGAAUCCUAAAAAGGACGAGAGGAACCUUAAACGGCAAGGCCGACCGAACCGAGGGACUCCUACGCCUCCGGGAUACGGAUACCUCACUCAUCACCUUCCGCGAAAAGUAACUCACGCUCGGAUAAGCGAUUCUGCUACCGAACAAGUCCUAACGCUCGAAAACUUUUCUACCAAAACGAAUUUCGUGCUUUUCGACUAUAUUGAUAACGGAAUCCUCAAAACGACGAGAGAACACGUAAGCAGCAAGGCCGACCGAGCCGAGGGACUCCUACGCCUCCAGGAUACGGAUACCUCACUCAUCACCUUCCAUGAAAAGUAACUCACGCUCGGAUAAGUGAUUCCGCUACCGAACAAGUCCUAACGCACGAAACAAGAGGAAAGAAAACGCAGCUUUAUAAUUCGACAAUUAAAAUGUUUAGGCCCCAACGGUCGCAAAAAACAUACGCAUACUUAAAACAAACUGUUCCUGCAGGCUCAGACAUUGGCAGGGGGAGGAGCAGCACGCUCGGCGUCAUUUCCACCCUCGGCAGAAUCUGGCCCGGCCUCGGACGGCGACACGGGCGGAAGGAUCUCCACCUCAAAGGAGGAAGCCAGCGCCGUGCUUGGGCCCUCGACAGCCGCGUCAAGCCUCUGGACCUCGGCUAAGGCAGCCUCCUCUUCGUCGGGUAAGCAGUACCCCUCGCUGACCCGCUCCAGAUCCACGUCGUAGUGGGAAGCAAGCACGGCGAAGGCCCGCCUAACGUCGUGGUGCAGCGCCCCGCGGAGUCUGCUGCGCACAUGGCCGCCCAAGGCCCACAGAUGACUCUGGGGGGGGAGCUACCCGAGGGGACGCCGUCGAGGCCGAAGGCCUGGCAAAAGGCCGAGAUAGCCUCGGACAUGGCCGCACGGUCGGCCUCCUUCUGCUCAGCCGCCUGGGCAAGCACCUUGCAGCUCUUGACGGACUCGUUAAGAGCCAUCUCGAACCCUGCAGACAGCAGGACAACAUUCUUCAGAUGCAAGGAGAAGAAUGGAGACAUAAACAAAGUCACAGAGCGGGCAAAACAAACCUUUGGCCCGGGCACGCUGCUGUGAGGCCAUGGCUCGGGCAGACCGGGCAGACCCGACGACCACAGCCAGGCCCUCCGCAAGGGUCCCAGCCCGAGCAGUCGCCUCGGGUCUAGAAAGGGGGUUCCCCCCUUCUUGGCGCCCACUCCAGGGUUCCCACCCUACGACACGGGGGCUAGGUCCCACACGUCAUGCGAGCUGACCCGAAACGCGAAGAAGGCAAACCGCCUCACGCGAAGCACGCAACCGCCCCGCAGUUAUAAGCAUUCCCUCAUCCUCACCGAAACCAGCGGUCGAAAGGGCGGACCGCCGCGCAAGAAGCAUGCAACCGCACUACGGUUGUGCACCCUUUUAGCUUCGUCGCAUCCGACGGUCCAGCAUGGGGCCCCGGUCCCACAUGUCAUGUAACCGGUGCUCCGGUUGCUACGUGCAAGGAAACCACACCGCCACUUGCGCCAAUGCCACGUCUUCUCGAAUGCAGAACCAGUGCAGCGAUUCGAGGCAGUCCCGCGCGUGACCCAACAGUGCCAAUUAAGUGAAACGAUCACGGGUCAGUCAGCCGCGGAGAUAGGCACGACGAUCGAUAUGAUCAGAGGCGGGCCGGCAGUAAUUGCAGCAACAGACGUGCGGAAGCAGCGGUCCAAUCACCUACAGGCUCGCAUCCUCUCCCGAAGCGGCAGGGGAGCCCUCUCCCACGGCAUAAAGACGACGCACCCGUGUUCCGUUCCUCGAACGACUCGUGCAUGCGCAACAGACGCCCCGCGAAUCGCCCAUCCCGUCGCAUUAACUUUUUGGUAGGCAAGCGACACCUCCGGCAGGCGAAGCGGGCGCCGUUUCACCUCCGUCAUGAUGACCGCGUCAAAAAAGGUGCGCCACAUUAUUCAAAUUCAUAUCCUUUUUCUUUUCCUCUCUCUCUCUCUCUCUUGCCACAGGGACCGGAAAAGGGGAUAUUUCGAAAAAGGAUCCUUCUAAGCGAAGGAAACAGGCCCCGAGCCCUCCUACUAAUCAGGGGUUCGAAGGUUGCGCCCUUCGGGGUUUGGCAACCGCCCCAGAGCAUUCGGGCUUUGAGCCCUCUACUGAUAAGGGGUUCGAAGGCUGGCCCUCGGAAGUUUUUGAUAGCCACCCCAGAGCACGCAGAGUCAGGGAUGACCCUGGGUACGUCUGUUACAUGGCCGAGGCUCGGGCUACGCUCCCGAGGUUUCCUAGGACAUUUCCGAGACCAACGGGAACAAUUUGUAAUGGAAUUGAAAGUCGCCUAGAGGGGGGUGAAUAGGGCGAAACUGAAAUUCUCAAAAAUAAUCACAACUACAAGCCGGGUUAGCGUUAGAAAUAUAAUCAAGUCCGCGAGAGAGGGUGCAAAACAAAUCGCAAGCGAAUAAGGAGUGAGACACGUGGAUUUGUUUUACCGAGGUUCGGUUCUUGCAAACCUACUCCCCGUUGAUGUGGUCACAAAGACCGGGUCUCUUUCAACCCUUUCCCUCUCUCAAACGGUCCCUCGGACCGAGUGAACUUUUCUUCUCAAUCACUUGGAACACAAAGUUCCCACAAGGACCACCACAAGAUUGGUGUCUCUUGCCUCAAUUACAAGUGAGUUUGAUCGCAAUGAAGAGUCAAAGAAAGAAGAAAGCAAUCCAAGCGCAAGAGCUCGAAAGAACACAAGCAAAUCUCUCUCACUAAUCACUAAAGCGUUGUGUGGAAUUUGGAGAGGAUUUGAUCACUUGGGUGUGUCUAGAAUUGAAUGCUAGAGCUCUUGUAAGUGGUUGAAGUAGGAAAACUUGGAUGACUUAAAUGUGGGGUGGUUGGGGGUAUUUAUAGCCCCAACCACCAAACUAGCCGUUUGGUGGGGCUGUCUGUCGCAUGGUGCACCGGACAGUCCGGUGCACACCGGACAUGUCCGGUGCGACAGCCACGUCACCAGGGCGUUAGGGUUCCGACCGUUGGAGCUCUGACUGCUGGGCCCGCCUGGAUGUCCGGUGGCGCACCGGACAUGCACUGUGGAUUGUCCGGUGCGCCAGCAUGGGCGUGCCUGACUUCUGCGCGCGCUGGCGCGCAUUUAAUGCGCUGCAGGUAGCCGUUGGCGCCUGAAGUAGCCGUUGCCCCGCAGUUACACCGGACAGUCUGGUGUACACCGGACAGUCCGGUGUACACCGGACAUGUCCGGUGAAUUAUAGCGAAGCAGCCGAUGCGAAUUCCCGAAGCUGGCGAGUUCAGAGCCGCGUCCUCUUGGAGCACCGGACACUGUCCGGUGUACACCGGACAGUCCGGUGAAUUAUAGCGCGCCGGCUUUGAGAAUUCCCGAAGGUGCGAAGUUUAGCUUGGAGUUCCCUGGUGCACCGGACACUGUCCGGUGGCACACCGGACAGUCCGGUGCGCCAGACCAGGGCUGCCUUCGGUUAUCCCUUGCUCCUUUGUUUGAACCCAAUUCUUAGUCUUUUUAUUGGCUAAGUGUGAACCUUUAGCACCUGUAUAACUUAUUCACUAGAGCAAACUAGUUAGUCCAAUUAUUUGUGUUGGACAAUUCAACCACCAAAAUCAUUUAGGAAAUAGGUGUAAGCCUAAUUCCCUUUCAAUCUCCCCCUUUUUGGUGAUUGAUGCCAACACAACCCAAAGCAAAUAUAGAAGUGCAUAAUUGAACUAGCUUGCAUAAUGUAAGUGCAAAGGUUGCUUGGAAUUGAGCCAAUAUAAAUACUUAUAAGAUAUGCAUGGAUUGUUUCUUCAUUUUUAACAUUUUGGACCACGUUUGCACCACAUGUUUUGUUUUUGCAAUUUCUUUUGUAAAUCCUUUUCAAAGUUCUUUUACAAAUAGUCAAAGGUAAAUGAAUAAGAUUUAGCGAAACAUUUUCAAGAUUUGAAAUUUUCUCCCCCUGUUUCAAAUGCUUUCCUUUGACUAAACAAAACUCCCCCUAAAUGAAAUUUUCCUCUUAGUGUUCAAGAGGGUUUUAGGAUAUUGAUUUUGAAAAUACUAUUCUUCUCCCUCUUUUGAACACAAUAAGAUACCAAUUUGAAAUUUAUCAAUUGAUAAUCAUACCAAUUGAAAAACUCUUUUAAAAUUAGGUGGUGGUGCGGUCCUUUUGCUUUGGGCUAAUACUCUCUCCCCCUUUGGCAUGAAUCGCCAAAAACGGAGUCAUUAGAGCCCUUAGAAUUACUUGCUUCCCCUUUGGUCAUAAAUAAAUGAGUUAAGAUUAUACCAAAGUAGAAGAGUGGUCUCUCCCCAAAGAAGGAGAGUUGCUCGGAGUGACGACGAAGGAUGAGUUACGGAGUGGAAGCCUUUGUCUUCGCCGAAGACUCCAAUUCCCUUUUAAUACACCUAUGACUUGGUUUGAAAUAGACUUGAGAACACAUUAGUCAUAGUAUAUGAAAGAGACAUGAUCAAAGGUAUAAAAAUGAGCUAUGUGUGUAAAAUCAACAAAAGAAGUUCCUAGAAUCAAGAAUAUUUAGCUCAUGCCUAAGGUUGUUAAAAGUUUGUUCAUCUAGUGGCUUGGUAAAGAUAUCAGCUAAUUGAUCUUUUGUAUUAAUAUAUGCAAUCUCGAUAUCUCCCUUAUGUUGGUGAUCCCUUAAAAAGUGAUACCGAAUGGCUAUGUGCUUAGUGCGGCUAUGCUCAACGGGAUUAUCCGCCAUGCGGAUUGCACUCUCAUUAUCACAUAGAAGAGGAACUUUGGUUAACUUGUAACCAUAGUCCCGCAGGGUUUGCCUCAUCCAAAGUAGUUGCGCGCAACAAUGGCCUGCGGCAAUGUACUCGGCUUCGGCGGUAGAAAGAGCGACCGAAUUUUGCUUCUUUGAAGCCCAAGACACCAAGGAUCUCCCCAAGAACUGGCAAGUCCCCGAUGUGCUCUUUCUAUUAAUCUUACACCCCGCCCAAUUGACAUCCGAAUAACCAAUCAAGUCAAAUGUGGAUCCCCGAGGGUACCAAAGUCCAAACUUAGGAGUAUAAGCCAAAUAUCUCAAGAUUCGUUUUACGGCCGUAAGGUGAGAUUCCUUAGGGUCGGCUUGGAAUCUUGCACACAUGCAUACGGAAAGCAUAAUGUCCGGUCGAGAUGCACAUAAAUAGAGUAAUGAACCUAUCAUCGACCGGUAUACCUUUUGAUCCACGGAUUUACCUCCCGUGUCGAGGUCGAGAUGCCCAUUGGUUCCCAUGGGUGUCUUAAUGGGCUUGGCGUCCUUCAUUCCAAACUUGUUUAGAAUGUCUUGAGUAUACUUCGUUUGGCAAAUGAAGGUGCCCUCUUGGAGUUGCUUUACUUGGAAUCCUAGAAAAUACUUCAACUCCCCCAUCAUCGACAUCUCGAACUUUUGUGUCAUGAUCCUACUAAAUUCUUCACAUGUAGACUCGUUAGUAGACCCAAAUAUAAUAUCAUCAACAUAAAUUUGGCAUACAAACAAGUCAUUUUCAAGAGUUUUAGUGAAUAAAGUAGGAUCGGCCUUUCCGACUUUGAAUCCAUUAGUGAUAAGGAAAUCCCUAAGGCAUUCAUACCAUGCUCUUGGGGCUUGCUUGAGCCCAUAAAGCGCCUUAGAGAGUUUAUAGACAUGGUUAGGGUACUCACUAUCUUCAAAACCGGGAGGUUGCUCAACAUAGACCUCUUCUUUGAUUGGUCCAUUGAGGAAGGCACUCUUCACGUCCAUUUGGUAAAGCUUGAAGCCAUGGUAAGUAGCAUAGGCUAAUAAUAUGCGAAUUGACUCAAGCCUAGCUACGGGUGCAUAGGUUUCACCAAAAUCCAAACCUUCGACUUGUGAAUACCCCUUGGCCACGAGUCGAGCUUUGUUCCUUGUCACCACACCAUGCUCAUCUUGCUUGUUGCGGAAAACCCACUUGGUUCCUACAACAUUUUGAUUAGGACGUGGAACCAAAUGCCAUACCUCAUUCCUCGUGAAAUUGUUGAGCUCCUCUUGCAUCGCCACCACCCAAUCCGAAUCUUGUAGUGCUUCCUCCACCUUGUGUGGCUCAAUAGAGGAAACAAAAGAGUAAUGUUCACAAAAAUGUGCAACACGAGAUCUAGUAGUUACCCCCUUAUGAAUGUCGCCGAGGAUGGUGUCGACGGGGUGAUCUCGUUGGAUUGCUUGGUGGACUCUUGGGUGUGGCGGUUUUAGGGCAUGUUUGGUUCGUUACCCCAAUUGCCACACUUUGCCUAACUUUUUUGCCUAAGGUUAGUUAUUCAAUUCGAAUGACUAACCUUAGGCAAAGUGGGGCACAGUUAGCCACAAACCAAACAAGCCCUUAGUUCUUCAUCCUCCUUGUCUUGGUCAUUUGCAUCUCCCCCUUGAUCAUUGCCGUCAUCUUGAGGUGGCUCAUCUCUUUGAUCUUCUCCUUCAUCAACUUGAGCCCCAUCCUCAUUUUGAGUUGGUGGAGAUGCUUGCGUAGAGGAGGAUGGUUGAUCUUGUGCAUGGGGAGGCUCUUCGGAUUCCUUAGGACACACAUCCCCAAUGGACAUGUUCCUUAGCGCGAUGCAUGGAGCCUCUUCUUCACCUAUCUCAUCAAGAUCAACUUGCUCUACUUGAGAGCCGUUAGUCUCAUCAAACACAACGUCACAAGAAACUUCAACAAGCCCUGAGGACUUGUUAAAGACUCUAUAUGCCCUUGUGUUUGAGUCAUAUCCUAAUAAAAAGCCUUCUACAGUUUUAGGAGCAAAUUUAGAUUUUCUACUUCUUUUAACAAGAAUAAAGCAUUUGCUACCAAAAACUCUAAAAUAUGAAAUAUUGGGCUUUUUACCGGUUAGGAGUUCAUAGGAUGUCUUCUUGAGGAUUCAGUGUAGAUAUAACUGGUUGAUGGCGUAGCAAGCGGUGUUGACCGCCUCGGCCCAAAACCGAUCCGAAGUCUUGUACUCAUCAAGCAUGGUUCUUGCCAUGUCCAAUAGAGUUCUAUUCUUCCUCUCCACUACACCAUUUUGUUGUGGCGUGUAGGGAGAAGAGAACUCAUGCUUGAUGCCCUCCUCCUCAAGAAAGCCUUCAAUUUGAGAGUUCUUGAACUCCGUCCCAUUGUCGCUUCUAAUUUUCUUGAUCCUUAAGCCGAACUCAUUUUGAGCCCGUCUCAAGGAUCCCUUUAAGGUCUCUUGGGUUUGAGAUUUUUCCUGCAAAAGAAUACCCAAGUGAAGCGAGAAUAAUCAUCCACUAUCACAAGACAAUACUUACUCCCGCCGAUGCUUAUGUAAGCAAUCGGGUCGAACAGAUCCAUGUGGAGUAGCUCAAGCGGCCUGUCGGUCGUCAUGAUGUUCUUGUGUGGAUGAUGGGCACCAACUUGCUUUCCUGCUUGGCAUGCGCUACAAACCCUGUCUUUCUCAAAAUGAACAUUGGUUAGUCCUAAAAAUGCGCUCUCCCUUUAGAAGCUUAUGAAGAUUCUUCAUCCCAACAUGGGCUAGUCGGCGGUGCCAGAGCCAACCCAUGUUAGUUUUAGCAAUUAAGCAAGUGUCGAGUUCAGCUCUAUCAAAAUCUACCAAGUAUAGCUGACCCUCCAACACUCCCUUAAAUGCUAUUGAAUCAUCACUUCUUCUAAAGAUAGUGACACCUACAUUAGUGAAAAGAUAGUUGUAACCCAUUUUGCAUAAUUGAGAUACAGAAAGCAAACUGUAAUCUAAUGAAUCUACAAGAAAAACAUUGGAAAUAGAAUGGUCAGGAGAUAUAGCAAUUUUACCCAAUCCUUUGACCAAACCUUGGUUUCCAUCCCCGAAUGUGAUCGCUCGUUGGGGAUCUUGGUUUUUCUCGUAGGAGGAGAACUUCUUCUUCUCCCCUGUCAUGUGGUUUGUGCACCCGCUGUCGAUGAUCCAGCUUGAGCCCCCGGAUGCAUAAACCUACAAAACAAGUUUAGUUCUUGACUUUAGGUACCCAAACGGUUUUGGGUCCUUUGGCAUUAGAAACAAGAACUUUGGGUACCCAAACACAAGUCUUGGAGCCCUUGUGUUUGCCCCCAACAAACUUGGCAACUACCUUGCCGGAUUUGUUAGUUAAAACAUAUGAUGCAUCAAAAGUUUUGAAUGAAAUGUCAUGAUCAUUUGAUGCACUAGGAGUUUUCCUUUUAGGCAACUUAGCAUGGGUUGGUUGCCUAGAGCUAGAUGUCUCACCCUUAUACAUAAAAGCAUGAUUAGGGCCUGUUGGGGACUUGUUCUCAAAUGCUAUGAGUCAAGAACAAGGCAACAUAGAAAAUGUUAAUCGGUAAAGUCCUUCGUCCUUCGAAGCAUUAUUCCCCUUAGGAUAUAAUGGUUUUCGGACGAAGGUUAUGAAGGGCGUACCUUCAUAAAUACAUUAUACAAUGACGAAGGAUGAAUUGUAAGGAAUAUAAAGGACAACAUAAACAAUUAUAUAUUACUAUUAUGUAUAAACAGAAAUAACGUUGGAUUACAAAUGUACCUUCAACUUGAAGGAGAUGAAAGUACAAGCGUGACGCAAAAGCGAAUGCCAAAUCAGCGUGAACAGUACGGGGGUACUGUUCACCUAUUUAUAGGCACGGGACACAGCCCAUACAAAAUUACAUUCAUACCCUUUACAUUUGAUAAUAAUUCUAUAGUAGUCUAUCGAGGUCUGAAUAGCCUUUUCAUCUCUAAGUCGGUUUCAUUUUCUGCUACCACGCCGAAGCUUUCAUGCUCACAUCUUCGGCGCUGUAUCGACCUUCGUAUUAUUCUGGUCUUCUUCUGUCGCGAUACCGACUUGAGUUCGAAGAUACCUGCUCACACAUUAUACUCCAGAAAUACUGUUAAAUCCUGUUUUUGAGGACCUUCGUAAGCCGAAGGCCCCCAACAGUAGCCCCUCGCAAUAUUAAUUUGUUUAAAAUAAUAAAUUUAGAUUGCGACAUGGACGAAGGCUUUACGCCGAAGGUCCGAAAAAACACCUUCCCUUUGCUAGAAUAGCAACAUUCACUGACAAGCGGGGUUUUUCCACGCCGAAGGUCCGAAAAAACACCUUCCCUUUGCUAGAAUAGCAACAUUCACUGACAAGCGGGGUCUUUCCACUUUCAACGCACUGGGCGUAUAAAUAAGAUCAUACCGCAAACUCAUUUGGCACGCUUUCUUGCCAUCUGCUCCCGCUCACUCAAUUUUUAGCUUUUGCGCACCAAGAUUUGCUGAGCUUUUAAGUUUUGAAGCUUCGGCAUUGAAAACAAUUUUUUAGUAUUCCCGAAAAUGUCUGAAGAUAAGAAGGCUGCUACCGAGAUGAAGCUAAGUCUCGAUGAAGAGAAAAAUCUGGGGUUUCUUAUAGCAAUGUCGAAGACCAACACAGAAAAAAUCACCAAGGAGAUUCUAGAAGGUUUGUCUGAGGAUACUGGUGAAAGCGACAGUUAUGAUGUGGACAGCGGUGGUGAAGACUCCGAAGAUCGUCCCUGGCGACCAAGCCAUUCAGUUUAUGGUAAAUCAACUAUCAAAGAGAAUCAUCUUGUCAACAUGAGAGGAAGGUAUUUCCGGGAUUUGUCCGUUGUGAGGGCCAACGAAGGGGAGAAGACUUGUCCACACCCUGAAGAGAAUGAAGUCGUAGUGUACCGAAGCUUUUUGAAAGCUGGACUAAGAUUUCCCCUAAGCAGCUUCAUUGUAGAGGUGCUGAAAAUAUUCGAAGUCUAUCUUCACCAACUUACCCCUGAGGCAAUCAUAAGGCUGAAUAUCUUCGUGUGGGCCGUGAGAAGCCAAGGUUUGAAGCCUGAUGCAAAAAGUUUCUGCAAUAUACACGAAUUAUCAUACGAAACAAAACCUUGGGGUAAGGAACAGUAUCACAAUAAUUUUGGCUGCUACAGCUUCGUUUCUCGGUCCGAGUCAAGCUGUCCCGUGCCAACCUUUCGGAAGAGGUGGCCCGGCGACUGGAUGACAGAAUGGUUUUAUGUGAAGAAUGACCUGACAGUACGAGAAGAUAUCAAAGGUAUAAUUAUGCGCCCUAUUUGGCAAAGCUUCGGCCUUCGGAGGCCGAAGGUUGAAAUGAAUGAAGCUGCCGAAGAAUGCUAGAGAGCCUUCGGCGUUAUCUGUUCUUUUAUUGGAACUAGAGAUUUAGUACAAGAGCAUAUUGCCUUCAGGGUAUGGCCGCUCGCGGAGAAAUGGGAAAUGCCGCAAGAAACCAUAAAAGAGGCCGACGAAGGUGGACUUAUCAGGCUGAAGUACACUUUUAAGUUCGGAGAUAAAUUCGUUGAGCCAGAUGAUGACUGGUUAAAAAGCAUUGAAAAUUUAAGUGAUGAACUGCUUGGGGCUUAUUCGAAGGCCGAAGAUACUGCACUGUCAGCAGCCUUCGGAGGCCGAAAAAAGAAGAGGCUGAAUCGGGUGUUUGAUGCAAUCGGGUUCGUCUACCCUGACUAUCGUUACCCCAUUCGAGGGCAGAAGAGAAAAAACACAACCUCUGCAAAAGAAGAAGCUGCAACUGCUCCUAGCGAGCCAGAAUCGAAAAGAAAAAGGAUAAAGGUCCUCACACAUCGGCCGCGCUAUAUUGAACCAGCUUCGGUGCCCGAGUUCACCGGAGAAACUUCUUCGGCCACCGAGGCUGAAAAGCCAAUCAAAUCAACCUUGCUGCCAGAAGUUGCAGAAAUGGCCGAAGCGCCAACAAGGAUAGAAUUGAAAGAACCGAAGAUUUUGCUACCAGAAACCAAAGAGAUGGCCGAAGAGCCAUCCACAGAAAAAAUGGAAGAAGUGAAAAAACCAACUGAAGAAAAAACAUCAGAAGUUUUGAGUCCUGCAGCGAAUAUUGAGACAGUAAAAAAUCAAAAAGUGCCAGCAGUGACUCCGAAAAGAAAGAGAAUGGCAAAUGUGCUAGAUGUACUGGAAACAAUUAAAUCUUCAAGCACACCUCCGAAGAAGACUACUGCCAUUCCCGAAGCGAAAACUGAAAUUUCUGAUACUAAAGCUCCAGAGCAAGAAACUGAAGCCGAAGCUGGGUCCUCAGAGCCCGCGAAGAUAAAAUCCUUGGAAACUGAGGAAGAAAAAAUAACAGAGCCAACUUUUGUUGAAGAAAUCGGUGUCAUUGCCCCCGAAGCAUCCUCCAAAGUCCGUGAUUAUAUUGUUCGUCAUGCUUCGGGGAAAAAACUAUCAGAAAAAGAAGAGCAAGAGGCCCAGCGCUACGCCCAAAAACUGAAGUAUCCAAAGGGGGCGUUAAUAUUCAAUGGCAGUGGAGAAGAAGACUUUUUAUAUUGUCUCCCUGACAGCAAGGAGAUUUCUGUCUGUCGGGAGAUGAGCAAAAGCUUCGGAUUCCCAACACUAGAAGACGGGCUCUCGGUGCUGUCGAAGAACGAUCUGGCCGACAGCCUGGCAUAUAAUAGCUUAAAGGUGCAACAAAUGGGAUCUUUGUAUUUUUUGUUGUGACCAAAAUUUUUCAUUUACUUAAAUCUAUUGACGCACACAUAUUUCUCUUUGCAGGGCCUGAUACUUAGCAAUGCCCUCAGGACACAGAAAGAUGCUGAAGACGAAGGGUGCGCUAUAGCCCUGAGCAACCUUCGUUCCGAAGUAAUUGAACUGAGGAACGAAGGUCUUGAAAAAGAUAAAAUAUUACAUUCAUUGAUAAAUAAAAUAAAGGAAGACGAAGCUGCUUUUAAAGGUCAAGCUGAGGCUCAGAAGCGCGAAAUUGAAGAUCUUCGGAAACAACUGGCCAGAGCCAAGGAAGAACGCAUACUUGAAGAAACGAAGCGAGAACUCAGCGACCAAUGGGCAGAUCACUUAGAAGGAACUGUUGAAGAGCUUCGUUCGUCCAAGAAGAGAUGCUAUAACAAAUCUAUAGAGUGUGUUAAGAAGUUAAAAGCUAGCUUCGCCAGAGUCGGCGCAUUCUCAAGUGAAGAAAACUUCACAAGAGGCAAUCCCGAAGGUCCCAUCGAAUGGAUCGACCACGAAGCUGAAGCCUUCGAGGAAAUUUUAAAUAGCCGUGGAGAUAUAUGUGCUUUCUCGGGUGCCAGAGGAAUUGCCACUAUUUUAGAGAAAAAGGGCUGCGAACAUGUAAAAAUUUUAGUGCAAUCCGAAGCUGCUUUGUCCUUUGAAGAUGCAAGAGAUCCUUCGGCUGAAGCUAGCAUGGGUGGUGGAAAAAUUUUCACUGAUAUCUGGGAUAAUGGUGGCCGAGAAAUGGCCGGAGAAAUUAUUCGAAAAAGUGAAAAGGGCAUUCACGAUGCUAGAGAAGUGGCUGAGGCUGCUGAAAAAAGCGCAGAGCCCGAAGGGCAAAUAGGUAUCAACUGAUGGUUUUAUUGUGUUGUAAUUUUCGAUUUUAAACUUCGUUCGCAAUUUGUAAUAGCAAUGUAGCCGUAUCCUGUCCUCCUUCAGAUCCUACCAAAGCGUCUUCGGGACCUCCCCCGAAAGGAGACGACGAAAUUAAAGAGAUGGCUGAAGCUAUCAUGGAUGAAGUUGUUAAUCGGCUCCUGAACGAGGCUGCAGAAGUCGUUUUGAGAGAAGAUUAAGUAUUAUUGUAAAAACCUCUGAAAUGUAAUAUAUUGUAACAUUUUGUAACCCUGAAUGUAAUAUACCUGUUUUUGUUGUUCAAUUCUUUACGAUGCAUGAAAUUUUACACGUACCGUUUUUGAGUAUUUGACGAAAAAACACCUUCCCUUCUUUUCAUGCUUCGUGAAGAAGAAUUUUUCUUUGUCACAACAAUAUCCAGUGUUCUGAUGAAUAAUAUCCAGGCUUCGUGAAGAUAUUUUCCGAAGCUACACUUCCGAAGAUUAAUAAUGUGUCUCCUUGUGACAUCAUGAUUCUUCCCUUUUUCCAAAACGUUCUUCUGUAGAUCGAUAUUGUGUCCACCUCUUGUGCCAUUUGCAACAUGAUGUAUGAUGCUUAUGCUAUGCGAAAUGAUGCGAUGAUGUUAUGUUAUGUGAGGUAAUGUUUAUUCCGAAGAUACAUACGCAUCCCUGCAAUAAAACACAUAAUCUUUUAUAAGCCUCCCUUAGGAGCUUCUUCGCCUUUUACUUCAGCGGAAUCAGCGUUUAUUUUUCGCUGUAAGCCUCCCUUAGGAGCUUCUUCGCCUUUUACUUUCAGCGGUAUCCGCGUUGACUUUUCGCGCUUCGCCUUUUACUUAGGCGGUAUCAGCGUUGACUUUUCGUUGUAUGCUCUGCAUUCCCUUUGGAACGACUUUGGAGCAGAAAACUUACACUGCACUCCUUCUGGAGCGGCUUUUUGUGACUUCGGCAAACUUACUCUGCGUUCCUUAGAACGACUUUUUGUUGCUUCGAAGAAUUUUCGAUGAUUUGAAGGUUCUCUUUGUUAUCACAAAUCUUUAAACUUCAACAACUUAGACCUGUGAAGAAAAUAUAUUUUCCUUGUGGCAAACAACGAAACUAUUUACAUGAAAUCUAAACAAUGUUCUUUAUUACACAGAAAAUAAGACUGAAUAAGAAAGACUGCUAUUAAGGUAGGAUAUUUGUCAAUAGAUGUGCUUUGACUCUGGCACAGUGUUGUUGACUGUACGAGCUUCGGACUGCUCUCUGAAGUCCCUUUGGUGUGGAGCAUACUGGCUCCCUUCUGGCUGCUGGCCUUGUUGCAGCGGAGGUGGAGGCGGAGGCUGUUGCCAGGAAGCUUGGGGUUGACUCGCCGAAGCAACAGAAACUGCAGGGUGGUUGCCCACAUAUUCUGGGAUGUAAGGCAAAUGAUACGAAGCAGUAUGCAUGACCUGCUUCGGCUGAGCUUGUUGUGCUGCGGCUUCGGCUAUUUCCUUUUGCUUUUGGAUGGUAACAUGGCACAUCCUGGUGGUAUGGCCUUUGUUCUCACCGCAAAACAAGCAAAAGAUUCUUCUUGGUUGAUCUCCGAAUCUUCCGCCGAAGCCCCUGGCGCCUCUGCCUCUUGGGGCUGGUGGUCGGAAGGAGCCUUGCUGUUGCCCCGAAGCUUGUGAGGAACACUGUGGCCUUUGCUGUUGGCUCCCUCGAUCAUCAUUUUGGGUAGAGUUAUGAAUUGAUCUAACGUGCCUCGGAUAGAACCUUCCUCCGAAGCCCCUGGUCAUUUCAGAAAACCUGAAAGCCUCCUCCCUUCUUUGGCGAAAAUCAUUAUCGGCCCGAAUGUACUCGUCCAUCUUCUGGAGCAGCUUCUCCAAAGUUUGAGGAGGCUUCCUAGCGAAGUACUGAGCUGACGGUCCUGGCCGAAGCCCCUUGAUCAUGGCCUCAAUGACAAUUUCAUUGGGCACCGUUGGUGCCUGUGCCCUCAAACGCAAGAACCUCCGGACGUACGCCUGAAGGUAUUCUUUGUGAUCCUGGGUGCACUGGAAUAGAGCUUGAGCAGUGACCGGCUUCGUCUGAAACCCUUGAAAGCUAGUUAACAACAAGUCCUUCAGCUUCUGCCAUGAAGUAAUCGUUCCUGGUCGAAGGGAGGAAUACUAGGUUUGAGCAACACUCCUGACAGCCAUAACAAAAUAUUUGGCCAUGACUGCAGCAUUGCCACCAUACGAAGAUACUGUUGCUUCGUAGCUCAUCAAAAACUGCUUCGGGUCUGAGUGGCCAUCGAAUACGGGAAGCUGAGGCGGCUUGUAGGACGGAGGCCAAGGUGUGGCCUGCAGCUCAGCGGACAGAGGAGAAGCAUCAUCGAAAACAAAAUUCCCAUGAUGGAAAUUAUCAUACCAGUCAUCUUCGUUGAGGAAACCCUCCUGAUGAAGGUCUUGGUGCUGAGGCCUUCGGUGCUGCUCAUCCUGAGCAAGAUGACGAACUUCUUCAGAGGCUUCGUCUAUCUGCCUUUGCAGUUCAGCUAGCCUGGCCAUCUUUUCUUUCUUCCUCUGCACCUGUUGAUGAAGCAUCUCCAUGUCUCUGAUUUCUUGAUCUAUCUCGUCCUCUGGUGGUGUCGGGCUGACAGCCUUCCUUUUCUGGCUUCGGGCCUCCCGAAGGGAGACUGUCUCCUGAUUGUGGUCCAGCGGUUGCAGAGCUGCAGUCCCAGUCGCUGAAGCUUUCUUCGGCGCCAUAGCGAAGGUUUAUGAUCGCCGAAGGUGUUCAAAAAACUCAAAGAGUGGAAGUGAGUUCACCGGAGGUGGGCGCCAAUGUUGGGGACUUGUUCUCAAAUGCUAUGAGUCAAGAACAAGGCAACAUAGAAAAUGUUAAUCGGUAAAGUCCUUCGUCCUUCGAAGCAUUAUUCCCCUUAGGAUAUAAUGGUUUUCGGACGAAGGUUAUGAAGGGCGUACCUUCAUAAAUACAUUAUACAAUGACGAAGGAUGAAUUGUAAGGAAUAUAAAGGACAACAUAAACAAUUAUAUAUUACUAUUAUGUAUAAACAGAAAUAACGUUGGAUUACAAAUGUACCUUCAACUUGAAGGAGAUGAAAGUACAAGCGUGACGCAAAAGCGAAUGCCAAAUCAGCGUGAACAGUACGAGGGUACUGUUCACCUAUUUAUAGGCACGGGACACAGCCCAUACAAAAUUACAUUCAUACCCUUUACAUUUGAUAAUAAUUCUAUAGUAGUCUAUCGAGGUCUGAAUAGCCUUUUCAUCUCUAAGUCGGUUUCAUUUUCUGCUACCACGCCGAAGCUUUCCUGCUCACAUCUUCGGUGCUGUAUCGACCUUCGUAUUAUUCUGGUCUUCUUCUGUCGCGAUACCGACUUGAGUCCGAAGAUACCUGCUCACACAUUAUACUCCGAAAAUACUGUUAAAUCCUGUUUUUGAGGACCUUCGUAAGCCAAAGGCCCCCAACAUUAUUUAUGCAUGUAAAGAAAGCGAGAUACAUGAACGACUUGAAACAUUUUAAGGGUAAAAGCGACGUAGUUGUUCGAUGUUCCAAGCGUUGUUGUAGACCUCGCCUUGAUCGUUGGCCAGCUUGUAUGUCCCGGGCUUCAAAAUCCUGGCGAUGAUGAACGACCCUUCCCAGGGAGGAGUAAGCUUGUGGUGCCCUCGGGCGUCUUGUCACAGCCGAAGUACCAAGUCUCCCACUUGGAAGCCUCGGGGCCGAACCCUUCGGGCGUGUAGCGUCGCAGAGACUGCUGAUACCGCGUCGAGUGUAGUAAGGCCACGUCCCGAGCCUCUUCCAGCUGGUCCAAUGAAUCCACUCGGCUGGUCUGGUUGCUUUGGUCGUCGUAAGCCUUUGUCCUCGGGGAACCGUAUUCCAAAUCCGUGGGUAAGAUGGCCUCGGCCCCAUAGACUAGGAAAAACAGCGAGAAGCCCGUGGCCCGGCUCGACGUCGUCCUCAGACUCUAAACCACCGAGGGUAGUUCUUUUAUCCAUCGCUUGCCAAACCUGUUGAGGUCAUUGUAGAUCCUCGGUUUUAGUCCCUGCAAAAUCAUACCGUUGGCGCGCUCCACCUGCCCAUUUGUCAUUGGGUGAGCUACGACGGCCCAGUCCACACGGAUGUGGUGGUCUUCGCAGAAGUCUACGAACUUCUUCCCAGUGAACUGCGUGCCAUUGUCGGUGAUGAUGGAGUUUGGGACCCCAAAGUGAUGGAUGAUAUUUGUGAAGAACGCCACCGCCUGCUCGGACCCGAUGCUGGUUAAGGGUCGGACCUCGAUCCACUUGAAGAAUUUGUCGAUGGCGACCAGCAGGUGCUUGAAGCCCCCGGGUGCCUUCUGCAAGGGACCGACGAGGUCCAGACCCCAUACGGCAAACAACCAAGUGAUGGGUAUUGUCUGCAGGGCUUGAGUAGGCAGGUGCGUCUGUCUCGCGUAGAAUUGACACCCUUGGCAGGAGCGUACAAUCCUAGUGGCAUCGGCCACCGCGGUCGGCCAGUAGAAACCUUGUCGGAAAGUGUUUCCCACGAGGGUUCGAGGUGCUGCAUGGUGACUGCAAGCCCCCGAGUGUAUUUCUUGUAACAGCUCUUGUCCUUGGGCGACAGAUAUGCAUCGUUGGAGAAUGCCUGAGGGGUUGCGGUGGUACAACUCUUUUUCAUCACCCAGUAAAACGAACGACUUGGCGCGCCGAGCCAGUCUCCGAGCUUCGGCCUUGUCGAGGGCAACUCUCCUCGGAGGAGAUAUUCCAGGUACGGGGUCUGCCAAUUUUGGUUUGGCGCAACCCCAUUCCGCUUUCCCUUGAUGCACAAGGCCUCACCCUCGGCGGUCGAGGGUACCUCGGGCUGGGCCGAGGUCCCCUCGGGUUCGGGUGUGUCGUUGAUUUUGACGGAUGGUUGAUAUAUGUCCCUAGAGAAGACAUUCGGGGGAUCGUUCGCCCGAGGCUAUUUUAGCCAGCUCAUCCGCGGUCUCGUUGUACCGUCGAGCAACAUGGUUGAGUUCCAGCCCGUAGAACUUAUCUUCCAAGCGCCGAACUUCAUCGCAAUAGGCCUCCAUUUUCUGAUCGCGGCAGUGGGAGUUCUUCAUGACUUGGUCAAUGACAAGCUGCGAGUCGCCCCGAGCAUCGAGGCGCCGAACCCCUAGCUCGACGGCGAUGCGUAACCCAUUAACCAAAGCCUUGUACUCGGCCACAUUGUUUGACGUCGAAAAAUGGAGGUGUAGUACGUAGCGCACAUGUUUCUCGAGGGGUGAGAUGAAGAGCAAGCCAGCACCUGCUCCUAUUUUCAUCAGCGACCCAUCGAAGUACAUGGUCCAAAGUUUGGCCUGGAUUGGAGCUGUCGGCAAUUGGGUGUCGACCCAUUCAGCCAGGAAGUCCGCCAAGACUUGGGAUUUUAUGGCCUUCCGAGGGGCAAAUGAAAUUUUUUCGCCCAUGAGUUCCACUGCCCAUUUUGCUAUCCUACCCGUGGCCUCUCGACACUGGAUGAUCUCUCCCAGGGGGAAGGAUGACACCACAGUCACCGGAUGAGACUCGAAGUAGUGUCGCAAUUUUUGUCGUGUCAGAAUUACUGUGUACAGUAGCUUCUAGAUUUGUGGGUAGCAGAUCUUGGUCUCAAAUAGCACCUCGCUGAUGAAGUAGACCGACCUCUGGAUGAGCAGUGCAUACCCUUCUUCCCGUCUCUCGACUACGAUCGCAGCGCUGACCACCUGAGUGGUUGCGGCUACGUAAAUCAAGAGGGCUUCUCCCGCAGCGGGGGGCACCAAGAUGGGCGCAUUAGUAAGGAGUGUCUUUAAGUUUCCGAGGGCUUCCUCGACCUCGGGGGGUCCAAGUGAAGCGCUCGGCCUUCCUCAAGAGGCGGUAUAAGGGCAAUCCUUUCUCGCCAAGGCGCGAGAUGAAGUGGCUCAGAGCCAUAAGGCAUCCCAUGACCCUUUGUACUCCUUUUAAAUCUUUGAUGGGUCCCAUGUUGGUGAUGCCUGCAAUUUUCUCUGGGUUGGCCUCGAUGCCUCGUUCGGUGACGAUGAACCCCAGGAGCAUGCCUCGGGGGACUCCGAAGACACACUUCUCGGGAUUGAGUUUUACGCCCUUUGCACGCAGGCACCCGAAAGCUACCUUGAGGUCGGAGAGGAGGUUGGAGGCUUUCCUUGUUUUGACGACGAUGUCAUCGACAUAAGCCUCGACCGUUCUGCCGAUGUGUUCUCCGAACACGUGGUUCAUGCACCUUUGGUAGGUUGCACCUGCAUUCCUCAAGCCAAAUGGCAUGGUAGUAUAACAAUACAUGCCAAAAGGUGUGAUAAAAGAAGUCGCGAGCUGGUCGGAUUUUUCAUCUUGAUUUGGUGAUAGCCUGAAUAGGCAUCGAGGAAAGACAGGGUUUCGCACCCAGCAGUGGAGUCCACAAUUUGAUCGAUGCGAGGCAGAGGGUAGGGAACCUUUGGACAUGCUUUAUUUAACCCAGUGUAGUCUACGCACAUCCUCCAUUUCCCACCUUUUUUCUUUACAAGCACAGGGUUAGCUAGCCAUUCUAGAUGGAAUAACUUUUUGAUGAACCCUGCAGCCAUCAGCUUGUGGACCUCCUCGCCUAUGGCCCUACGCUUUUCUUCAUCAAAGCGGCGCAUGGGCUGCUUCACGGGUCGGGCACCGGCUCGGAUGUCCAGUGAGUGCUCGGUGACAUCCCUCGGUAUGCCGGGCAUGUCCGAGGGACUCCACACAAAAAUUCGGUGUUUGCGCCGGAGAAAGUCGACGAGCACUGCUUCCUAUUUGGGGUCGAGCUCAGAGCUGAUCCUGACUUUCUUGCCGGCGUCGUUGCUGGGGUCGAGAGGGACAGACUUAACUGCCUCGACCGGUUCGAAGUUGCCGGCGUGGCGCUUCGCAUCUAGCACCUCCUUGGAGAGGCAAUCUAGGUCGGCGAUGAGGGCCUCGGACUCGGCGAUGGCCUCAGCGUCCUCCACGCAUUCCACGUCGCACUCGUAAGCGUGGCGGUAAGUGGAUCCGAUGGUGAUGGUUCCGUUGGGGCCGGGCAUCUUGAGCUUGAGGUACGUGUAGUUGGGGACAACCAUGAACUUGGCGUAUCACGGUCUUCCCAGCACCGCGUGGUAGGUCCCUCGGAACCCGACCACCUCGAACGUGAGGGUUUCCUUUCAGAAGUUGGAGGGAGUUCCAAAGCAGACGGGCAAAUCGAGUUGCCCAAGGGGCAGGACGCGCUUACCGGGGACGAUCUCAUGAAAAGGUGCUGCACUGGCCCGGAUCGUGGACAGAUCGACCCCCAAGAGCCCUAGGGUCUCGACGUAGAUGAUGUUGAGGCUGCUGCCUCCGUCCAUGAGGACCUUGGUGAGCCUAGUGUUGCCGAUGACAGGGUCGAUGACGAGCGGGUACCUUCCUGGGCUCGGUACGCAGUCGGGGUGGUCGCCUUGGUCGAAGGUGAUGGGCUUGUCGGACCAGUCUAGGUAGACCGGCGCCGCUACCUUCAUCGAGCAGACCUCCCGGCGCUCCUGCUUGCGGUGCCGAGCCGAGGCGUUCGCCACCUGUCCGCCGUAGAUCAUGAAGCAGUUGUGGACCUCCGAGAACUCCUCUUCCUUGUCGCCCCCUUCUUGUUGUUGCCUUGGUCUUUGCCACCUUCUGCCGAGGGUCCAGCCUUGUUGAAGUAACAUCGGAACUUGUCACACUCCUCAAGGGUGUGCUUGACGGGACCCCUGUGAUAGGGGCACGACUCCUUGAGCAUCUUGUUGAACGUGUUGGCCCCUCCGGGAGGUUUUCGAGGGUUCCUAUGCUCAGCAGCAGCGACGAGAUCCGCGUCAACGGCGUCGCGUUUUGCUUGCACCUUGUUCUUGGCCUUCUUUUUCGUGCCACGCUGGACGGACGCCUCGGGGCAUCUUCCUUCUGUCUUCCCUGAGGCUGCUUGUCAUUCUGGAAGAUGGCUUCAACCGUCUCCUGACCAGAGGCGAACUUGGUGGCUAUGUCCAUCAAUUCGCUCGCCUUGGUGGGAGUCUUGCGCCCUAGUUUGCUCACCAGGUCUCGACAAGUGGUGCUAGCGAGUAAUGCCCCGAUGACGUCUGAGUCGGUGAUGUUGGGUAGCUCGGUGCGCUGCUUUGAAAACCGCCGAAUGUACUCUCGCACUGGCUGCUGGCGGUAGCUUCGGAGAUCCCAUGAGUUCCUAGGGCGCACGUACGUACCUUGGAAAUUUCCAGCGAAGGCCUUGACCAGGUCGUCCCAGUCGGAGAUCUGCGCAGGAGGCAGAUGCUCCAGCCAGGCCCGGGCAGCGUCGGAGAGGAAAAGGGGGAGGUUGCGGAUGAUGAGGUUGUCAUCAUCCGUCCCUCCCAACUGGCAUGCCAGCCGGUAAUCCGCAAGCCACAACUCCGGCCUUGUCUCCCCUGAGUACUUGGUGAUGGUGGUCGGGGCUCGGAACCGGGCCGGGAAUGGUGCUCGUCGUAUGGCCCGACUGAAGACUCGCGGACCUGGCGGUUCGGGUGAGGGGCUCCGAUCCUCCUCACUGUCGUAGCGUCCUCCGCGCCUGGGGUGGUAGCCUCGGCGCACCCUUUUCUCGAGGUGGGCUCGACGGUCGCGGCGGUGUUGCUCACUGCCGAGGCGGUCCGGGGCUGCAGGCGUCCCGUCCCGUGUGCGCUCGGUGCGGACCGAGGCCUCCCGCAUGCGUCGGGAGGAUGUUGCGCGAUGCUCCGAGGGCACCCUCGCCUUCGGGAGGCGGAGCUCUCGGCUUGUCGGACAGCGGCGUCUUCUAGGAGGCCCUUGAGCUCGCCCUGGAUAUGUCGCCCCUCGGUGGUGGAUGGCUCCGCCAUUGUUCGGAGUAGCAUCGCUGAUGCAGCCAGGUUCUGACCGGCCCCGCUGAAAGCCGGGGGCAGCCCCGCCCUAGCAUUGUCGACGAUGUGGUGCUGGACGUCCCGGGCCCGAUGACGCGCUCCUCCGGCGAGUGCCCGGCCUGCCCAGUCCUGCUCAAUGUUUUGUCGGAGCUGCACAAGCCGCCCCGCUUCUUCGCCGAGCUUGGCCUGCAUCUCGCGAAGUUGCUCAAGCUGUGUGUCCUGACCCCCUGCAAGGACUGGGACCACAGCUAGCUCCCGCGGGAUCUCAACGCGAGACGCAGGCACAAGGGCGUCGUCAUCUUCUGGCAUACCGAGGUGGUUGUCUUCGCCAUGAUCCCCCUGAUCGAUGUGGAAACACUCGCGACUUGGGCCAUAACCCUCGUCGUCGAGGCUGUGGUCAUCGUCGGAGCAGCCGGAGAGGCAGUAGUCACAUGCGGACAUGAAGUCUCGCAUGGCGCUGGGAUCACGGAGUCCGGAGAAAUCCCAACCGAAGUCGGGGUCGUCGUCUUCCUCGGAACCCGCGGGUUCGGAGGUUGAGACGGCCGUCAGUCGGUCCUAAGAUGACCACAUAUGAUACCCUGGAAGGUCAGGAUACGCCCUUGCGAAAGCGCUCACCGAAGCGGGGUCACUUGGUGGAUCGAAGCUGAAUCUAAAAGGGACAGGGUGGAAAACGGACGGUACCUCUUGGUGGAGUCGCGUCAGGGACGGAAUGCACAGUUAUCUCAGGUACGAGGCUAACGCCCAGCAAGUCCUUCGUGAGGGUGCUAGCGUCAUCAAUCCACUUGGGGUUGGCACGUUGCGGGGAAGCGACACCCCUCAUUGUCUCAGGUGCGAGGAUGAGAGCACCUAGAGGGGGGGGUGAAUAGGUGAUCCUGUAAAAACUUAAAACUUAAAGCCACAAAACUUGAUUAGGCGUUAGCACAGUUUAUGCCAAGUGGCUAGAGAGAACUCAAAACACGAUAACCACAAGAAAGCAAUCACAGAGUUGACACGGUGGUUAUCCCGUGGUUCGGCCAAGUACAAAACUUGCCUACUCCAUGUUGUGGCGUCCCAACGGACGAGAGUUGCACUCAACUCCUCUCAAGUGAUCCAAUGAUCAACUUGAAUACCACGGUGUUUUUCUUUCCUUUGAUCUUUUCCCGUUUGCGAGGAAUCUCCACAACUUGGAGUCUCUCGCCCUUACAAUUGAGUUCACAAAGAAAUACGGAGUAAGGUGGGAAUGAGCAACGCACACAAGACUCGAAAAUCAGAGCAACAACACGCACACAAGUCGCAACAAGAGCUCGCAAUGCAACACAAAGAGUUCACAACUCCACAAGAGCUCUAUAUGCUAUCACAGUGAAACGAAUGCGUGAGAUUGAUGUCUUGGUGCUUAGAAGAGUUGUAGGAAUGCUUGGUGUUCUCCUCCAUGCGCCUAGGGGUCCCUUUUAUAGCCCCAAGGCAGCUAGGAGCCGUUGAGAACAAAUCCAGAAGGCUAUCCUUGCCUUCUGUCGUCGGGCGCACCGGACAGUCCGGUGCACACCGGACACUGUCCGGUGCCCGAUUUCUUUCCUUAAUAGGCGCAGCCGACCGUUGCCGACCGUUGCAGAUCUGGCGCACCGGACAGUCCGGUGCACACCGGACAGUCCGGUGCUUCCUUCCGACCGUUGGCUCGGCCACGUGUCGCGCGCCGAUCGCGCGGCCGACCGUUGGCCCGGCCGACCGUUGGCUCACCGGACAGUCCGGUGCACACCGGACAGUCCGGUGAAUUUUAGCCGAAGUCGCCGGAGAAAAACCCGAGAGCAGCCUCUUCGGCCGAGGCAGCCUGGCGCACCGGACACUGUCCGGUGCACCACCGGACAGUCCGGUGCCCCAGACCGAAACAGCCCCUUGGCUGUACACAGCCAAGUCUUCUCUUCUCUUCUUCUUUCUGUUUCUAACACUUAGACAAGAUAUUAGUACACAAAACCAAUGUACUAAGGCUUAGAAACAUACCUUUACUUGUGAUUUGCACUUUGUUCAACCAUGGGCAUAUUCUCACUUUUAAGCACUUGUGUUUGCACUCAAUCACCAAAAUACUUAGAAAUGGCCCAAGGGCACAUUUCCCUUUCAAUCUCCCCCUUUUUGGUGAUUUAUGCCAACACAACAUAAAGCAAAUAGAACAAGUGCAAAAUCACUUCAAAUAAAAACUCAAAUUGGUUUUGAUUCAAUUUUGGCAUAUAUGGAUCAUCCUUUGCCACCACUUGGUUUGUUUUUGCAAAUCAAACUCAAAUCUCUAUCUCUAAGUCAAACACACAUGUUGAAGCGUAAAGAGAGUCAUUCCAAACGAGAUUGAUCAAAGAUUUCAAAAACUCCCCCUAAAUCCCAUACCUAAAUCCCAUAAUCAAUACUUCUCCCCACAAGAAGCCAACUUUUCACAAAAGAGACAAUAAGAGACGAAAGCUUUUGACAAACAAAAACUCUAUUCUACUAUUUUCAAAAUCUCUCAAGUGGUAGCUGAUCCAUUUAUCACUUUGGCCUUUAUUUUCUCCCCCUUUGGCAUCAAGCACCAAAACGGGAUCAAUCUUGGCCUAUAUAACCCCAUUGCCUCACCAAAAUCUUCAAUUAAGAGCAAAUGGCAAUAAGAGUUCAUGAGAUGGACUUGGAAUAAGUUACCCUCUCAUCGGAGUGCAGUGGAAGUCUUUCAUGGUCCAAGUCCACCUUUUCCCUUUCAAGCCUCCUUUGAGACUAAAUCAUCAAACUCAAACACAUGGUUAGUCUCAAAGGGUCAAGUUGUAACACAUCUCCCCCUUAACAUGUGCAUCACUUUGCAACAGACUUGUGAGGUCCAGGGAGUGUUUGUACAACUUGAGCACCACAAUAAGCAACAAAAUGCAAAAAGGAACAUGAUCAAAAGCAUAAAUACAUGUAUGCUACAAUUCAAUCCAGGUUCCGCGAAUCUAAGACAUUUAGCUCACUACGCAACCUGCAAAAGGUCUUCUCAUCUAGAGGCUUAGUGAAGAUAUCGGCUAGCUGGUUCUCGGUGCUAACAUGAAACACUUCGAUAUCUCCCUUUUGCUGGUGGUCUCUCAAAAAGUGAUGCCGGAUGUCUAUGUGCUUUGUGCGGCUGUGCUCAACAGGAUUCUCCGCCAUGCGGAUAGCACUCUCAUUAUCACAUAGGAGUGGGACUUUGCUCAGAUUGUAGCCAAAGUCCCUGAGGGUUUGCCUCAUCCAAAGUAGUUGCGCGCAACACUGUCCUGCGGCAACGUACUCGGCCUCAGCGGUGGAUAGGGCAACGGAAGUUUGUUUCUUAGAAUUCCAUGACACAAGGGACCUUCCUAAGAAUUGGCACGUCCCCGAUGUACUCUUCCUAUCGACCUUACAUCCAGCAUAGUCGGAGUCUGAGUAUCCAACCAAGUCAAAGGUAGACCCCUUUGGAUACCAGAGCCCGAAGCAAGGCGUAGCAACUAAAUAUCUAAGAAUCCGCUUCACCGCCACUAAGUGACACUCCUUAGGAUCGGAUUGAAAUCUAGCACACAUGCAUACGCUAAGCAUAAUAUCCGGUCUACUAGCACAUAAGUAAAGUAAUGACCCUAUCAUUGACCGGUAUGCUUUUUGAUCAACGGACUUACCUCCUUUGUUGAGGUCGGUGUGUCCGUCGGUCCCAUCGGAGUCUUUGCGGGCUUGGCGUCCUUCAUCCCAAACCGCUUUAGCAGAUCUUGCGUUGUACUUCGUUUGGGAGAUGAAGGUGCCGUCCUUGAGUUGCUUCACUUGGAACCCAAGGAAGUAGUUCAACUCGCCCAUCAUCGACAUCUCGAAUUUUUGCGUCAUCACCCUGCUAAACUCUUCACAAGACUUUUGGUUAGUAGAACCAAAUAUUAUGUCAUCGACAUAAAUUUGGCACACGAACAAAUCACCAUCACAUGUCUUAGUGAAAAGAGUUGGAUCGGCUUUCCCAACCUUGAAAGCAUUAGCAAUUAAGAAUCUCUAAGGCAUUCAUACCAUGCUCUUGGGGCUUGCUUAAGUCCAUAGAGCGCCUUAGAGAGCUUACACACGUGGUCGGGGUACCGUUCAUCCUCGAAGCCAGGGGGUUGCUCCACGUACACCUCCUCUUGAUUGGCCCGUUGAGGAAAGCGCUCUUCACAUCCAUUUGGUACACCUGAAAGAAUGGUGAGCGGCAUAUGCUAGCAAGAUUCGAAUUGACUCUAGCCUAGCCACAGGAGCAAAAGUCUCCUCAAAAUCCAAACCUGCGACUUGGGCAUAACCUUUUGCCACAAGUCGAGCCUUGUUUCUCGUCACCACCCCGUGCUCGUCCUGUUUGUUGCGGAACCCACUUGGUUCCCACAACAUUUGCUUCGGACGAGGCACCAGCGUCCAAACUUCAUUUCUCUUGAAGUUGUUGAGCUCCUCCUGCAUGGCCAACACCCAGUCCGGAUCUAGCAAGCUCCUCUACCCUGAAAGGCUCAAUAGAAGAGACAAAGAGUAAUGCUCACAAAAUUAACUAAUCGAGAACGAGUAGUUACUCCCUUGCUGAUGUCACCCAGAAUUUGGUCGACGGGAUGAUCCUUUGAAUCAUCGCUCGAACUUGGGUUGGAGGUGCUGAGGUGCUUCUUCCUCUUCAACUUGAACAUCCUGUGCUCCCCCUUGAUCAUGCGCCUCCAUUGAGGUACCUGUUCGUUAUCUUGGGUUGGGGGAUGCACCAUAGUUGAGGAAGACGGUUGAUCUUGCUCCAAGUGUUCCUGAGGCCGUACAUCUCCAAUCACCAUGGUGGUAUUGCGGCGUUGGAACGUCUUCUUCAUCGGUUAGUAACUCAUACGACGUCUUCUUGAGGAGGCGAUGAAGGUAGACCUGUUGAUGGCGUGGCAAGCCGUGUUCACGGCUUCCGUCCAAAAGCACUCGGGGGUCUUGAACUCUCCUAGCAUCGUCCUCGCCAUAUCGAUGAGCGUCCUGUUCUUCCUCUCUACCACACCAUUUUGCUGUGGUGUGUAGGGAGCGGAGAAUCAUGCUUGAUCCCUUCUUCUUCAAGGAUUCCUCCACUUGAAGAUUCUUGAACUCGGACCCGUUGUCGCUCCUUAUCUUCUUCACUUUGAGCUCAAUCAUUUUGAGCUCUCCUGAGGAAGCGUUUGAGGGUCACUUGGGUUUCGGACUUUUCCUGCAAAAGAACACCAAGUGAAGCGGGAAAAGUCAUCAACAAUAACUAAACCAUACUUACUUCCUCCUAUGCUCAGAUAGGCGACGGGUCCAAAAAGGUCCAUAUGCAGCAUUCCAAGGGUCUUGAUGUCGUCAUCACAUUUUUGGUGUGAUGAGAGCUCCCACCUGUUUCCCUGCUUGACAAGCUGCACAAGGUCUAUCUUUUUCGAAUUGAACAUUAGUUAGACCUAUCACAUGUUUCCCUUUAGAAGCUUGUGGAGGUUCUUCAUCCCACAUGUGCUAAGCGGCGGUGCACAGCCAGCCCAUGCUAGUCUUAGCAAUUAAGCAUGCAUCUAGACCGGCCUCCUCUUUUGCAAAAUCAACUAAGUAAGUUUGCCGUCUAAUACACCCUUAAAAGCUAGUGAACCAUCACUUCUUCUAAAGACAGACAAUCUACAUUUGUGAAUAGACAGUUAUACCCAUGUUGCAUAAUUGACUGACAGAUAGAAAUUAUAACCAAGAGACUCUACUAAAAACACAUUAGAUAUAGAGUGUCAUUAGAAAUUGCAAUUUUACCUAGCCCUUUUACCUUGCCUUGAUUCCCAUCACGAAUAUAAUUGAAUCUUGGGAAUCCUUAUUCUUGACGUAGGAGGUGAACAUCUUCUUCUCCCCCGUCAUAUGGUUUGUGGCAUCCCCUGUCUAUAAUCCAGCUUGAACCCCGGAUGCAUAAACCUGCAAGGCAAUUUAGGCUUGGGUUUUAGGUACCAACUCAUGUUGGUCCUGCAGGUUAGCACAAAUAUCCUUAGGGACCCAAAUGCAAGUUUUGUUCCCUUGCAUCUUGCCCUAACUUCUAGCAAUUACCUUUUUACCCUUUCUACAAAUAGCAAAGGGAGCAUUGCAGGCAUAAUAAAUGGUAGAAGGUUCAUUUGCUACUUCCUAGGAGCAUGAAAUACAUUCUUUUAGGAACACAUUUUUCCUAGUAACAUUUCUAUCAUACAUAUGAAGAACUAGGAGCAAACAUGGCAUGAGAAUCAUAACAUGUGAAUCAUUACAAGCAUUUUAGCAUGUCUCCUAUCAUGGUACAUGAAAGCAUGAUUCUUCUUAAACUAUUGCCAUAGGAGCCUUCCUUUCUCUUGGUGGAGAUAGGAGUCUUAUGGCUUGUUAAGUUCUUGGCUUCCCUCUUGAAGCCAAGCCCAUCCUUAAUUGAGGGGUGUCUACCAACCGUGUAGGCAUCCCUAGCAAUUUUAGUUUAUCAAAUUACUCUUGCUAGUCUUAGUUGAGCAUUAAGACUGAAGCGUCCAAUCCUCUGGGACUCAAAUGUGAUACAUUACUAGUCCAGGAGGCUAGUAACAAUUUAUACAUCAGAUGAUACCAAAUCUGCUUAACGAGACAAACCUACAAGGUGGCGAACAACUUUAAGAGUUGGUCCACAACUCGGGAAUAUAUCAGAGUGGGGCUGAAGCAGCCCGAUAUACGCAGCGAAGCAAUUCAGCGGUCCACAACCACAGGCAAGGUUGGGAACAGUCGUAAUCUUACCGAUUCCUUUUCUGAAAAACAAAAUAAGCAAGGGUGAGUACAACGUACUCAGCAGCCACCUUCACCGCGGAAUGGGGAAAUCAGAUAUAAUGCAUGGAAUAUGUAGAGCUCAGGAUAUUUGCAGAAACACAAUAUUUUAUGCAGGGUUGUUUUGAAAAACAUUUUGUAUUUUGCAAAGUGCAUCCUCUCCAAAGGAGCAGGAGUUUUUCAGUAUUAUAACAAAUCCCCUGGACUAAACCAUCCAGGUAUCUCAGCAGUUUCCCACUGGUUUUCCUUUUUCAAAACAGCUAUGGAUUCCGUCCACCUAGUCACGGUCAACCGCGAACCUUUUAAAACCACUUUUCUCAACCAUUCUUUUUUUGGAAACAAAACAUUAAUUGCCAUACCAUACCAGACUCGUCCAUUCCUGUGGACACGGACUAUUCGAAUAGGUUUUCAAACUCUGCGCAGAGGUGUACACUUUACCCAUAGUCCGGCUCUGCGAUUCAUAGCUAGUGAGACCCGAAUCCGAAUCUCUUUCUUUCCCGCACGUCUAACCUUAACGGUUAUCCGGAAGGAGUCAGGCCACCGCAUGUCCAAACCGGACAAAACUUUCCCCUCCUUAUCCUCCGGUGCUCCCAGCCUUCAUAACCCUAGGGUUGGACCGUACGAGUUCAGAUUGAGUGACUGCCCACACAGUCUCGAGUGGUUGUACUAUUAAAGAGUACAGGUAGAGAAGAUGACAAACCGGUCCUUAUCGAGGGGACAAUCCUUCUGCUCACGCCUAACCAGCUGAGCCAUACCUUAGGCCUCCCUAACAGGGAGUCCUGAUUAUCCACUCACAAGGUGAUAGGGUGAAACCUUCAUCAUACACAUUUUGAAAAGCAUUUUCUUUUGAAACUCACACCUUUUCUCAAUAUUUGUACAAUAUAUUAAGGAUUGAUUGCGGCAGCGGCUUGGGUGGCCAUAAUAAUUGUCUAAAUCAUAUCAUGCAUAAAUAAGGCUGAGGGUUGUGGUUGAAAGACAUAGGUAAUUUAUGCAUCAAAGGGAUCAGUGAGCUUGCCGUGUUAUUUGGCGAAGGGGAAGGGAGCUCGCGGAACUGGCUUUGGUCACUGCCUGGCGUAGACUUGCAGAUCUGGCCUCCAGAGACGGCACGAACGCUCCGAUAACUAUGCAACAUGAACAAGCACAUACAAACAAAAGUAUAGCAACAUAUUUAGUAUAGUGGUCAGAAUAGCGAUAUAUGGAUGGGUAGAGUCUUGAGUAGAAUCUGUGUAUGUGGUGUUGAGUAUACUAGUGGUGGAGCGGAGGUGUUACAGGAGGUGGACUGAAGGCGAAGCGAACUAGCGUUAGUCGGCAGAGCGGAGUACUGGUGGGUGGGAGUUUUCUUGGCUGAGGGUGUGGAGUGUGUGUGGAGAGGGAGAGGGUAGCUGGGUGUAUUUAUAGCUGGGUGUAUGUGGUGUAGCACAGUAAAGUUCACUGUGGUGAGAAUAGUGAGAAUGAAUCGUUGACUUAGUAUGAACAGGAGAGUCAUAUGCAGAUAUGGGACGAGAGUAUUUUGGGAGUCUUCUGGAACAUGAACCAUGCUUAAGGGAUGACAUGGUUGGAUAGGGAAUAGUUUGAUAAGAAUUUAGAAACGAGAUUAUUGGAUCUGAGUUUGGGAGCCUGGUUCGAAGGAAUCUCAAAGUUAAGCGUGCUCAACUUGGAGAAACCUGAGAUGGGUGACCAGAUGGGAAGUUCCUAUGGAAGAAAAUCCAGUCACCGGAGUUCGUAUGACUGGAAUAUGGGUCUGGCUGGUCUUAGGUGGACUGGACAACAUGAUGUAGAGUAGUUGAAAUUUGGGAUGACUAGAUGACCGAUGAAUAGUAACGAUGAAUAGUGGCGAUGGAAAAGAAAUUAUAGAUAUCAUCGAUGAAUAGUAACGAUGAUGAAUAGUAAUGUAAAUAGUAACGAUGAUGAAUAGUGUAUGUGAAUAGUAACGAUGAAUAGUAAUGGUGAAUAGUAAUGGUGAAUAGUGAUAGUGAAUAGUUCGUAUGAACGAACGAUGAACGAUGAAUAGGAACUAUGAACGAACGGACGAACGAACGAUCGGAAUUUCGGCAGCAUAACGGCAGGAAAAGAUUAUUUGGACGAACGAACGAACGAACGAUCGAAUGAUCGUACGAACGAACGAUCGGAAUUUCGGCAGCAUAACGGCAGGACAAAGAUUAUCUGGAAGAACGAUGAAUAGGGACUAUGAACGAACGAUGAACGAUGAAUAGGGACUAUGAACGAACGAUGAACGAUCGAAUGAUCGAACGAACGAACGAUCGGAAUUUCGGCAGCAUAACGGUAGGAAAAAGAUUAUUUGGACGAACGAACGGACGAACGAUCGAACGAUCGGACGAACGGACGAACGAACCAUGAACGAUCGAAACGAACGAUCGAACGAUCGGACGAACGAACGAACAAACUAAGAACAGGGGACGAACGAUCGAAGAACGAUCGAACGAUCCUUGUGCUAGUGUGUGCUUGUGUGGAACAUGGAGUGGGUGAUGUGUGGGGGGGGAGAGAGUUGCCAUGAAAUGGCUUGGGGUGGGAUGAGAGGAGGCCCUUGCCCCUCUAUUUAUAGCCAUGGUGGGGGGAUUAGGGGGAGGGAUGAGAGGAUUAGUGGAGGAUGAGAGGAUUAGUGGGAGAUGUUAGCAUGUAUUUGUCUUGUAUAAGUGAGAUUAGCUUGUAGAGCUCACCGUAUGACACUGGAGGCAUACGUAUACGUAUGAGCAUGAAGGAAAGUUAUGAAGAAAAUAUUUAUAGGGACUUGAAAAUGAUUCUGAGUAUUUCACAGAGGAAAAUAUCUGGAGAUAUAUCGUGGAUAUUUGGCCAGUAUUUCUUGGAAAGACUGAAGGGAUACUAGGGAAUUCUGGCCGGUAUUCUGAAAGAAUUGAGGGGAUCACUGGGAAAAUUUGUAGGAUAUUUGAGGAGAUUUAGGAGAAUAUAGACACUAUAUUUAUUGUUGAUAUCAACUCGCAAACAAACAUUUGAAAUGAAAUUGAAAUUCAUUUUGAAUUUAGGCGAUUUGAGAAAAUUUCAGAUUUGAAUUUUUGGGAUGCUACAAAUCUACCCCACUUAAAAGGAAUCUCGUCCUCGAGAUUCGGUUAGAAGGGUUAUGGGUAUAGCUUUACUUCAGCUACAUAUCUUCACUUUGCACUCUUCGAGGAGAUGGAACUUCAACAAAAUCUGGCCUUUGAGGGCAUCGGUUGCUGAUUGCAAACGCUGAUUCUGGCUACUCAAGAUCAUCUUCAGGCUUCUAGCUUUCGCUUGGCAGCUAGCUUAUUGAAGAAGCAUCGAUGCCAACACAAACCUUUCUCUUGCGAACUCCCCAUGGAUUCCUUCCUUGAUUGUCUUCUGGUGCUUCAUCAACAAACUUGGGUGACCACUUCUCCAUCCAGAAACUUAUAUGCUUUGAUGAUCUGGUCCUCCACAAGCUUGCUACAGACCUUCUCUUUUUCUCCAUAGCAGGAACCUUGCUGGAACACUACCCCACUUAAAAAGAAAGAGGGUAGAACUCUUGAAUCUUGGGGAUUUGCAACUCCUUGAAGUACCUCAUAACAAAGGUGUUACGGGGCUUCUUCUGCUGUUGCUGCUUGAGCAGGCUGCGGAGAAAUGACUGACACAGGGUUGAUUCUGGGCACACCUUCUUCUCAUCUUCUCUUCACUAUCUUCUUUUCUCUUCUCACUUUUCACUUUUCACUGUCUCUUUCUUUCUCUUUGCUCUUCCACUCGAGAUUCUAUCAAAGAGUAUUACAUCAUACAGAGGAGGAAACCGAAGAUGUUGAACUAUACAACAGUCUUCAACCCAAGAAUCACCAGCAUUGUGAUCUUAGGGGCGAGGGAGUGGAAAAAUGGAGUUGCUUGCGAUUUGGCAGAGGGGAUUUAUCUGGAGUGUGCUUUUGCUUUGAGCGAGAUGGGAGUUGAGGGAGAUGGUGGGGGGGGGGGGUUUAUAGGCGAGCGGGGUGUUCGGUUGCGGAGCAGUGGUGAUGGGUAGGUGCUACGCGGCAGCGGGUGCGAUAGGGGAGGGGGGCCUGGUGUUGCUGCGAUGAUGGUGGCGGUGGGUGUGCUGCAAAGGUGGCGUGGGCGGCGGUGGUAGUGCGCUGCAAAGGGGGGCGUGGGGCGGUGGUAGUGCGCAUGGAGGCGGGCACGCGUGGGGGGGGCACGGGUGAGUGGUGGGGUCGAUGACCCUGAUGUUUGUGGUCUCUGGUUCCAGAAUCUUUGCCUCUGUGUAUGGUAAUAACUCCUUCUGUCCUCUUUUCCUGUUUACUUUGACUCCAGGGGCAGUGCUUUGAUUCUCCACGGUCGGUCCUUUUGACUGAGCGGCUGGACUGGCUUCUUCUGUAGCUUGUUCCAGGCUUCAAGGGUAAGCUUCCCGGUAUCUUCUGGGUAAGACACUUUUCUUGAGAUGGGUUAAGAUGAGAAUGGAAGCAUAAGGUGAGGAUUAGAUCUAAUUUGUGAUCUAUGUUUUUAGAGAAAACCUUCUUAAAAAAAACACAAGCUCAGCAAUGAUAAGCACAAACAAAUCAAUGUUUGAUAAGGGAAGAUAGAGUUUUCCAAAGCACGGACUACUCAGAUUCGGGGGUAAGCAUACUACUAUUGCUGGCUCCUGAAUUGAGAACUAUGCUAAAUGCACUUAUGAGCACUAACGUUAAGCAUCAAUAUGCACUCAAAAGGGAGGAAAACAUCAAGCGAAAUUCAUUUUGAAAUGCCCUAGGGGCAACACAAAUAGAGUUUUUUCAAAGCACGGGACUACACGAUUAACUCUCAUACAUGCAGGGCUCUAGCCAAAGUGAAGAAAAACUCACUACCCAAUGCAUGCAGAGGACUGGGCUACUAACUUCAGACCGAAACUUCUUCUGGCAGGCGCACACAACUUCAAUCUGAGACAUCUCCUGGAUGGGUCAAAGGGAGCUGAUGUUGAUGAUUCUUCUGCGCGACUGAGGAUGGCAAACGGGUCGAACUCUUCUUCAAGCGGGACUGGCUCUUGUAGCUCUCAGAGGGCGGUGGUGCUGGCGGGGUGCUUGCAGUCUUUUUGACUCAAGGGAGGUGCUGGAAUCUCUUCAUGGUGAGGGGCUCAAACACCUGGCGGGGAUCUUGGGAGGAUUCAGGUGCUCUUGCUUACCAUACCUAGGGAGACUGGAAUUCCUUCCAAGACUAUGGUCCUUCUGGAGUUCCCAGCUUCUUUUCCUCUGUAGAGACCGGGUGACUUCAAGAAUCUGGGGUCUUCAGCUCUCCUGGGUUGAACUGGGUUGGAUGGAGCGGCUCUUGGAUCCGAGGGCUCUACGUUGGUUAUGGGUUACCAAGUAGGCCUCCAUCAACUUCUGGAGUGCUCAUCCUUGGCUUGCUUCAGGGCUCAACAGCAAUGACUUCACGACUUCCAAGGCAGUGCACGGCUUGAGUGUGGUGAGAUCCACAUGGAGCUGACGUGCGCUUCUCUGCAUCUUCUGCUCGGCAAUCAUUGACGUGUGCCGAGCCAAGAAAUCAUACUGUGCAUCCAGGUGAGCAGGUAGCAGUGAGUACACGACGUGGGGUCAUCCUCAAGCAGUUGCUGCCCUUCCAAUGCACGCAUCCUGCAUCCAACGGACGUUCUCUGAAAGGGCGAAAGAAUCUGAGCGGGUGUCGCCACUUCUUCUUCAUAGAUCUGACACAGGGCCCUCAAUGCCUUGCGAGCGACGACUUGGCAGGUGUCUUUGAAUCUGUGCCAGCAGCAGUGACACUCCAUUCCACAUGGUGUGGACUGGAUCCAAUGUAUACAGUCACGACACACUUCUCUGUGCCAUGCUCGACGAAUCACGACCAUCAUACUCUGGCUGGCUCCUGAUUCCGAGGCGACUGUGCAUGCUCUCAGCAUUGGGGAAACCAUCUUCAUUCUGGCAGAAGCUGGUUUGGCACGGAACCUCCAUCUGACUUCUGAGAGAAGGAAGGGGAAAACAUUUUUGAAAUGAAGGGAUGAGAGCAAGAAUUUUUUUUAAGAAAAUAGUUUGGACUCAAAAACUUUUGAUCAGGCUAAGGGUUAGUCCUGCGGCCAACUAACAGCUCUGAUACCAUGAAGCGUCCCAAUCCUGGGACUCAAUUGAUACAAUUACUAGUCCCAGGAGGCUAGUAAACACAUUUAUACAUCAGAUGAUACCAGAUCUGCUUAACGAGACAAACCUAAAAGGUGGCGAACAACUUUAAGAGUUGGUCCACAACUCGGGACAUAUCAUCAGAGUGGGGCUGAAGCAGCCCGAUAUACGCAGCGAAGCAAUUCAGCGGUCCAACAGCCACAGCAAGGUUGGGAACAGUCGUAACUCUUACCCGAUCUCCUUUUCUGAAAAAACAACAAAUAAGCAAGGGUGAGUACAAACGUACUCAGAGCCCACCUUCACCGCGAAUGGGGAAAUCAGAUAUAAUGCAUGGAUAUGUGAGCUCAGAUAUUUGCAGAAACAGCAAUAUUUUAUGCAGGUUGUUUGAAAAACAUUUGUAUUUUUGCAAAGCGCAUCCUCUCCAAAGGAGCAGGAAGUUUUCAUAUUAAACAAAUCCUGGACUAAACAUCCAGGUAUCUCAGCAGUUCCCACUGGUUUUCAUUUUCAAAACAGCUACUGGACUUCCGUCCACCAUAGUCACGGCUCAACCGCGACCUUUUAAAAACCACUUUCUCAAACCACCUUUUUUUGAAAACAAAACACUAAUUGCCAUACCACACCAGACUCGUCCAUUCUGUGGACACAGACUAUUCGAAUAGGUUUCAAACCUGCGCAGAGGUGUACACUUUACCACUAGUCGGCUCUGCGAUCUCAUGCAUGAGACCGAAUCGAUCCUUCUUUCCCGACGUCCUAACCUUAACGGUUAUCCGGAAGAGUCAGGCCACCGCCAUGUCCAAACCGGACAAACUUUCCCCUCCUUAUCUCCGGUGCUCCCCAGCUCAUAACCCUGGGUUGGACCGUACGAGUUCAGAUGAGUGACUGCCCACAGUCUCGAGUGGUUGUACUAUCAGAGUACAGUAGUGAAGAUGACAAACCGGUCCUUAUACGAGGGGACAAUCCUUCUGCUCACGCCUAACCAGCUGAGCCAUCACCUUAGGCCUCCCCUAAACCAGGGAGUCCCUGAUUAUCCCUCACAAGGUGAUAAGGGUGAAAACCCUUCAUCAUACACAUUUUGAAAAGCAUUUUCUUUGAAAACUCAACCUUUUCUCAAUCAUUUGUAAAAUAUAUAAGGAUUGAUUGCGGCAAGCGCUGGUGGCCAUAAUAAUUGUCUCAAAUCAUAUCAUGCAUAAAAUACAGGCUGAGGGUUGUGGUGAAAAUCAUAGGUAAUUUAUGCAUCAAAGGGAUCCAGUGAGCUUGCCGUGCUUAUUCGGCGAAGGGGGAAGGGGAGCUGCGAACUGGCUUCUGGCUCACGCCUGGCUGUAGACUGCAGAUCUGGCUCCACGAGACGCACGAACGCUCCGAUAACUAUGCACAUGAACAAGCAACAUACAAACCAAAAGUAUACCAACAAUAUUUAGUAUAGUGGUCAGAAUAGCGAUAUAUGGAUGGUAGAGUCUUGAGUAGAAUCUGUGUCAUGUGGUGUGUGUGAUAUUACUGGUGGUGGAGCGGAGGUGCUUACCAGGAGGGUGGACUGGAGGCGAGCGACACUAUGCGUGUAGCCGGGAGCGGAGUACUGAGUGGGUGGGGUUGCCUUGCUGAGGUGUGAGUGUGUGUGGAGAGGGAGAGGGUAGCUGGGUGUAUUUAUAGCUGGGUGUAUGUGGUGUAGCACAGUGAAGUUCACUGUUGGUGAGAAUAGUGACGAAUGAAUCGUCUGACUUAGUAUGAACAGGAGAGUUAUAGAGAAUAUGGGACAAGAGUAUUUUGGGAGUUUCUGGAAUAUGGACAUGCUUAAGGGAUGACAUGGUUGGAUAGGGAAUAGUUUGAUAAGAAUUUAGAACGAGAAUUAUUGGAAUCUGAGUUUGGGAGCCUGGUUCGAAGGAAUCUCAAAGUAAGCGUGCUCAACUUGGAGAAACCUGAGGAUGGGUGACCAGAUGGGAAGUUCCUACUGGAAGGAAAAUCACAGUCACCGGAGUUCGUAUGACUGGAAUAUGGGUCUGGCUGGUCUUAGGUGGACUGGACACAUGAUGUAGAGUAGUUGAAAUUUGGGAUGAUAGAUGACGAUGAAUAGUAACGAUGAAUAGUGAGUGAUGGAAAAGAAUAUAGAUAUCAUCGAUGAAUAGUAACGAUGAUGAAUAGUAAUGUAAAUAGUAACGAUGAUGAAUAGUGUAUGUGAAUAGUAACGAUAAUAGUAAUGUGNNNNNNNNNNNNNNNNNNNNNNNNNNNNNNNNNNNNNNNNNNNNNNNNNNNNNNNNNNNNNNNNNNNNNNNNNNNNNNNNNNNNNNNNNNNNNNNNNNNNGGGUUUACGCCGAAGGUCCGAAAAAACACCUUCCCUUUGCUAGAAUAGCAACAUUCACUGACAAGCGGGCGUCUUUCCACUUUCAACGCACUGGGCGUAUAAUAAGAUCAUACCGCAAACUCAUUUGGCACGCUUUUUGCCAUCUGCUCCCGCUCACUCAAUUUUUAGCUUUUGCGCACCAAGAUUUGCUGAGCUUUUAAGUUUUGAAGCUUCGGCAUUGAAAACAAUUUUUUAGUAUUCCCGAAAUGUCUGAAGAUAAGAAGGCUGCUACCGAGAUGAAGCUAAGUCUCGAUGAAGAGAAAAAUCUGGGGUUUCUUAUAGCAAUGUCGAAGACCAACACAGAAAAAUCACCAAGGAGAUUCUAGAAGGUUUGUCUGAGGAUACUGGUGAAGCGACAGUUAUGAUGUGGACAGCGGUGGUGAAGACUCGAAGAUCGUCCCUGGCGACCAAGCCAUUCAGUUUAUGGUAAAUCAACUAUCAAAGAGAAUCAUCUUGUCAACAUGAGAGGAAGGUAUUUCGGGAUUUGUCCGUUGUGAGGGCCACGAAGGGAGAAGACUUGUCCACACCCUGAAGAGAAUGAAGUCGUAGUGUACCGAAGCUUUUUGAAAGCUGGACUAAGAUUUCCCUAGCAGCUUCAUUGUAGAGGUGCUGAAAAUAUUCGAAGUCUAUCUUCACCAACUUACCCCUGAGGCAAUCAUAAGGCUGAAUAUCUUCGUGUGGGCCGUGAGAAGCCAAGGUUUGAACCUGAUGCAAAAGUUUCUGCAAUAUACACGAAUUAUCAUACGAAACAAACCUUGGGGUAAGGAACGUAUCACAAUAAUUUUGGCUGCUACAGCUUCGUUUCUCGGUCCGGUCAAGCUGUCCGUGCCAACCUUUCGGAAGAGGUGGCCCGGCGACUGGAUGACAGAAUGGUUUUAUGUGAAGAAUGACCUGACAGUACGAGAAGAUAUCAAAGGUAUAAUUAUGCGCCCUAUUUGGCAAAGCUUCGGCCUUCGGAGGCCGAAGGUUGAAAUGAAUGAAGCUGCCGAAGAAUGCCAGAGAGCCUUCGGCGUUAUCUGUUCUUUUAUUGGAACUGAGAUUUAGUACAAGAGCAUAUUGCCUUCAGGGUAUGGCCGCUCGCGGAGAAAUGGGAAAUGCCGCAAGAAACCAUAAAAGAGGCCGACGAAGGUGGACUUAUCAGGCUGAAGUACAUUUUAAGUUCGGAGAUAAAUUCGUUGAGCCGAUGAUGACUGGUUAAAAAGCAUUGAAAAUUUAAGUGAUGAACUGCUUGGGGCUUAUUCGAAGGCCGAAGAUACUGCACUGUCAGCAGCCUUCGGAGGCCGAAAAAAAAGAGGCUGAAUCGGGUGUUUGAUGCAAUCGGGUUCGUCUACCCUGACUAUCGUUCCCCAUUCGAGGGCAGAAGAGAAAAACACAACCUCUGCAAAAGAAGAAGCUGCAACUGCUCCUAGCGAGCCAGACCGAAAAGAAAAAGGAUAAAGGUCCUCACACAUCGGCCGCGCUAUAUUGAACCAGCUUCGGUGCCCGAGUUCACCGGAGGGAAACUUCUUCGGCCACCGAGGCUGAAAAGCCAAUCAAAUCAACCUUGCUGCCAGAAGUUGCAGAAAUGGCCGAAGCGCCAACAAGGAUAGAAUUGAAAGAACCGAAGAUUUUGCUACCAGAAACCAAAGAGAUGGCCGAAGAGCCAUCCACAGAAAAAAUGGAGAAGUGAAAAACCAACUGAAGAAAAAACAUCAGAAGUUUUGAGUCCUGCAGCAAUAUGAGACAGUAAAAAAUCAAAAAGUGCCAGCAGUGACUCCGAAAAGAAGAGAAUGGCAUGUGCUGAUGUACUGGAAAAUUAAAUCUUCAAGCACACCUCCGAAGAAGACUGCAUUCCGAAGGAAACUGAAUUUCUAUUACUAAGUCCAGAGCAAGACUGACAGCGAGUGGGUCCUCGAGCCGCCGAGAUAAAUCCUUGGAACUGAGGAAGAAAAAUAACAGAGCCAACUUUGUUGAAGAAAUCGGUUCAUUGCCCCCGAAGCAUCCUCAAAGUCCGUGAUUAUAUUGUUCGUCAUGCUUCGGGGAAAAAACUAUCAGAAAAAGAAGAGCAAGAGGCCCAGCGCUACGCCCAAAAACUGAAGUAUCCAAAGGGGCGUUAAUAUUCAAUGGCAGUGGAGAAGAAGACUUUUUGUAUUGUCUCCCUGACAGCAAGGAGAUUUCUGUCUGUCGGGAGAUGAGCAAAAGCUUCGGAUUCCCAACACUAGAAGACGGGCUCUCGGUGCUGUCGAAGAACGAUCUGGCCGACAGCCUGGCAUAUAAUAGCUUAAAGGUGCAACAAUGGGAUCUUUGUAUUUUUUGUUGUGACCAAAAUUUUUCAUUUACUUAAAUCUAUUGACGCACACAUAUUUCUCUUUGCAGGGCCUGAUACUUAGCAUGCCCUCAGGCACAGAAAGAUGUGAGACGAAGGGUGCGCUUAGCCCUGGAGCAACCUUCGUUCCGAGUAUUGAACUGGGAACGAAGGUCUUGAAAAAGAUAAAAUAUUACAUUCAUUGAUAAAUAAAUAAGGAAGACGAAGCUGCUUUUAAAGGUAGCUGAGGUCAGAAGCGCGAAUUGAAGAUCUUCGGACAACUGCCAGAGCAAGGAAAGACGCAUACUUGAGAACAAGCGAAACUCAGCACAUGGGCGUCAUUAGAAGGAAUGUUGAAGAGCUUCGUUCGUCCAAAGAGAUGCUAUACAAAUCUAUAGAGUGUGUUAGAAGUUAAAGCUAGCUUGCCAGAGUCGGGCAUUUCAGGAAGAAAACUUCACAAGAGGCAAUCCCGAAGUCCAUCGAAUGGAUCGACCCGAAGCUAGCCUUCGAGGAAAUUUUAAUAGCGUGGAGUAUAUGUGCUUUCUCGGGUGCCAGAGGAAUUGCCACUAUUUUAGAGAAAAGGGCUGCGAACAUGUAAAAAUUUUAGGCAAUCCGAAGCUGCUUUGUCCUUUGAAGAUGCAAGAGAUCCUUCGGCUGAAGCUAGCAUGUGUUGGUGGAAAAUUUUACUGAUAUCUGGGAUAAUGGUGGCCGAGAAAUGGCCGGAGAAAUUAUUCGAAAAAGUGAAAAGGGCAUUCACGAUGCUAGAGAAGUGGCUGAGGCUGCUGAAAAAGCGCAGAGCCCGAAGGGAAAUAGUAUCAACUGAUGGUUUUAUUGUGUUGUAAUUUUCGAUUUUAAACUUCGUUCGCAAUUUGUAAUAGCAAUGUAGCCGUAUCCUGUCCUCCUUCAGAUCCUACAAAGCGUCUUCGGGACCUCCCCCGAAAGGAGACGACGAAUUAAAGAGAUGGCUGAAGCUAUCAUGGAUGAAGUUGUUAAUCGGCUCCUGAACGAGGCUGCAGAAGUCGUUUUGAGAGAAGAUUAAGUAUUAUUGUAAAAACCUCUGAAAUGUAAUAUAUUGUAACAUUUUGUAACCCUGAAUGUAAUAUACCUGUUUUUGUUGUUCAAUUCUUUACGAUGCAUGAAUUUUACACGUACCGUUUUUGAGUAUUUGACGAAAAAACACCUUCCCUUCUUUUCAUGCUUCGUGAAGAAGAAUUUUUCUUUGUCACAACAAUAUCCAGUGUUCUGAUGAAUAAUAUCCAGGCUUCGUGAAGAUAUUUUCCGAAGCUACACUUCCGAAGAUUAAUAAUGUGUCUCCUUGUGACAUCAUGAUUCUUCCCUUUUUCCAAAACGUUCUUCUGUAGAUCGAUAUUGUGUCCACCUCUUGUGCCAUUUGCAACAUGAUGUAUGAUGCUUAUGCUAUGCGAAAUGAUGCGAUGAUGUUAUGUUAUGUGAGGUAAUGUUUAUUCCGAAGAUACAUACGCAUCCCUGCAAUAAAACACAUAAUCUUUUAUAAGCCUCCCUUAGGAGCUUCUUCGCCUUUUACUUCAGCGGAAUCAGCGUUUAUUUUUCGCUGUAAGCCUCCUUAGGAGCUUCUUCGCUUUUACUUUCAGCGGUAUCCGCGUUGACUUUUCGCGCUUCGCCUUUUACUUAGCGGUAUCAGGUUGACUUUUCGUUGUAUGCUCUGCAUUCCCUUGGAACGACUUUGGAGCAGAAACUUACACUGCACUCCUUCUGGAGCGGCUUUUUGUGACUUCGGCAAACUUACUCUGCGUUCCUUAGAACGACUUUUUGUUGCUUCGAAGAAUUUUCGAUGAUUGAAGGUUCUCUUUGUUAUCACAAAUCUUUAAACUUCAAAACUUAGACCUGUGAAGAAAUAUUUUUCCUUGUGGCAAACAACGAAACUAUUUACAUGAAAUCUAACAAUGUUCUUUAUUACACAGAAAUAAGACUGAAUAAGAAGACUGCUAUUAGGUAGGAUAUUUGUCAAUAGAUGUGCUUUGACUCUGGCACAGUGUUGUUGACUGUACGAGCUUCGGACUGCUCUCUGAAGUCCCUUUGGUGUGGAGCAUACUGGCUCCCUUCUGGUGCUGGCCUUGUUGCAGCGGAGGUGGAGGCGGAGGCUGUUGCCAGGAGCUUGGGGUUGACUCGCCGAAGCACAGAAACUGCAGGGUGGUUGCCAUAUUUGGGAUGUAAGGCAAAUGAUACGAAGCAGUAUGCAUGACCUGCUUCGGCUGAGCUUGUUGUGCUGCGGCUUCGGCUAUUUCCUUUUGCUUUUGGAUGGUAACAUGGCACAUCCUGGUGGUAUGGCCUUUGUUCUCACCGCAAACAAGCAAAAGAUUCUUCUUGGUUGAUCUCCGAAUCUUCCGCCGAAGCCCCUGGCGCCUCUGCCUCUUGGGGCUGGUGGUCGGAAGGAGCCUUGCUGUUGCCCCGAAGCUUGUGAGGAACACUGUGGCCUUUGCUGUUGGCUCCCUCGAUCAUCAUUUUGGGUAGAGUUAUGAAUUGAUCUAACGUGCCUCGGAUAGAACCUUCCUCCGAAGCCCCUGGUCAUUUCAGAAAACCUGAAAGCCUCCUCCCUUCUUUGGCGAAAAUCAUUAUCGGCCCGAAUGUACUCGUCCAUCUUCUGGAGCAGCUUCUCCAAAGUUUGAGGAGGCUUCCUAGCGAAGUACUGAGCUGACGGUCCUGGCCGAAGCCCCUUGAUCAUGGCCUCAAUGACAAUUUCAUUGGGCACCGUUGGUGCCUGUGCCCUCAAACGCAAGAACCUCCGGACGUACGCCUGAAGGUAUUCUUUGUGAUCCUGGGUGCACUGGAAUAGAGCUUGAGCAGUGACCGGCUUCGUCUGAAACCCUUGAAAGCUAGUUAACAACAAGUCCUUCAGCUUCUGCCAUGAAGUAAUCGUUCCUGGUCGAAGGGAGGAAUACUAGGUUUGAGCAACACUCCUGACAGCCAUAACAAAAUAUUUGGCCAUGACUGCAGCAUUGCCACCAUACGAAGAUACUGUUGCUUCGUAGCUCAUCAAAAACUGCUUCGGGUCUGAGUGGCCAUCGAAUACGGGAAGCUGAGGCGGCUUGUAGGACGGAGGCCAAGGUGUGGCCUGCAGCUCAGCGGACAGAGGAGAAGCAUCAUCGAAAACAAAAUUCCCAUGAUGGAAAUUAUCAUACCAGUCAUCUUCGUUGAGGAAACCCUCCUGAUGAAGGUCUUGGUGCUGAGGCCUUCGGUGCUGCUCAUCCUGAGCAAGAUGACGAACUUCUUCAGAGGCUUCGUCUAUCUGCCUUUGCAGUUCAGCUAGCCUGGCCAUCUUUUCUUUCUUCCUCUGCACCUGUUGAUGAAGCAUCUCCAUGUCUCUGAUUUCUUGAUCUAUCUCGUCCUCUGGUGGUGUCGGGCUGACAGCCUUCCUUUUCUGGCUUCGGGCCUCCCGAAGGGAGACUGUCUCCUGAUUGUGGUCCAGCGGUUGCAGAGCUGCAGUCCCAGUCGCUGAAGCUUUCUUCGGCGCCAUAGCGAAGGUUUAUGAUCGCCGAAGGUGUUCAAAAAACUCAAAGAGUGGAAGUGAGUUCACCGGAGGUGGGCGCCAAUGUUGGGACUUGUUCUCAAAUGCUAUGAGUCAAGAACAAGGCAACAUAGAAAAUGUUAAUCGGUAAAGUCCUUCGUCCUUCGAAGCAUUAUUCCCCUUAGGAUAUAAUGGUUUUCGGACGAAGGUUAUGAAGGGCGUACCUUCAUAAUACAUUAUACAAUGACGAAGGAUGAAUUGUAAGGAAUAUAAAGGACAACAUAAACAAUUAUAUAUUACUAUUAUGUAUAAACAGAAAUAACGUUGGAUUACAAAUGUACCUUCAACUUGAAGGAGAUGAAAGUACAAGCGUGACGCAAAAGCGAAUGCCAAAUCAGCGUGAACAGUACGAGGGUACUGUUCACCUAUUUAUAGGCACGGGACACAGCCCAUACAAAUUACAUUCAUACCCUUUACAUUUGAUAAUAAUUCUAUAGUAGUCUAUCGAGGUCUGAAUAGCCUUUUCAUCUCUAAGUCGGUUUCAUUUUCUGCUACCACGCCGAAGCUUUCCUGCUCACAUCUUCGGUGCUGUAUCGACCUUCGUAUUAUUCUGGUCUUCUUCUGUCGCGAUACCGACUUGAGUCCGAAGAUACCUGCUCACACAUUAUACUCCGAAAUACUGUUAAAUCCUGUUUUUGAGGACCUUCGUAAGCCAAAGGCCCCAACAUUAUUUAUGCAUGUAAGAAAGCGAGAUACAUGAACGACUUGAAACAUUUUAAGGGUAAAAGCGACGUAGUUGUUCGAUGUUCCAAGCGUUGUUGUAGACCUCGCCUUGAUCGUUGGCCAGCUUGUAUGUCCCGGGCUUCAAAAUCCUGGCGAUGAUGAACGACCCUUCCCAGGGAGGAGUAAGCUUGUGGUGCCCUCGGGCGUCUUGUCACAGCCGAAGUACCAAGUCUCCCACUUGGAAGCCUCGGGGCCGAACCCUUCGGGCGUGUAGCGUCGCAGAGACUGCUGAUACCGCGUCGAGUGUAGUAAGGCCACGUCCCGAGCCUCUUCCAGCUGGUCCAAUGAAUCCACUCGGCUGGUCUGGUUGCUUUGGUCGUCGUAAGCCUUUGUCCUCGGGGAACCGUAUUCCAAAUCCGUGGGUAAGAUGGCCUCGGCCCCAUAGACUAGGAAAAACAGCGAGAAGCCCGUGGCCCGGCUCGACGUCGUCCUCAGACUCUAAACCACCGAGGGUAGUUCUUUUAUCCAUCGCUUGCCAAACCUGUUGAGGUCAUUGUAGAUCCUCGGUUUUAGUCCCUGCAAAAUCAUACCGUUGGCGCGCUCCACCUGCCCAUUUGUCAUUGGGUGAGCUACGACGGCCCAGUCCACACGGAUGUGGUGGUCUUCGCAGAAGUCUACGAACUUCUUCCCAGUGAACUGCGUGCCAUUGUCGGUGAUGAUGGAGUUUGGGACCCCAAAGUGAUGGAUGAUAUUUGUGAAGAACGCCACCGCCUGCUCGGACCCGAUGCUGGUUAAGGGUCGGACCUCGAUCCACUUGAAGAAUUUGUCGAUGGCGACCAGCAGGUGCUUGAAGCCCCCGGGUGCCUUCUGCAAGGGACCGACGAGGUCCAGACCCCAUACGGCAAACAACCAAGUGAUGGUAUUGUCUGCAGGGCUUGAGUAGGCAGGUGCGUCUGUCUCGCGUAGAAUUGACACCCUUGGCAGGAGCGUACAAUCCUAGUGGCAUCGGCCACCGCGGUCGGCCAGUAGAAACCUUGUCGGAAAGUGUUUCCCACGAGGGUUCGAGGUGCUGCAUGGUGACUGCAAGCCCCCGAGUGUAUUUCUUGUAACAGCUCUUGUCCUUGGGCGACAGAUAUGCAUCGUUGGAGAAUGCCUGAGGGGUUGCGGUGGUACAACUCUUUUCAUCACCCAGUAAAACGAACGACUUGGCGCGCCGAGCCAGUCUCCGAGCUUCGGCCUUGUCGAGGGCAACUCUCCUCGGAGGAGAUAUUCCAGGUACGGGGUCUGCCAAUUUUGGUUUGGCGCAACCCCAUUCCGCUUUCCCUUGAUGCACAAGGCCUCACCCUCGGCGGUCGAGGGUACCUCGGGCUGGGCCGAGGUCCCCUCGGGUUCGGGUGUGUCGUUGAUUUUGACGGAUGGUUGAUAUAUGUCCCUAGAGAAGACAUUCGGGGGAUCGUUCGCCCGAGGCUAUUUUAGCCAGCUCAUCCGCGGUCUCGUUGUACCGUCGAGCAACAUGGUUGAGUUCCAGCCCGUAGAACUUAUCUUCCAAGCGCCGAACUUCAUCGCAAUAGGCCUCCAUUUUCUGAUCGCGGCAGUGGGAGUUCUUCAUGACUUGGUCAAUGACAAGCUGCGAGUCGCCCCGAGCAUCGAGGCGCCGAACCCCUAGCUCGACGGCGAUGCGUAACCCAUUAACCAAAGCCUUGUACUCGGCCACAUUGUUUGACGUCGAAAAAUGGAGGUGUAGUACGUAGCGCACAUGUUUCUCGAGGGGUGAGAUGAAGAGCAAGCCAGCACCUGCUCCUAUUUUCAUCAGCGACCCAUCGAAGUACAUGGUCCAAAGUUUGGCCUGGAUUGGAGCUGUCGGCAAUUGGGUGUCGACCCAUUCAGCCAGGAAGUCCGCCAAGACUUGGGAUUUUAUGGCCUUCCGAGGGGCAAAUGAAAUUUUUUCGCCCAUGAGUUCCACUGCCCAUUUUGCUAUCCUACCCGUGGCCUCUCGACACUGGAUGAUCUCUCCCAGGGGGAAGGAUGACACCACAGUCACCGGAUGAGACUCGAAGUAGUGUCGCAAUUUUUGUCGUGUCAGAAUUACUGUGUACAGUAGCUUCUAGAUUUGUGGGUAGCAGAUCUUGGUCUCAAAUAGCACCUCGCUGAUGAAGUAGACCGACCUCUGGAUGAGCAGUGCAUACCCUUCUUCCCGUCUCUCGACUACGAUCGCAGCGCUGACCACCUGAGUGGUUGCGGCUACGUAAAUCAAGAGGGCUUCUCCCGCAGCGGGGGGCACCAAGAUGGGCGCAUUAGUAAGGAGUGUCUUUAAGUUUCCGAGGGCUUCCUCGACCUCGGGGGUCCAAGUGAAGCGCUCGGCCUUCCUCAAGAGGCGGUAUAAGGGCAAUCCUUUCUCGCCAAGGCGCGAGAUGAAGUGGCUCAGAGCCAUAAGGCAUCCCAUGACCCUUUGUACUCCUUUUAAAUCUUUGAUGGGUCCCAUGUUGGUGAUGCCUGCAAUUUUCUCUGGGUUGGCCUCGAUGCCUCGUUCGUGACGAUGAACCCAGGAGCAUGCCUCGGGGGACUCCGAAGACACACUUCUCGGGAUUGAGUUUUACGCCCUUUGCACGCAGGCACCCGAAAGCUACCUUGAGGUCGGAGAGGAGGUUGGAGGCUUUCCUUGUUUUGACGACGAUGUCAUCGACAUAAGCCUCGACCGUUCUGCCGAUGUGUUCUCCGAACACGUGGUUCAUGCACCUUUGGUAGGUUGCACCUGCAUUCCUCAAGCCAAAUGGCAUGGUAGUAUAACAAUACAUGCCAAAAGGUGUGAUAAAAGAAGUCGCGAGCUGGUCGGAUUUUCAUCUUGAUUUGGUGAUAGCCUGAAUAGGCAUCGAGGAAAGACAGGGUUUCGCACCCAGCAGUGGAGUCCACAAUUUGAUCGAUGCGAGGCAGAGGGUAGGGAACCUUUGGACAUGCUUUAUUUAACCCAGUGUAGUCUACGCACAUCCUCCAUUUCCCACCUUUUUUCUUUACAAGCACAGGGUUAGCUAGCCAUUCUAGAUGGAAUAACUUUUUGAUGAACCCUGCAGCCAUCAGCUUGUGGACCUCCUCGCCUAUGGCCCUACGCUUUUCUUCAUCAAAGCGGCGCAUGGGCUGCUUCACGGGUCGGGCACCGGCUCGGAUGUCCAGUGAGUGCUCGGUGACAUCCCUCGGUAUGCCGGGCAUGUCCGAGGGACUCCACACAAAAAAUUCGGUGUUUGCGCCGGAGAAAGUCGACGAGCACUGCUUCCUAUUUGGGGUCGAGCUCAGAGCUGAUCCUGACUUUCUUGCCGGCGUCGUUGCUGGGGUCGAGAGGGACAGACUUAACUGCCUCGACCGUUCGAAGUUGCCGGCGUGGCGCUUCGCAUCUAGCACCUCCUUGGAGAGGCAAUCUAGGUCGGCGAUGAGGGCCUCGGACUCGGCGAUGGCCUCAGCGUCCUCCACGCAUUCCACGUCGCACUCGUAAGCGUGGCGGUAAGUGGAUCCGAUGGUGAUGGUUCCGUUGGGGCCGGGCAUCUUGAGCUUGAGGUACGUGUAGUUGGGGACAACCAUGAACUUGGCGUAUCACGGUCUUCCCAGCACCGCGUGGUAGGUCCCUCGGAACCCGACCACCUCGAACGUGAGGGUUUCCUUUCAGAAGUUGGAGGGAGUUCCAAAGCAGACGGGCAAAUCGAGUUGCCCAAGGGGCAGGACGCGCUUACCGGGGACGAUCUCAUGAAAAGGUGCUGCACUGGCCCGGAUCGUGGACAGAUCGACCCCCAAGAGCCCUAGGGUCUCGACGUAGAUGAUGUUGAGGCUGCUGCCUCCGUCCAUGAGGACCUUGGUGAGCCUAGUGUUGCCGAUGACAGGGUCGAUGACGAGCGGGUACCUUCCUGGGCUCGGUACGCAGUCGGGGUGGUCGCCUUGGUCGAAGGUGAUGGGCUUGUCGGACCAGUCUAGGUAGACCGGCGCCGCUACCUUCAUCGAGCAGACCUCCCGGCGCUCCUGCUUGCGGUGCCGAGCCGAGGCGUUCGCCACCUGUCCGCCGUAGAUCAUGAAGCAGUUGUGGACCUCCGAGAACUCCUCUUCCUUGUCGCCCCCUUCUUGUUGUUGCCUUGGUCUUUGCCACCUUCUGCCGAGGGUCCAGCCUUGUUGAAGUAACAUCGGAACUUGUCACACUCCUCAAGGGUGUGCUUGACGGGACCCCUGUGAUAGGGGCACGACUCCUUGAGCAUCUUGUUGAACGUGUUGGCCCCUCCGGGAGGUUUUCGAGGGUUCCUAUGCUCAGCAGCAGCGACGAGAUCCGCGUCAACGGCGUCGCGUUUUGCUUGCACCUUGUUCUUGGCCUUCUUUUUCGUGCCACGCUGGACGGACGCCUCGGGGGCAUCUUCCUUCUGUCUUCCCUGAGGCUGCUUGUCAUUCUGGAAGAUGGCUUCAACCGUCUCCUGACCAGAGGCGAACUUGGUGGCUAUGUCCAUCAAUUCGCUCGCCUUGGUGGGAGUCUUGCGCCCUAGUUUGCUCACCAGGUCUCGACAAGUGGUGCUAGCGAGUAAUGCCCCGAUGACGUCUGAGUCGGUGAUGUUGGGUAGCUCGGUGCGCUGCUUUGAAAACCGCCGAAUGUACUCUCGCACUGGCUGCUGGCGGUAGCUUCGGAGAUCCCAUGAGUUCCUAGGGCGCACGUACGUACCUUGGAAAUUUCCAGCGAAGGCCUUGACCAGGUCGUCCCAGUCGGAGAUCUGCGCAGGAGGCAGAUGCUCCAGCCAGGCCCGGGCAGCGUCGGAGAGGAAAAGGGGGAGGUUGCGGAUGAUGAGGUUGUCAUCAUCCGUCCCUCCCAACUGGCAUGCCAGCCGGUAAUCCGCAAGCCACAACUCCGGCCUUGUCUCCCCUGAGUACUUGGUGAUGGUGGUCGGGGCUCGGAACCGGGCCGGGAAUGGUGCUCGUCGUAUGGCCCGACUGAAGACUCGCGGACCUGGCGGUUCGGGUGAGGGGCUCCGAUCCUCCUCACUGUCGUAGCGUCCUCCGCGCCUGGGGUGGUAGCCUCGGCGCACCCUUUUCUCGAGGUGGGCUCGACGGUCGCGGCGGUGUUGCUCACUGCCGAGGCGGUCCGGGGCUGCAGGCGUCCCGUCCCGUGUGCGCUCGGUGCGGACCGAGGCCUCCCGCAUGCGUCGGGAGGAUGUUGCGCGAUGCUCCGAGGGCACCCUCGCCUUCGGGAGGCGGAGCUCUCGGCUUGUCGGACAGCGGCGUCUUCUAGGAGGCCCUUGAGCUCGCCCUGGAUAUGUCGCCCCUCGGUGGUGGAUGGCUCCGCCAUUGUUCGGAGUAGCAUCGCUGAUGCAGCCAGGUUCUGACCGGCCCCGCUGAAAGCCGGGGGCAGCCCCGCCCUAGCAUUGUCGACGAUGUGGUGCUGGACGUCCCGGGCCCGAUGACGCGCUCCUCCGGCGAGUGCCCGGCCUGCCCAGUCCUGCUCAAUGUUUUGUCGGAGCUGCACAAGCCGCCCCGCUUCUUCGCCGAGCUUGGCCUGCAUCUCGCGAAGUUGCUCAAGCUGUGUGUCCUGACCCCCUGCAAGGACUGGGACCACAGCUAGCUCCCGCGGGAUCUCAACGCGAGACGCAGGCACAAGGGCGUCGUCAUCUUCUGGCAUACCGAGGUGGUUGUCUUCGCCAUGAUCCCCCUGAUCGAUGUGGAAACACUCGCGACUUGGGCCAUAACCCUCGUCGUCGAGGCUGUGGUCAUCGUCGGAGCAGCCGGAGAGGCAGUAGUCACAUGCGGACAUGAAGUCUCGCAUGGCGCUGGGAUCACGGAGUCCGGAGAAAUCCCAACCGAAGUCGGGGUCGUCGUCUUCCUCGGAACCCGCGGGUUCGGAGGUUGAGACGGCCGUCAGUCGGUCCUAAGAUGACCACAUAUGAUACCCUGGAAGGUCAGGAUACGCCCUUGCGAAAGCGCUCACCGAAGCGGGGUCACUUGGUGGAUCGAAGCUGAAUCUAAAAGGGACAGGGUGGAAAACGGACGGUACCUCUUGGUGGAGUCGCGUCAGGGACGGAAUGCACAGUUAUCUCAGGUACGAGGCUAACGCCCAGCAAGUCCUUCGUGAGGGUGCUAGCGUCAUCAAUCCACUUGGGGUUGGCACGUUGCGGGGAAGCGACACCCCUCAUUGUCUCAGGUGCGAGGAUGAGAGCACCUAGAGGGGGGGUGAAUAGGUGAUCCUGUAAAAACUUAAAACUUAAAGCCACAAAACUUGAUUAGGCGUUAGCACAGUUUAUGCCAAGUGGCUAGAGAGAACUCAAAACACGAUAACCACAAGAAAGCAAUCACAGAGUUGACACGGUGGUUAUCCCGUGGUUCGGCCAAGUACAAAACUUGCCUACUCCAUGUUGUGGCGUCCCAACGGACGAGAGUUGCACUCAACUCCUCUCAAGUGAUCCAAUGAUCAACUUGAAUACCACGGUGUUUUUCUUUCCUUUGAUCUUUUCCCGUUUGCGAGGAAUCUCCACAACUUGGAGUCUCUCGCCCUUACAAUUGAGUUCACAAAGAAAUACGGAGUAAGGUGGGAAUGAGCAACGCACACAAGACUCGAAAAUCAGAGCAACAACACGCACACAAGUCGCAACAAGAGCUCGCAAUGCAACACAAAGAGUUCACAACUCCACAAGAGCUCUAUAUGCUAUCACAGUGAAACGAAUGCGUGAGAUUGAUGUCUUGGUGCUUAGAAGAGUUGUAGGAAUGCUUGGUGUUCUCCUCCAUGCGCCUAGGGGUCCCUUUUAUAGCCCCAAGGCAGCUAGGAGCCGUUGAGAACAAAUCCAGAAGGCUAUCCUUGCCUUCUGUCGUCGGGCGCACCGGACAGUCCGGUGCACACCGGACACUGUCCGGUGCCCGAUUUCUUUCCUUAAUAGGCGCAGCCGACCGUUGCCGACCGUUGCAGAUCUGGCGCACCGGACAGUCCGGUGCACACCGGACAGUCCGGUGCUUCCUUCCGACCGUUGGCUCGGCCACGUGUCGCGCGCCGAUCGCGCGGCCGACCGUUGGCCCGGCCGACCGUUGGCUCACCGGACAGUCCGGUGCACACCGGACAGUCCGGUGAAUUUUAGCCGAAGUCGCCGGAGAAAAACCCGAGAGCAGCCUCUUCGGCCGAGGCAGCCUGGCGCACCGGACACUGUCCGGUGCACCACCGGACAGUCCGGUGCCCCAGACCGAAACAGCCCCUUGGCUGUACACAGCCAAGUCUUCUCUUCUCUUCUUCUUUCUGUUUCUAACACUUAGACAAGAUAUUAGUACACAAAACCAAUGUACUAAGGCUUAGAAACAUACCUUUACUUGUGAUUUGCACUUUGUUCAACCAUGGGCAUAUUCUCACUUUUAAGCACUUGUGUUUGCACUCAAUCACCAAAAUACUUAGAAAUGGCCCAAGGGCACAUUUCCCUUUCAAUCUCCCCCUUUUUGGUGAUUUAUGCCAACACAACAUAAAGCAAAUAGAACAAGUGCAAAAUCACUUCAAAUAAAAACUCAAAUUGGUUUUGAUUCAAUUUUGGCAUAUAUGGAUCAUCCUUUGCCACCACUUGGUUUGUUUUUGCAAAUCAAACUCAAAUCUCUAUCUCUAAGUCAAACACACAUGUUGAAGCGUAAAGAGAGUCAUUCCAAACGAGAUUGAUCAAAGAUUUCAAAAACUCCCCCUAAAUCCCAUACCUAAAUCCCAUAAUCAAUACUUCUCCCCACAAGAAGCCAACUUUUCACAAAAGAGACAAUAAGAGACGAAAGCUUUUGACAAAACAAAAACUCUAUUCUACUAUUUUCAAAAUCUCUCAAGUGGUAGCUGAUCCAUUUAUCACUUUGGCCUUUAUUUUCUCCCCCUUUGGCAUCAAGCACCAAAACGGGAUCAAUCUUGGCCUAUAUAACCCCAUUGCCUCACCAAAAUCUUCAAUUAAGAGCAAAUGGCAAUAAGAGUUCAUGAGAUGGACUUGGAAUAAGUUACCCUCUCAUCGGAGUGCAGUGGAAGUCUUUCAUGGUCCAAGUCCACCUUUUCCCUUUCAAGCCUCCUUUGAGACUAAAUCAUCAAACUCAAACACAUGGUUAGUCUCAAAGGGUCAAGUUGUAACACAUCUCCCCCUUAACAUGUGCAUCACUUUGCAACAGACUUGUGAGGUCCAGGGAGUGUUUGUACAACUUGAGCACCACAAUAAGCAACAAAAUGCAAAAAGGAACAUGAUCAAAAGCAUAAAUACAUGUAUGCUACAAUUCAAUCCAGGUUCCGCGAAUCUAAGACAUUUAGCUCACUACGCAACCUGCAAAAGGUCUUCUCAUCUAGAGGCUUAGUGAAGAUAUCGGCUAGCUGGUUCUCGGUGCUAACAUGAAACACUUCGAUAUCUCCCUUUUGCUGGUGGUCUCUCAAAAAGUGAUGCCGGAUGUCUAUGUGCUUUGUGCGGCUGUGCUCAACAGGAUUCUCCGCCAUGCGGAUAGCACUCUCAUUAUCACAUAGGAGUGGGACUUUGCUCAGAUUGUAGCCAAAGUCCCUGAGGGUUUGCCUCAUCCAAAGUAGUUGCGCGCAACACUGUCCUGCGGCAACGUACUCGGCCUCAGCGGUGGAUAGGGCAACGGAAGUUUGUUUCUUAGAAUUCCAUGACACAAGGGACCUUCCUAAGAAUUGGCACGUCCCCGAUGUACUCUUCCUAUCGACCUUACAUCCAGCAUAGUCGGAGUCUGAGUAUCCAACCAAGUCAAAGGUAGACCCCUUUGGAUACCAGAGCCCGAAGCAAGGCGUAGCAACUAAAUAUCUAAGAAUCCGCUUCACCGCCACUAAGUGACACUCCUUAGGAUCGGAUUGAAAUCUAGCACACAUGCAUACGCUAAGCAUAAUAUCCGGUCUACUAGCACAUAAGUAAAGUAAUGACCCUAUCAUUGACCGGUAUGCUUUUUGAUCAACGGACUUACCUCCUUUGUUGAGGUCGGUGUGUCCGUCGGUCCCCAUCGGAGUCUUUGCGGGCUUGGCGUCCUUCAUCCCAAACCGCUUUAGCAGAUCUUGCGUGUACUUCGUUUGGGAGAUGAAGGUGCCGUCCUUGAGUUGCUUCACUUGGAACCCAAGGAAGUAGUUCAACUCGCCCAUCAUCGACAUCUCGAAUUUUUGCGUCAUCACCCUGCUAAACUCUUCACAAGACUUUUGGUUAGUAGAACCAAAUAUUAUGUCAUCGACAUAAAUUUGGCACACGAACAAAUCACCAUCACAUGUCUUAGUGAAAAGAGUUGGAUCGGCUUUCCCAACCUUGAAAGCAUUAGCAAUUAAGAAAUCUCUAAGGCAUUCAUACCAUGCUCUUGGGGCUUGCUUAAGUCCAUAGAGCGCCUUAGAGAGCUUACACACGUGGUCGGGGUACCGUUCAUCCUCGAAGCCAGGGGGUUGCUCCACGUACACCUCCUCCUUGAUUGGCCCGUUGAGGAAAGCGCUCUUCACAUCCAUUUGGUACAACCUGAAAGAAUGGUGAGCGGCAUAUGCUAGCAAGAUUCGAAUUGACUCUAGCCUAGCCACAGGAGCAAAAGUCUCCUCAAAAUCCAAACCUGCGACUUGGGCAUAACCUUUUGCCACAAGUCGAGCCUUGUUUCUCGUCACCACCCCGUGCUCGUCCUGUUUGUUGCGGAACACCCACUUGGUUCCCACAACAUUUUGCUUCGGACGAGGCACCAGCGUCCAAACUUCAUUUCUCUUGAAGUUGUUGAGCUCCUCCUGCAUGGCCAACACCCAGUCCGGAUCUAGCAAGGCCUCCUCUACCCUGAAAGGCUCAAUAGAAGAGACAAAAGAGUAAUGCUCACAAAAAUUAACUAAUCGAGAACGAGUAGUUACUCCCUUGCUGAUGUCACCCAGAAUUUGGUCGACGGGAUGAUCCCUUUGAAUCAUCGCUCGAACUUGGGUUGGAGGUGCCUGAGGUGCUUCUUCCUCUUCAACUUGAACAUCCUGUGCUCCCCCUUGAUCAUGCGCCUCCACUUGAGGUACCUGUUCGUUAUCUUGGGUUGGGGGAUGCACCAUAGUUGAGGAAGACGGUUGAUCUUGCUCCAAGUGUUCCUGAGGCCGUACAUCUCCAAUCACCAUGGUGCGUAUUGCGGCCGUUGGAACGUCUUCUUCAUCGGUUAGUAACUCAUACGACGUCUUCUUGAGGAGGCGAUGAAGGUAGACCCUGUUGAUGGCGUGGCAAGCCGUGUUCACGGCUUCCGUCCAAAAGCACUCGGGGGUCUUGAACUCUCCUAGCAUCGUCCUCGCCAUAUCGAUGAGCGUCCUGUUCUUCCUCUCUACCACACCAUUUUGCUGUGGUGUGUAGGGAGCGGAGAACUCAUGCUUGAUCCCUUCUUCUUCAAGGAAUUCCUCCACUUGAAGAUUCUUGAACUCGGACCCGUUGUCGCUCCUUAUCUUCUUCACUUUGAGCUCAAACUCAUUUUGAGCUCUCCUGAGGAAGCGUUUGAGGGUCACUUGGGUUUCGGACUUUUCCUGCAAAAAGAACACCCAAGUGAAGCGGGAAAAGUCAUCAACAAUAACUAAACCAUACUUACUUCCUCCUAUGCUCAGAUAGGCGACGGGUCCAAAAAGGUCCAUAUGCAGCAUCUCCAAGGGUCUUGAUGUCGUCAUCACAUUUUUGGUGUGAUGAGAGCCUCCCACCUGUUUCCCUGCUUGACAAGCUGCACAAGGUCUAUCUUUUUCGAAUUGAACAUUAGUUAGACCUAUCACAUGUUCUCCCUUUAGAAGCUUGUGGAGGUUCUUCAUCCCCACAUGUGCUAAGCGGCGGUGCCACAGCCAGCCCAUGCUAGUCUUAGCAAUUAAGCAUGCAUCUAGACCGGCCUCCUCUUUUGCAAAAUCAACUAAGUAAAGUUUGCCGUCUAAUACACCCUUAAAAGCUAGUGAACCAUCACUUCUUCUAAAGACAGACACAUCUACAUUUGUGAAUAGACAGUUAUACCCCAUGUUGCAUAAUUGACUGACAGAUAGCAAAUUAUAACCAAGAGACUCUACUAAAAACACAUUAGAUAUAGAGUGCUCAUUAGAAAUUGCAAUUUUACCUAGCCCUUUUACCUUGCCUUGAUUCCCAUCACCGAAUAUAAUUGAAUCUUGGGAAUCCUUAUUCUUGACGUAGGAGGUGAACAUCUUCUUCUCCCCCGUCAUAUGGUUUGUGCAUCCCCUGUCUAUAAUCCAGCUUGAACCCCCGGAUGCAUAAACCUGCAAGGCAAAUUUAGGCUUGGGUUUUAGGUACCCAACUCAUGUUGGGUCCUGCAAGGUUAGCACAAAUAUCCUUAGGGACCCAAAUGCAAGUUUUGUCUCCCUUGCAUCUUGCCCCUAACUUCCUAGCAAUUACCUUUUUACCCUUUCUACAAAUAGCAAAGGGAGCAUUGCAGGCAUAAUAAAUGGUAGAAGGUUCAUUUGCUACUUUCCUAGGAGCAUGAAUAACAUUCUUUUUAGGAACAACAUUUUUCCUAGUAACAUUUCUAUCAUACACAUAUGAAGAACUAGGAGCAAACAUGGCAUGAGAAUCAUAAACAUGUGAAUCAUUACAAGCAUUUCUAGCAUGUCUCCUAUCAUGGUACAUGAAAGCAUGAUUCUUCUUAACACUAUUAGCCAUAGGAGCCUUCCCUUUCUCCUUGGUGGAGAUAGGAGUCUUAUGGCUUGUUAAGUUCUUGGCUUCCCUCUUGAAGCCAAGCCCAUCCUUAAUUGAGGGGUGUCUACCAACCGUGUAGGCAUCCCUAGCAAAUUUUAGUUUAUCAAAAUUACUCUUGCUAGUCUUAAGUUGAGCAUUAAGACUGAAGCGUCCCCAAUCCUCUGGGACUCAAAUGUGAUACAAUUACUAGUCCCAGGAGGCUAGUAAACACAUUUAUACAUCAGAUGAUACCAAAUCUGCUUAAACGAGACAAACCUACAAAGGUGGCGAACAACUUUAAGAGUUGGUCCACAACUCGGGACAUAUCAUCAGAGUGGGGCUGAAGCAGCCCGAUAUACGCAGCGAAGCAAUUCAGCGGUCCAACAACCACAGGCAAGGUUGGGAACAGUCGUAACUCUUACCCGAUCUCCUUUUUCUGAAAAAACAACAAAUAAGCAAGGGUGAGUACAAACGUACUCAGCAGCCCACCUUCACCCGCGGAAUGGGGAAAUCAGAUAUAAUGCAUGGAAUAUGUAGAGCUCAGGAUAUUUGCAGAAACAGCAAUAUUUUAUGCAGGGUUGUUUUGAAAAACAUUUUGUAUUUUGCAAAGUGCAUCCUCUCCAAAAGGAGCAGGAAGUUUUUCAGUAUUAUAACAAAAUCCCCUGGACUAAACCAUCCAGGUAUCUCAGCAGUUUCCCACUGGUUUUCCUUUUCAAAAACAGCUACUGGACUUCCCGUCCACCAUAGCUCACGGCUCAACCGCCGAACCUUUUUAAAAACCACUUUUCUCAAAACCAUCUCUUUUUUUGGAAAACAAAACAUUAAUUGCCAUACCAUACCAGACUCGUCCAUUCCUGUGGACACGGACUAUUCGAAUAGGUUUUCAAACUCUGCGCAGAGGUGUACACUUUACCCACUAGUCCGGCUCUGCGAUCUCAUAGCUAGUGAGACCCGAAUCCGAAUCUCUUUCUUUCCCCGCACGUCCUAACCUUAACGGUUAUCCGGAAGGAGUCAGGCCACCGCCAUGUCCAAACCGGACAAAACUUUCCCCCUCCUUAUCCUCCCGGUGCUCCCCAGCCUUCAUAACCCUAGGGUUGGACCGUACGAGUUCAGAUUGAGUGACUGCCCACACAGUCUCGAGUGGUUGUACUAUUAAAGAGUACAGGUAGAGAAGAUGACAAACCGGUCCUUAUACGAGGGGACAAUCCUUCUGCUCACGCCUAAACCAGCUGAGCCAUCACCUUAGGCCCUCCCCUAAACCAGGGAGUCCCUGAUUAUCCCACUCACAAGGUGAUAAGGGUGAAAACCCUUCAUCAUACACAUUUUGAAAAGCAUUUUCUUUUGAAAACUCACACCCUUUUCUCAAAUCAUUUGUAACAAAUAUAUUAAGGAUUGAUUGCGGCAAGCGGCUUGGGUGGCCAUAAUAACUUGUCUCAAAAUCAUAUCAUGCAUAAAAUAACAGGCUGAGGGUUGUGGUUGAAAGACAUAGGUAAUUUAUGCAUCAAAGGGAUCCAGUGAGCUUGCCGUGCUUAUUUGGCGAAGAGGGAAGGGGAGCUCGCGGAACUGGCUUCUGGCUCCACUGCCUGGCGUAGACUUGCAGAUCUGGCCUCCACGAGACGGCACGAACGCUCCGAUAACUAUGCAACAUGAACAAGCAACAUACAAACCAACAAGUAUAGCAACAAAUAUUUAGUAUAGUGGUCAGAAUAGCGAUAUAUGGAUGGGUAGAGUCUUGAGUAGAAUCUGUGUCAUGUGGUGUUGAGAUACUACUAGUGGUGGAGCGGAGGUGCUUACCAGGAGGGUGGACUGAAGGCGAAGCGACACUACGCGUGUAGUCGGCAGAGCGGAGUAACUGAGUGGGUGGGAGUUUUCCUUGGCUGAGGGUGUGGAGUGUGUGUGGAGAGGGAGAGGGUAGCUGGGUGUAUUUAUAGCUGGGUGUAUGUGGUGUAGCACAGUAAAGUUCACUGUAGGUGAGAAUAGUGACGAAUGAAUCGUCUGACUUAGUAUGAACAGGAGAGUCAUAUGCAGAAUAUGGGACGAGAGUAUUUUGGGAGUCUUCUGGAACAUGAACCAUGCUUAAGGGAUGACAUGGUUGGAUAGGGAAUAGUUUGAUAAGAAUUUAGAAACGAGAAUUAUUGGAAUCUGAGUUUGGGAGCCUGGUUCGAAGGAAUCUCAAAGUUAAGCGUGCUCAACUUGGAGAAACCUGAGAUGGGUGACCAGAUGGGAAGUUCCCUACUGGAAGAAAAAUCACAGUCACCGGAGUUCGUAUGACUGGAAUAUGGGUCUGGCUGGUCUUAGGUGGACUGGACAACAUGAUGUACGAGUAGUUGAAAUUUGGGAUGACUAGAUGACCGAUGAAUAGUAACGAUGAAUAGUGGCGAUGGAAAAGAAAUUAUAGAUAUCAUCGAUGAAUAGUAACGAUGAUGAAUAGUAAUGGUAAAUAGUAACGAUGAUGAAUAGUGUAUGUGAAUAGUAACGAUGAAUAGUAAUGGUGAAUAGUAAUGGUGAAUAGUGAUAGUGAAUAGUUCGUAUGAACGAACGAUGAACGAUGAAUAGGAACUAUGAACGAACGGACGAACGAACGAUCGGAAUUUCGGCAGCAUAACGGCAGGAAAAGAUUAUUUGGACGAACGAACGAACGAACGAUCGAAUGAUCGUACGAACGAACGAUCGGAAUUUCGGCAGCAUAACGGCAGGACAAAGAUUAUCUGGAAGAACGAUGAAUAGGGACUAUGAACGAACGAUGAAUCGAUGAAUAGGGACUAUGAACGAACGAUGAACGAUCGAAUGAUCGAACGAACGAACGAUCGGAAUUUCGGCAGCAUAACGGUAGGAAAAAGAUUAUUUGGACGAACGAACGGACGAACGAUCGAACGAUCGGACGAACGGACGAACGAACCAUGAACGAUCAAACGAACGAUCGAACGAUCGGACGAACGAACGAACAAACUAAGAACAGGGGACGAACGAUCGAAGAACGAUCGAACGAUCCUUGUGCUAGUGUGUGCUUGUGUGAAACAUGGAGUGGGUGUAUGUGUGGGGGGGGAAGAGAGUUGCCAUGAAAUGGCUUGGGGUGGGAUGAGAGGAGGCCCUUGCCCCUCUAUUUAUAGCCAUGGUGGGGGGAUUAGGGGGAGGGAUGAGAGGAUUAGUGGGAGGAUGAGAGGAUUAGUGGGAGGAUGAGAGGAUUAGUGGGAUAUUAGCAUGUAUUUGUCUUGUAUAAGUGAGAUUAGCUUGUAGAGCUCAUCGUAUGACACUGGAGGCAUACGUAUACGUAUGAGCACAAGGAAAGUUAUGAAGCAAAUAUUUAUAGGGACUUGAAAAUGAUUCUGAAGGUAUUUCUCAGGAGGAAAAUAUCUGGAGAUAUAUCGAUGGAAUAUUUGGGCAGUAUUUCUGGAAAGAACUUGAAGCGGAUUACUCGGGAAAUAUCUGGGCGGUAUUUCUGGAAAGAAUUUGAGGGGGAUCACUGGGGAAAUAUUUGUAGGAUAUUUUGAGGAGGAUUUUAGAGAGAAUAUAGACCACUAUAAUUUAUUUGUUGAUAUCAACUCGCAAACAAACAUUUUGAAAUGAAAUUUGAAAUUCAUUUUGAAUUUAGGGCGAGUUUGAGAAAAUUUCAGAAUUUGAAUUUUUGGGAUGCUACAAAUCUACCCCACUUAAAAGGAAUCUCGUCCUCGAGAUUCGGUUUAGAAGGGUUAUGAGUAUAGCUUUACUUCAGCUACAUAUCUUCACUUUGCUGACUCUUCGAGGAGAUGGAACUUCAACAAAAUCUGGCCUUUGAGGGGCAUCCGGUUGCUGAUUGCAAACGCUGGUUCUGGCUACUCAAGAAUCAUCUUCAGGCUACUAGCUUUUGCUUGGCAGCUUGCUUAUUGAAGAAGCAUCGAUGCCAACACACAAACCUUUCUCUUGCGAACUCCCUCAUGGAUUCCUUCCUUGAUUAGUCUUCUGGUGCUUCAUCAACAAAACUUGGGUGACCACUUCUCAUCCAGAAACUUAUAUGCUUUGAUGAUCUGGUCCUCCACAAGCUUGCUACAGACCUUCUUCUUUUUCUCCAUAGCAGGAACCUUGCUGGAACACUACCCCACUUAAAAAGAAAGAGGGUAGAACUCUUGAAUCUUGGGGAUUUGAACUCCUUGAAGUACCUCAUAACAAAGGUGUUACGGGGCCUUCUUCUGCUGUUGCUGCUUGAGCAGGCUGCGGAGAAAUGACUGACACAGGGUUGAUUCUGGGACAACCUUCUUCUCAUCUUCUCUUCACUAUCUUCUUUUCUCUUCUCACUUUUCACUUUUCACUGUCUCUUUCUUUCUCUUUGCUCUUCCCACUCGAGGAUUCUAUCAAAGAGUAUUACCAUCAUACAGAGGAGGAAACCGAAGAUGUUGAACCAUAUACAACAGUCUUCAACCCAAGAAUCACCAAGCAUUGUGAUCUUAGGGGCGAGGGAGUGGAAAAAUGGAGUUGCUUGCGAUUUGGCAGAGGGGAUUUAUCUGGAGUGUGCUUUUGCUUUGAGCGAGAUGGGAGUUGAGGGAGAUGGUGGGGGGGGGGGGGUUUAUAGGCGAGCGGGGGUGUUCGGUUGCGGAGCAGUGGUGAUGGAGUAGGUGCUACGCGGCAGCGGGUGCGAUAAGGGGAGGGGGGCCUGGUGUUGCUAGCGAUGAUGGUGGCGGUGGGUGUGCUGCAAAGGUGGCGUGGGCGGCGGUGGUAGUGCGCUGCAAAGGGGGGCGUGGGGCGGUGGUAGUGCGCAUGGAGGCGGGCACGCGUGGGGGGGGGCACGGGUGAGUGGUGGGGUCGAUGACCCUGAUGUUUGUGGUCUCUGGUUCCAAGAAUCUUUGCCUCUGUGUAUGGUAAUAACUCCUUCUGUCCUCUUUUCCUGUUUACUUUGACUCAGGGGCAGUGCUUUGAUUCUCACGGUCGGUCCUUUUGACUGAGCGGCUGGACUGGCUUCUUCUGUAGCUUGUUCCAGGCUUCAAGGGUAAGCUUCCCGGUAUCUUCUUGGGUAAGACACUUUUCUCUUGAGAUGGGUUAAGAUGAGAAUGGAAGCAUAAGGUGAGGAUUAGAUCUAAUUUGUGAUCUAUGUUUUUUAGAGAAAACCUUUCUUAAAAAAACACACAAGCUCAGCAAUGAUAAGCACAAACAAAUCGAAUGUUUUGAAUAAGGGAAGAAUAGAGUUUUUCCAAAGCACGGACUACUCAGAUUCGGGGGCUAAGCAUAACUACUAUUGCUUGGCUCCUGAAUUGAGAACUAUGCUAAAUGCAACUUAUGAGCACUAACGUUAAAGCAUCACAUAUGCACUCAAAAGGGAGGAAAACAUCAAGCGAAAUUCAUUUUGAAAUGCCCUAGGGGGCAACACAAAUAGAGUUUUUCAAAGCACGGGACUACACGAUUAACUCUCAUACAUGCAGGGCUCUAGCCAAAGUGAAGAAAAACUUCACUACCCAAUGCAUGCAGAGGACUGGGCAUACUAACUUCAGACCGGACAACUUCUCUUCUGGCAGGGCUGGCACACAACUUCAAUCUGAGACAUCUCCUGGAUGGGUCAAUAGGGAGCUGAUGUUGAUGACUUCUUCUGGCAGCGACUGAGAUGGCAGCACGGGGUCGAACUCUUCUUCAAGCGGGACUGGCUCUUGUAGCUCCUCAGAGGGCGGUGGUGCUGGCGGGGUGCUUGCAGCUUCUUCUUUGACCUCAAGGGAGGGUGCUGGAAUCUUCUUCAUGGCGAGGGGCUCAAACAACUCUGGCGGGGGAUCUUGGGAGGAUUCAGGGUGCUCUUGCUUAUCCAUAGCCUUAGGGGAGACUGGAAUUCCUUCCAAGACUAUGGCUCCUUCUGGUAGUUCCCAAGCCUUCUUUUCUCCUCUGGUAGAGACCGGGUGACCUUCAAGAAUCUGGGGGUCUUCAGCUCUCCUGGGUUGAACUGGGUUGGAUGGAGCGGGCUCUUGGAUCCGUAGGGCUCUACGUUGGUUAUGGGUUACCAAGUAGGCCUCCAUCAACUUCUGGACGUGCUCAUCCUUGGCUUGCUUCAGGGCUUCAACAGCAAUGACUUCACGACUCUCCAAGGCAGUUGCACGAGCUUGAGUUGUGGUGAGAUCCACAUGCAGCUGACGGUUGCGCUUCUCUGCAUCUUCUGCUCGGGCAAUCAUCUGACGGUGGUGCCGAGCCAAGAAAUCAUAUUGUGCAUCCAGGGUGAGCAGGUAUGCAGUGAGGUACACGACUGUGGGGUCAUCCUCAAGCAGUUGCUGCCCUUCCAAUGCACGCAUCCUGGCCAUCCAAGCGGGACGGUCUCUCUGAAAGGGCGGAAAGAAUCUGAGCGGGGUGUCGGCCACUUCUUCUUCAUAGAUCUGACACAGGGCCCUCAAUGCCUUGCGAGCGACGACUUGGCAGGUGUCUUUGAAUCUGUGCCCAGCAGCAGUGACACUCCAUUCCACAUGGUGUGGACUGGAUCCAAUGUAUACAGUCACGACACACUUCUCUGUGCCAUGCUCGACGAACUCACGACCAUCAUACUCUGGCUGGCUCCUGAUUCCGAGGCAGACUGUGCAUGCUCUCAGCAACUUGGGGAAACCAUCUUCAUUCUGGCAGAAGCUGGUUUGGCACUGAACCUCCAUCUGACUUCUGAGAGAAGGAAAGGGGGAAAACAUUUUUGAAAUGAAGGGAUGAGAGCAAGAAUUUUUUUAAGAAAAUAGUUUGGACUCAAAAACUUUUGAUCAGGCUAAGGGUUACGUCCUGCGGCCAACCUAACAGCUCUGAUACCACCUGAAGCGUCCCCAAUCCUCUGGGACUCAAAUGUGAUACAAUUACUAGUCCCAGGAGGCUAGUAAACACAUUUAUACAUCAGAUGAUACCAAAUCUGCUUAAACGAGACAAACCUACAAAGGUGGCGAACAACUUUAAGAGUUGGUCCACAACUCGGGACAUAUCAUCAGAGUGGGGCUGAAGCAGCCCGAUAUACGCAGCGAAGCAAUUCAGCGGUCCAACAGCCACAGGCAAGGUUGGGAACAGUCGUAACUCUUACCCGAUCUCCUUUUUCUGAAAAAACAACAAAUAAGCAAGGGUGAGUACAAACGUACUCAGCAGCCCACCUUCACCCGCGGAAUGGGGAAAUCAGAUAUAAUGCAUGGAAUAUGUAGAGCUCAGGAUAUUUGCAGAAACAACAAUAUUUUAUGCAGGGUUGUUUUGAAAAACAUUUUGUAUUUUGCAAAGUGCAUCCUCUCCAAAAGGAGCAGGAAGUUUUUCAGUAUUAUAACAAAAUCCCCUGGACUAAACCAUCCAGGUAUCUCAGCAGUUUCCCACUGGUUUUCCUUUUCAAAAACAGCUACUGGACUUCCCGUCCACCAUAGCUCACGGCUCAACCGCCGAACCUUUUUAAAAACCACUUUUCUCAAAACCAUCUCUUUUUUUGGAAAACAAAACAUUAAUUGCCAUACCAUACCAGACUCGUCCAUUCCUGUGGACACGGACUAUUCGAAUAGGUUUUCAAACUCUGCGCAGAGGUGUACACUUUACCCACUAGUCCGGCUCUGCGAUCUCAUAGCUAGUGAGACCCGAAUCCGAAUCUCUUUCUUUCCCCGCACGUCCUAACCUUAACGGUUAUCCGGAAGGAGUCAGGCCACCGCCAUGUCCAAACCGGACAAAACUUUCCCCCUCCUUAUCCUCCCGGUGCUCCCCAGCCUUCAUAACCCUAGGGUUGGACCGUACGAGUUCAGAUUGAGUGACUGCCCACACAGUCUCGAGUGGUUGUACUAUUAAAGAGUACAGGUAGAGAAGAUGACAAACCGGUCCUUAUACGAGGGGACAAUCCUUCUGCUCACGCCUAAACCAGCUGAGCCAUCACCUUAGGCCCUCCCCUAAACCAGGGAGUCCCUGAUUAUCCCACUCACAAGGUGAUAAGGGUGAAAACCCUUCAUCAUACACAUUUUGAAAAGCAUUUUCUUUUGAAAACUCACACCCUUUUCUCAAAUCAUUUGUAACAAAUAUAUUAAGGAUUGAUUGCGGCAAGCGGCUUGGGUGGCCAUAAUAACUUGUCUCAAAAUCAUAUCAUGCAUAAAAUAACAGGCUGAGGGUUGUGGUUGAAAGACAUAGGUAAUUUAUGCAUCAAAGGGAUCCAGUGAGCUUGCCGUGCUUAUUCGGCGAAGAGGGAAGGGGAGCUCGCGGAACUGGCUUCUGGCUCCACUGCCUGGCGUAGACUUGCAGAUCUGGCCUCCACGAGACGGCACGAACGCUCCGAUAACUAUGCAACAUGAACAAGCAACAUACAAACCAACAAGUAUAGCAACAAAUAUUUAGUAUAGUGGUCAGAAUAGCGAUAUAUGGAUGGGUAGAGUCUUGAGUAGAAUCUGUGUCAUGUGGUGUUGAGAUACUACUAGUGGUGGAGCGGAGGUGCUUACCAGGAGGGUGGACUGAAGGCGAAGCGACACUACGCGUGUAGUCGGCAGAGCGGAGUAACUGAGUGGGUGGGAGUUUUCCUUGGCUGAGGGUGUGGAGUGUGUGUGGAGAGGGAGAGGGUAGCUGGGUGUAUUUAUAGCUGGGUGUAUGUGGUGUAGCACAGUAAAGUUCACUGUAGGUGAGAAUAGUGACGAAUGAAUCGUCUGACUUAGUAUGAACAGGAGAGUCAUAUGCAGAAUAUGGGACGAGAGUAUUUUGGGAGUCUUCUGGAACAUGAACCAUGCUUAAGGGAUGACAUGGUUGGAUAGGGAAUAGUUUGAUAAGAAUUUAGAAACGAGAAUUAUUGGAAUCUGAGUUUGGGAGCCUGGUUCGAAGGAAUCUCAAAGUUAAGCGUGCUCAACUUGGAGAAACCUGAGAUGGGUGACCAGAUGGGAAGUUCCCUACUGGAAGAAAAAUCACAGUCACCGGAGUUCGUAUGACUGGAAUAUGGGUCUGGCUGGUCUUAGGUGGACUGGACAACAUGAUGUACGAGUAGUUGAAAUUUGGGAUGACUAGAUGACCGAUGAAUAGUAACGAUGAAUAGUGGUGAUGGAAAAGAAAUUAUAGAUAUCAUCGAUGAAUAGUAACGAUGAUGAAUAGUAAUGGUAAAUAGUAACGAUGAUGAAUAGUGUAUGUGAAUAGUAACGAUGAAUAGUAAUAGUGAAUAGUAAUGGUGAAUAGUGAUAGUGAAUAGUUCGUAUGAACGAACGAUGAACGAUGAAUAGGAACUAUGAACGAACGGACGAACGAACGAUCGGAAUUUCGUACGAACGAACGAUCGGAAUUUCGGCAGCAUAACGGCAGGACAAAGAUUAUCUGGAAGAACGAUGAAUAGGGACUAUGAACGAACGAUGAAUCGAUGAAUAGGGACUAUGAACGAUGAACGAUCGAAUGAUCGAACGAACGAACGAUCGGAAUUUCGGCAGCAUAACGGUAGGAAAAAGAUUAUUUGGACGAACGAACGGACGAACGAUCGAACGAUCGGACGAACGGACGAACGAACCAUGAACGAUCAAACGAACGAUCGAACGAUCGGACGAACGAACGAACAAACUAAGAACAGGGGACGAACGAUCGAAGAACGAUCGAACGAUCCUUGUGCUAGUGUGUGCUUGUGUGAAACAUGGAGUGGGUGUAUGUGUGGGGGGGGGGAAGAGAGUUGCCAUGAAAUGGCUUGGGGUGGGAUGAGAGGAGGCCCUUGCCCCUCUAUUUAUAGCCAUGGUGGGGGGAUUAGGGGGAGGGAUGAGAGGAUUAGUGGGAGGAUGAGAGGAUUAGUGGGAGGAUGAGAGGAUUAGUGGGAUAUUAGCAUGUAUUUGUCUUGUAUAAGUGAGAUUAGCUUGUAGAGCUCACCGUAUGACACUGGAGGCAUACGUAUACGUAUGAGCACAAGGAAAGUUAUGAAGCAAAUAUUUAUAGGGACUUGAAAAUGAUUCUGAAGGUAUUUCUCAGGAGGAAAAUAUCUGGAGAUAUAUCGGUGGAAUAUUUGGGCAGUAUUUCUGGAAAGAACUUGAAGCGGAUUACUCGGGAAAUAUCUGGGCGGUAUUUCUGGAAAGAAUUUGAGGGGGAUCACUGGGGAAAUAUUUGUAGGAUAUUUUGAGGAGGAUUUUAGAGAGAAUAUAGACCACUAUAAUUUAUUUGUUGAUAUCAACUCGCAAACAAACUUUUUUGAAAUGAAAUUUGAAAUUCAUUUUGAAUUUAGGGCGAGUUUGAGAAAAUUUCAGAAUUUGAAUUUUUGGGAUGCUACAAAGACUAGCUAAUUCAUCAUUCAAUUUUGAAAUAGAAACUAAGUGUUUGCUACAAGCAUUAAUAUCAAUAUCCUUACACCUAGUGCAAACUUCAACAUAUUCAACACAAGAGUUGGAUUUAUUUGCUUCUACUAGUUUAGCAUUUAAAUCAUCAUUUAUGCUCUUUAAGUUAGAAAUAGAAUCAUGGCAUGUUGACACUUCACAAGCAAGCAUUUCAUUCCUCUUAAUUUCUAAUGCAAGGGAUUUUUGAGCCUCUACAAACUUAUCAUGUUCUUCAUACAACAAAUCCUCUUGCUUUUCUAAAAGUAUAUUCUUUUCAUUCAAGGCAUCAAUUAAUUCAUUAAUUUUGUCUAUCUUAGAUCUAUCUAAGCCCUUGAAUAAACAUGAAUAAUCUACUUCAUCCUCACUAGAUUCAUCAUCACUAGAAGAAUCAUAAGUAUUAGCAUUACGAGUGGUUACCUUCUUUUCCCUUGCCAUGAGGCAAGUGUGAUGCUCGUUGGGGAAGAGGGAUGACUUGUUGAAGGCGGUGGCGGCGAGUCCUUCGUUGUCGGAGUCGGACGAGGAGCAAUCCGAAUCCCACUCCUUUCCAAUAUGAGCCUCGCCCUUUGCCUUCUUGUAAUUCUUCUUCUUUUCCCAUUUUCCACUCUUCUUUUCCUGGUCACUAUCAUUAUCGGGGCAAUUAGCGAUAAAGUGACCAAUCUUACCACACUUGAAGCAUGAGCGCUUCCCCUUCGUCUUGGUCUUGUUGGGAUGCUCCUUGCGACCCCUUAACGCCGUCUUGAAGCGCUUAAUGAUGAGAGCCAUUUCUUCAUCAUUAAGCCCGGCCGCCUCAAUUUGCGCCACCUUGCUUGGUAGUGCCUCCUUGCUUCUCGAUGCCUUGAGAGCAAUGGGUUGAGGCUCGUGGAGUGGACCGUUCAACGCAUCGUCGACGUAUCUUGCUUCCUUGAUCAUCAUCCGCCCGCUCACGAAUUUUCCAAGUACUUCCUCGGGCGUCAUCAUCGUGUACCUGGGAUUCUCACGAAUAUUGUUCACGAGAUGAGGAUCAAGAAUGGUAAAGGACCUGAGUAGUAGGCGGACGACGUCGUGGUCCGUCCAACGCGUGCUUCCGUAGCUCCUUAUUUUGUUGAUAAGGGUCUUGAGCCGGUUGUAAGUUUGAGUUGGCUCCUCUCCCCUUAUCAUGGCGAAUCGUCCAAGCUCGCCCUCCACCAACUCCAUCUUGGUGAGCAUGGUGAUGUCGUUCCCCUCAUGAGAGAUCUUGAGGGUGUCCCAUAUCUGCUUGGCAUUGUCCAAGCCACUCACCUUAUUGUACUCUUCCCUGCACAAAGAUGCUAAGAGAACAGUAGUAGCUUGUGCAUUUCUAUGAAUUUGUUCAUUUAUAAGCAUAGGACUAUCCGAGCUAUCAAAUUUCAUUCCAUUCUCCACAAUCUCCCAUAUGCUUGGAUGGAGAGAGAAUAAGUGACUACGCAUUUUGUGACUCCAAAAUCCGUAGUCCUCCCCAUCAAAAUGUGGGGGUUUGCCAAGAGGAAUGGAAAGCAAAUGCGAAUUCGAACUAUGUUGAAUACGAGAAUAAUCAAAUGAAAAGUUCGAAUUGACCGUCUUUUUGUAGUCGUUGUCAUCAUCCUUUUGGGAAGAAGUAGAUUCAUCACUAUCGUCGUAGUAGAUGAUCUCCUUUAUGCGUCUUGUCUUCUUCUUCUUCCCUUCCUUCCGCCUUUGCCCCGAGCCGGAGUCGGUAGGCUUGUCGUCCUUCGGCUCGUUGACGAAGGAUUCCUUCUCUUUGUCGUUGAUCACGAUUCCCUUCCCCUUAGGAUCCAUUUCUUCGGGCGGUAAGUCCCUUUGUGAAGAGAGCGGCUCCGAUACCAAUUGAGAGCACCUAGAGGGGGGGUGAAUAGGUGAUCCUGUAAAAACUUAAAACUUAAAGCCACAAAACUUGAUUAGGCGUUAGCACAGUUUAUGCCAAGUGGCUAGAGAGAACUCAAAACACGAUAACCACAAGAAAGCAAUCACAGAGUUGACACGGUGGUUAUCCCGUGGUUCGGCCAAGUACAAAACUUGCCUACUCCACGUUGUGGCGUCCCAACGGACGAGAGUUGCACUCAACUCCUCUCAAGUGAUCCAAUGAUCAACUUGAAUACCACGGUGUUUUUCUUUCCUUUGAUCUUUUCCCGUUUGCGAGGAAUCUCCACAACUUGGAGUCUCUCGCCCUUACAAUUGAGUUCACAAAGAAAUACGGAGUAAGGUGGGAAUGAGCAACGCACACAAGACUCGAAAAUCAGAGCAACAACACGCACACAAGUCGCAACAAGAGCUCGCAAUGCAACACAAAGAGUUCACAACUCCACAAGAGCUCUAUAUGCUAUCACAAUGAAACGAAUGCGUGAGAUUGAUGUCUUGGUGCUUAGAAGAGUUGUAGGAAUGCUUGGUGUUCUCCUCCAUGCGCCUAGGGGUCCCUUUUAUAGCCCCAAGGCAGCUAGGAGCCGUUGAGAACAAAUCCAGAAGGCUAUCCUUGCCUUCUGUCGUCGGGCGCACCGGACAGUCCGGUGCACACCGGACACUGUCCGGUGCCCGAUUUCUUUCCUUAAUAGGCGCAGCCGACCGUUGCCGACCGUUGCAGAUCUGGCGCACCGGACAGUCCGGUGCACACCGGACAGUCCGGUGCUUCCUUCCGACCGUUGGCUCGGCCACGUGUCGCGCGCCGAUCGCGCGGCCGACCGUUGGCCCGGCCGACCGUUGGCUCACCGGACAGUCCGGUGCACACCGGACAGUCCGGUGAAUUUUAGCCGAAGUCGCCGGAGAAAAACCCGAGAGCGGCCUCUUCGGCCGAGGCAGCCUGGCGCACCGGACACUGUCCGGUGCACCACCGGACACUGUCCGGUGCACCACCGGACAGUCCGGUGCCCCAGACCGAAACAGCCCCUUGGCUGUACACAGCCAAGUCUUCUCUUCUCUUCUUCUUUCUGUUUCUAACACUUAGACAAGAUAUUAGUACACAAAACCAAUGUACUAAGGCUUAGAAACGUACCUUUACUUGUGAUUUGCACUUUGUUCAACCAUGGGCAUAUUCUCACUUUUAAGCACUUGUGUUUGCACUCAAUCACCAAAAUACUUAGAAAUGGCCCAAGGGCACAUUUCCCUUUCAGAGGACAACACUCGACAUGUCCCCCGCAGGGGUGCUGGUGUCGUCGACUCGCUCUGGUCCGACAGCCGACGAGGUACCGCCUCCUGCCUGGCCACGGUUGCCCCGUCUCCUCCUCCUCCGGCGAGGAGGGUGGCGGGGCAAACCCGGGUGUUCCUCUUCUGCCACGGGGGAAAGUCGUCGUCGAGUUCGCCGCCGCCGGGCGAGCCGACGACCGUCGUUGCUGUCGUGCUGCGAGGGGAGGAGUACCAUGUCGUAGCUGCCGUCGUGGGACAUGAACUCGAGACUCUCGAAGCGGAGCACCGCCCCCAGCUGAAGAGGCUGUUGAAGGCUACCCAUCUGGAACUCAACGGGAAAGUAUUCGUUAACACGCAGCGAGCCCCUACCUGGCGCGCCAACUGUCGGUGUUUUGGACCCGCGAGGACCCUCAACCAACUAGUGAAUUUGUUGCUGCGUGUCCCUGCCCAGAUGGGUUGAUGCAAGAUGGAACACAAGCGGGGGGAAUGAGGCUUAUAUUACCUUGCACCGGGGUGCUCGUAGUAGGGGUUACAAGCGUCGCGAGAGAGAGAGAGAGAGAGAGAGUUCGAUCUUGUGGUGAGGUGCCUGAGCUGACCUCCGCCGCGUCUCUCCUACUCUGCCUGCCUCCGCUCGUCCCCUUCUCCCUGCGUGCGUGUGUGUUUUCUGCGUCUCUCCGUUCGCCCCCCUCCUCUGUAGGAAGGCCCUGGACGUCCCCUUUGUAUAGAUACAAGGGGAUGGCCCAGCUGUACAAUGGGGUGUAGCUAUGUGCUAACGUGGCUGACGGAGGAGUGCCUUGAGCCCUGCACGUGUGCUAACGUGGCUGUCGGAGAAGUGCCUUGAGCCCUGUAGAAGCAUAGCUGGCGGUGCGGCAUGGAUCCUGCUGACGUUUCCUUGCUUCCGUAGGGGGUUGAGAGCAACUGACGUCAUGGGCGCACGCGGGGAACCAUCAUUACCUAUUACCGGAGUAACCUUAGAUGGGACACCGGUCUUGUUCCUUCAUAGCCUGAGGCAGCUAGCUAGGAGUAGGGUAAUGAUGUAUCCCCUGUAGCGUAGUCGGUCCGAGCCCGAGGUCGGGCGAGGCGGAGACUUCUCCUGAGGCCGAGGCCGAGGUCGGGCGAGGAUGUGACUCCUCCGAGGCCAAGGCUGAGGCCGAGGCCUGGGGUCGGGCGAGGCGGAGACCUUCUCCCGAGGCCGAGGCUGAGACCGAGGCCUGAGGUCGGGCGAGGCGGAGCUCCCUGUUGUGCCCGAGGCUGAACUCGUGGGAGAUCGUGACUCUGUUUUACCCUGGUGGUUGACACAGUAGUCGGAACGGGGUGAAUAGCGCUGUUUUCCUGUCAGAACGGUUAGUAAAGGGGCGAAGUGAUUGCGGUCACUUCGACCUGGCUGACUGAGGCGCGCGUGUCAGGAUAAGGUGUCAGGCGAUCCCCGCAUUAAAUGCGUAUGCGAUACGGUCGGUUGGUAAGGCGAUUUGGUCGAGGUCGCUGCACGACAAAGUCUGCCCGAGCUGGGCUUCGGGCGAGCCGAGGGUGCGCCCACUGCCUGAGGAGGCCCUCGGGCGAGGCGUGAAUUCGUCCAGGACUACUGUUCCCGCCCGAGGCUGGGCUCGGAUGACGUCGCGUCCCUCGGUAGACGUAGCCUUGACUUGAACCGCGCUUUAUCAGCCGUGUAUGGUUUGUUCUAAAGAUGUUUUCCAGCCGGAUUAAGGAGCAUUGGGGGUACCCUAAUUACGGUCCCCGACACAUAAUAUAUAUAGAUAUAUAUGGCAGAUCUAUUCAUCACAUAGGGUGAUGGAACGUUUGAACCACCCUGCGCGCCCACCCGCGCCCGCUCAGCCGACAGAUCAAGCCAUUGAUGGUUACUGAAUGAUUUUGUGUAGCCUAAAAUGACUUAAUAUUUUCUAGAAUGACUGAACCAAUGAUAUAAGAAAAUGUUUGAACAAACCUCCAAAAAUUACUGAAAACAAUAAUAACUUAAUAUUUUUUUACAAAAUGACUUAAUAUACGUUGUAAUGUCUGAAACAGAAGGGUAAAUGACGUAAUGCGCGUGCCAAUAGAGUCGACGCGUGAUGCAGAGGGAAUCACGGAUGGGGAGGAGCCGACAUGUAACUAGGGCGAAGCCGCGUGGAGGACGGAUCCCAGUAGGGACGUGGUCGGCCGGGCGGACGCGCGCCAGGGUGGUCCGGGUGAUGGACUAUGCCCCUAAGUGAUGAAUAAAGCAUACAUACAUAUCUUUGUUUUGGGAGCUAAAAUUAACGCCCGCGUUGGCACCAACCUAAAAGACGCGGAUCACGAAUGAACUGCAACUUGACGUGGACACGGUCGAUUUUACUGCAACUUGUCAUAUACCCUUUUGCGCGCGCACUAGUGACUAGUGACAUGACACAAAGUGCAGGUAUAGAUUCUUUCUUGGAUGCUCCACCCCUUUCCGGUUUCCGAACGGAGGGAUAUCCUUGUUUUUGCCUGAUUGAGAUUUCCGUCUCGUCCAAAAAACAACACGCCCAUUGAAUCCUUUCCACGGAAAAAUAAGGCUCGCUCGCACUUUGCACUAAAGAUGACAAUUUAACCCGUAAAUUCGAGAACUAACGGAUACUCGACCUGACGGAUACGAAUAUGGGUGAAGAUUUUGACCAACAAAUGCACUCGUAUCGAUCCGAAGUUCCGCGGAUGUGAGUGCAGGUUUUCAUUUCAACCCGCGAGUGACCCGCAUCCGAUCCAAAAUUUAGUUUAUUCUUUAUUUUACGUAAAAUUGAUUAAGAUAUAAUAAUAAUUAUUUUGAAUAAGUAAAUGUUUUGUUGCUUAUCAAUGUGGGACGACUUAAAUCCACCAAUAUAACUUAAUUAUUACUUGUAUUUAAUUACUUAUCGUUGAAUUAUUGUUUAAAAGUGUAAACUAAUUAAAGACCUACGUAUGACCCGGAACCCGAUGUGUUCGAGUGUGGGUUUGGAAUUGCGUGGAUUUAGGUAGAUUUCACUGGUACGAUCGUGAACGGGUUUUUUGCUUCACCGGCUGAAUCAGACCCAUUGCCAAUCCUAGUUUGCACGCUGUUGGUUAGAGUCGGUCUCGACAUGAGACCAGCCCAGGUAAUUAAAUUCCUUUUCAAUUUCCGUUUGCAUGCUAUAUGUGGAAGUUAGAUGCCCAAACAUGUGCCAGGUUCGAAGCCGUAUGUUUCGAUAAGAACCCAAGCAGACGCCGGAGUCAAAACGCACAUGUUUAUCCUACAAACAAUUGACUUUUCAUGGGCCCUGGCGGCUCGGCUGGCACUAGAGCCUAUCCAAUCCUAGCUGUUCACCCGCCAAAGCACAGCAACAAACUACUCGUACAUGGACAGUUCAAUACCAACACUGCUUCUUCGCAUCCAGAUACACUUCAUGCUGCCAUGGCAGAGCUAAAGAAUCUGUUCAGACAACAUGUAACUACCAGUAACAUGCAUGAUAAUGAUACGAUAAGCACCGGAAAAAGUCCCCGUAGAUAGAGAUUAGAGAAGCGUGUUAGCAUCCGGGACUGAUUUGACCAUAAACAUGGCUUGGUCAUGACCCAUGAGUGGCCGACAUUAACAGAGGUCAGAAUCGACUUUCCGUUGUCCAAAAACCCAGCAUCUGGGGCCGUUUGGGAUCAUCUUGUGACCCAGUCUGACGGACCUCGAAAGUAGUACUCCAGAACCAGAAGAGAGCAAGGCGAAUUGUCUGAAGGUAAUGUCAUUUUCAGUGCAGCCAAUCAGACACUGCUCUGCCCGCAUCCCCAUGGACACCAGCUGGUGGGGUUCAAGCGGAAAGCCAUAUAAAUCAUAACGAACUUAUCCUCUCUUAUUCCUAUCCUCUCAAGAGGCCAGGGCAACCUCAUCCCUAACAUUUCCAUCUUUCAGCAAAAAAAAAAAAAAAGGAUCUGCCAAUAAGCAUGAACUGAUAUCUCGCAAUCACUCGCUUUUCCAUCAAAAUGUCGCACUAACUCAGUUUAACCCUUUUCUAUUAUAGGCAAAGCCAGACUUCGUUCUCACCACCCGAGAACGACCCGUACAGCACUAAGAUGAGUUCUGGAUGCCAAACCCAUGCCCAGAAUAUUGCUAAAACCAUGUUCUAUUUACCUUGCCUGUGACGGGGAGUGAGAUCAGCUCACGGCAUAGCAGCCUUCAUACUCCUGGCGUACUCCUCGAGCCUUUCCAGACCCUCUUCAGGAGUAGCAGCCUCACACAACUGCCUCACAAUCGCACUGCCAACAAUCACACCGUCCGCUCCCCAGCCCACGAUCUGCUUACCAAUCAAGGUAUCAAAAGGGUGUAACACGGAUACCAUUAGACAGACCUCAUGCAUAACAAGAAAGUUAGGAGAAAGCCUGGUCCACCUGUUUCACAUGCUCUGGAGUCGAUACACCGAAACCAACAGCUACCGGUUUGUCUGUAACCUGUAAAGCCAGGAAGAUAACCAUUUGUAUGCCACUGGCCCCACAUGUCAUAGACACCAAAAAAUAUACCUAUAUGUCACUCAGUGGCACACAAGGGAUGAGUAUAAAAUCUGAUGGCAUACCAGGAAUUUUCUCAUAACCAUUCUUGAACGCAAAUUUCUCUAGCCAUGCUGGUGCAUUAAAACUCGUUCACUCUUUACUGACGACAAACAGGUUAUAGUUUACUAACCUUCUUGAUCUCCCUAAGAAGGUGUUCUACACGUAAGUUUACAUUUGAGCGUGCACCUGUAACCCCUACAGCGCUCACCUGCAUAACGCACAGGUUAGUAAUGCCACUAAACCUUAAAUAUAUAUAUUCAAGAUCUUAAGUCUAAAAAUGAUGGUGAAACAGAAAGGCUAGGCGUUUCUUCCAGGUGGCAUAAUUUUUUACUUAAAAAUCUAAAUAAUUUCCUUUAUUUUUUUUCUAGAAAAUAGAUGUCAAGCAAGAGACAAAAAAAUCGCUAUAACAUUUCAUUAAUGUAGAGGCAUGAUAUUAAUGCUUAUCUGGUAUGUGCUAUUUCAGGAUGAGAAAAAACUAUUAACUAGUGCAGACAUCGAAGAGACCCCAGAAUAUAUAAACUAUGCCUGGAGCUUUCAACUAGAAAAAUAAUUGGGAUCUUCUGGAUACUCACAAGAUAGAGAAAUCCUUCUGAAGCUUGUGCAAUUCCCUUCAUCCGAUCUGUUGGCGUGGUUGGCGUUGUAAGCAGCACCUGCAAGCAAUCAUGCAAAAAAAAAUGGUAUAUGGCUGAUACUCAAGAUUUUUUUCGAUAAAGGAAGCUUUUAUAAAAAUACCAAGUACAUUACACUCAAGAUAUCUAUUCUGUUGAUUGGUCCACCAUGAUUAAUAAGCAAAGCUAUUCGGUGUGGUACCAAACCAGGUUACAAGAAAUAAAAAAAAGGCCUUGAUGUAACCUAUCCUGAAUUUAGUGGACUGGACAAACCCUGUUGACAUGUGUGAGCCCAAGUAGCUAGACCCGCUUCUAGGGCUGGGUUGCUGCAAAGGCCCAGAAGAUCUUUUGCAACUGUGUAUAUUUGCAGGUCUGGAAUGGGCAGAGCCCAAUCUGAAGAUUUGAUAGGUCCCAUCUCGAGUAAGAAUUUAGUUAGCACCCAGAUAGCAACACAAGUACGCAACAAACUUUGUGCAAGUGGUGCAUGCAAAGAUGAGAGUGGGUAUGAACCAGCUCUAUGUUGUGCAUAAUGGCCUCGCUCCUCAGCAACGCUGUCUCCUCCAAGGGAAGAUCAGGCACUACAAGUCCUGCGACAUAUAAAAAGUGUAACACAAAGAUCUUAUUGACGGAACAACAAAAUGACAGAAACUAAGCGUGAAUCAUAUUUGAUAAAUGGAAGAUGCAAGAACAACAAGACACCACUUACGCCCCGUUUCGAUCCUUGGAAUUGAAUUCCAUUCUAAUAAGGUCCCGUUUGUUUCGUUGGAAUUGAAUUCCAUUUUAAUAAUUAUAAUUUAGACAAAACUAAUUAAGUUCAUAUAUUUAUAUAUAAAAUAUAUUUGUAUAUUAUCCUAAAUCAUAUGAGAGAGAUAGUUAUAUAUUACAUUUAUGUUAUAGCGAAGCAAGUAGAAGUGUGCUAUAAGUUGUACAUCGGAAAAAUAGCAUGUAAAUCUAUAGAAUCAAUUUUCAUCUCUCACCCCAUGAAUUUGAGAUAUGCUUAUAUGAUAACUUUGGAAAGUGGUGGAAUGUCACAUUCUAAAAAAAUAGACUAUUCUAUUAGUAAGAUUCCAAUUCCUCAAAAUGAAAGGAAACAAACAGGACCUAAUAGUAAUUUAGGCAAAGAUCAAUUAAGCUAAUAUGGUUUUAUACGAAAUAUAUAUUUGUAUACUAUUAUUAGCAACAUGUGGAAGAUAUUUAUGUGCUACAUUUUAAAUAUAGAGGAGUGAGCUGAAGAGAAUCUUAUAAGUUGAAGAGUAGAAACAUAUUUCAUUGGUACAUAAAAUUAUUUAUCAUACAUGAAUUUGAGAUAGAUUUAUAUAUGAGCUUUGGAGAGGUAUGGAAUGUCAAAUUUCAAGCUAAAUAGACUACUUUAUUAAGUAAAUUCCAAUUUCUCCAAAAUGAAUAGAUCCAAAUGGCCCCUUAUAGUAAUAGACAAUAUGAAACAACCAAAAUGGGAGUUUACCAUGUAUGCCAGCUUGUUUGAUAAAAGACAUGAAGUUUCCCACACCACGUUUCAGAAUUGGAUUAUAGUAUGUGAAAAGAACAAUGGGGCAAGAAAGCUCAGGUGUAACCCCCUUCAGCAUUUCUAUGACAGAAUCGAGUGUAGUGCCUUUCUUAAGCGCCCGUGUUGCAGAAGCCUGAAAUGAUGUCAAUCUAAAAAUGUAAAAUCUGUAUCAGACAACAUACUAUGUUGCAGCUGCUGAGAGAAAAGGCCAUCACGACUUACCUGAAUAACUGGUCCAUCAGCCAGUGGAUCCGAGUAUGGUACGCCAACCUCUAUAACAUCCGAACCGCAGGAAUUGAGAAUCUUCAAUGCUUUUGAUGUGGUUGCCAGGUCAGGAUCACCAGCAGUGAUGAACGGGAUGAAUGCACUCUGAAAAUUUCCCAGGUUAGACUGUCAGCUUAAAUUAAGGUCCUGUCUGGGACAGAUCCAGCGCCAGAAAAUUUAGGGGGUGUUUGGUUACAGGGCUAAUUUUUAGUCUAAUUUUAGUCUCUUCGUUUUAGUCUCUAAUUUGCCAUAAGGAGAGACUAAAUCAGUUUAAUCCCUAGUCCCUAAGCGGUGGCUAAAAGGGACUAAACCAGAUUUUUUUCCUUCUCUUAUAGAAUUUGUUUAGUCCCUAGAAUCAAACAAGUAGGGACUAAAAGUUUAGUCCUAUAACUAAACUUUAGUCCUAGGACUGAUUAGAACUAAACGGGGCCUUAGUGAAAUUGAUAGAGCAGAUCAUUAGGUGCUCUAUAAAAUCGUAUAGUUUUGAAGUUGUGGACCCUUGUAAGGCAUUUAGAUAAGUCAUUUUAUUUAUUAUUUAGAUUUAAAUUAUUUUUAAAACUAUUAAAAUUUCUAUUAUAAACUACACCUUUAGAUUAAAGCUGGAACCAUGAGCAGUACCAUACACCCCCUAAAUCUGGGAAUUAAAUUCCAUUAACCCUGGGUCCAAAUCCCCAUCCAUGCGCCCAUGGCUGGGAUACUACUGUGUGGCAUCUAAACAAAAUAAGACAUUACAAGAUGCGGCUCCUCUCCACAACAUAAGUGUAUUGAUGUCGGCAUCUGUGCGGCUCCUUGGUUUGUGGCUCCACCCUCCCUCUCUGACAAGUGAUUUUCCCGUGUAACACUUUUAAGCAAUCAGGGUUGAACAAGGGCGACCGGUUGGACCCACGGUCCACUGGAGUAUUUUCUAAAUCCUUACACCAAAAGACUAUUUGCCAAAUAAGGCUAUCUACAACAGUUUACCCAUGCUCACACCUAUAUUCAAACUCCACUCUGUGCUACAUUGCAAAACAAUGUUUUAGUUAACCAUAUGAAUGAACUGAUCUGCACCAAACUCUUUCAAUUGCAAAUUGUAAGUCGUUUUUGCUUUAUUAGGUACAUAGUUUUUGCUAUAUAUCUAGACAUACCAUAUAUCAAAGUGCAUAACAAAAGCUAAUAAGGUAUGCAUCUAGAAAAGACAAAAUAACACAGAAUUUGAAAUGGAGUACAACGCAAGAUCCCUGCAACUAAAGAUUGGUCUCUGCUUAGCAUGUUAUCGCUACUCUGGAUACAAAUUUCUUAAUGCAGUUACCUUUGUUGAGAAUGAACACUGUGGAACCUAAAAAUGCUACGGACAAAGAUGGAUCAAUGUGCACAUCAAGCCAGCAGCCACUAUUGUGCAAGAUCAGGCUAGAUUUUUACGGAAAUUAAACCAGCACGAUGUGUACUCGACAUAAAACCACUAGAAUUGGACAAUUCAUGCAAGGAAUACACAGAUUGUUCCAAAGCCCUAAUCCAUUUCCUUGCAACUAAAUGGGACCAAAAUUAGGUAUUCCCUGCAACCAACCGGGACCAACAUUGGGUAUCGGCCACCACGACGCCAGCAAUCCAACCCUGCGACUCAAUCAGGAACAGCAAGAGAAAUGUGGGUGCUCGGGUGAAUUGGCCCCCAAGGGUUGCGACGAAGCGAAGCACGAACGUGAAGCCUCAAACGCACGCACCUUGCCUUGCUCCCUGAGGUUGGAGAAUGUCUCGGCGACGGUGAGCUUGCCGGCCGCAGCGCCGCGGUUGGCCAUGGGCGCGGAUGUGUCCACCACUCCACCCGACAGAGGGCCACCUCCGAGCGCUGCCUUUAUGGGGUCAGGAGUAGCCGGCGAGGAGGAGGUCUCGGCGGCGGCGGGUGGUGAACCGAGGGGCGAACACGGAGAUAGAGGGGAGCAGCCUUGAUUGCGACCCGCUUGCGACUUUGCGAGUGUCGCGUUCGCGUGUGUGACUGGUACUGGAGGUCUAUCUGUGGCGACUGUGGGCAGUAACUGAGGCUCAAACCUGACAAAAUUUAAAUUCAAGAAUUACAUUCCAUAUGCACGUGUGUUGAUUUUUUUUUGGUACUCCCUAAGAUUGUCGUUUGAUUUUUUUGACAACAAAUUUAAUCUGCUCAUCUUAUUCAAAAUAGUUAUGAAAAUAUAGAAAAAAAUCAGUUCAUAAUUAAAGUAAAUUAUAUAAUAAACUAAAUUAGAAUGAAAAUAAAUGAUAAUUAUGAUUUUUUUUAAUAAAACGGAUCGGUCAAAUUUGAUAUAAAAAAGACAAACGACAUUCUUUAUGUGAUAGAGGGAGUACGUUUGAGCAUCUAUUGUGCUAGUCCACUGAUAGUGGGAGCACUUAUGUUUAUGCUAGUUGAGAACCCUAUUGUGUGGCUACAUCAUGACUCUCGCCAUAUUUAUUAUUUAUAUUUAUAAAAAAGUAACUAGCCCAAGGACAAUAAUUUUGAUUUUUUUAGGGUUCGAGAGAGGUCACUAACAUUAGUCCUAACUAGUGGUUAUUUGCUUAUUAUUUUAGUUAGGAAUUGGUUUAGUGAAGGAUCCACUAAAAACCGUUACAAACCUACAGUUAGAGCGCAUUGGAUCUGGUGUUAGAAAGUUUGCUGGGUACAUCUAGUGAGUUCUUGUAAUGUGCUUUCUUGCAGUUGCAGCCAAUAGUACAUAGCUAGGGUCUAGUGGUUGAAUUGAUAUGUCUAGUACAAGGGACACCUACACGGUUAUCCGUACAAUGACACACUGGUUCAGUACGCUAAAGACGAACUCCUUUGUUGCAUGGAACUGCCUCGUUCAGUCGCUAUGCCUUUGUGUAGGCGUGCUCCAAUAAGAACUAGUAGCGGUUAUCGACUCUCUGGCACCUCAAAAAACAUCAUUGAGCUCCUAACCCUCUCUUUACAUUAUGCAUUUAUCUUUGGCAAUUACUUUUUUAUAUUUACCUGGCGUGCAAAACUUUUACACGUAAGAUAGAAAAUACUAUUAGGCAUAAGAUGUGAAAUGGAGAAAUUUUUAUAUUAGUCUAUCUCUUGACUAUCUUGAUCCUUUCACACAGCAUGUGACUAUAUAUAAAAGGGACGGUUUGUUUUUGUGCUGGCUCAUGAAAGACCAUUUAGUAUGGUCAGCGGUACCAACCGGGACUAAAUUGUGGGGGACAGAUAUCUCCCGGGUCUACUGGAAGGGUAAAAGACCUCACGAAAGGCCCAAGGGCCCAAUAAAUCGUAAGGUCAUUCCUUCAUGGGCCUAGGGAGGGACAAUCAGUAAAGCAGAUCGACGUAAGGUCGGAUCGGUACAAGACCGGACGGCCCCGCAGCGUUGAGCAAGAAACCACAACAGAAGAUCUGACUUUCCCGCGCUGGAGCCCCAUGCAGCGGAACCAGGCGAGGAUAGGUUGGCAGAAUCAUAGGAAGAUAGACUCAAACAGUUCACUAUCUUUUAGGCGCACGUUGUUAUCAUAUCCACAUGUAUUGCCCCACAGUCGAAUAUAUAAGGCCCGGGGAGCACCCCUUCAGAUUGAUCGAUCUCACUACUCAGCCAUCCACCUCAACUCUCUACGUUCUCGCUUUAGAGAACUACCUUGUAACCCAUUACACAAAGCAUCCUCACCAGGACGUAGGGUGUUACGCAUCUCUAAGCGACCCGAACCUGUAAACACUGUCCAUUGUCCCUCGUGCGUCUGGCACGAACCAUUUUGCUACAGUCGGCGACACCGACCUACUCCUAAAAACACCUCGAGGGGCAACCCCGAGUGUGCGGUCGGACUCAAAACACCGACAGCUGGCGCACCAGGUAGGGGGUGUGUCGACGAUCUAAGCUAGCUCAAUGGCCGUCACCUUCCACAGCAAGAUCACCCUCCGUCCCGGAUCCAUGUUCUGCUUUGUAACGAUCUCAUCCAUAACAGACGAAAAGGGAACUCUACACCGCAUUGCAGAUCCGCCAAAAAAGAAGUCUCCCCCAACAAACUCCGAAAGUACCGGAGAAGCGCAAUCUCCAGUUCUCCGAAAGAGGAUCGCCACGACAGCCGCACCAUUCUAUCCCGACGUCCUUUUCAUCGGGAGAGUGGAGUCGCCUCCCGUCUCCGACGACGAGCCGACUGCGCCUGGGGAAGAACCACCUCAGCGGGAGUCCCGCCGACGAAGAAAUCGGCGCCGAAACAUCCGGCGACAUCACAAGGCCGAAGAACGGGAUCCGGAACAACCUGUCUCGCGAGACGAGGUCUCGGAGAUGGGAGAAACCCUAGAGGAACGCGUCUUCAGAGAACGAAGGAACUCCCGACGGCGUGAUCGCUGACGAGCUCAGGAACAAGCCGAGCAAGACGCAAGACAGCGCCGAGAAAAUCCACUCUUCGGUCGCAACCUGAACCCCGACUUCGCCCGAGCCAUGAACACGCCGAGUGAAGUCGGAGGAGUACUAGCUCGGAUAGCUGAUGGACUCCCUCGGACUCUCGACGCCGAGGGCUAUCGACGCCUGUUCACCCAGGCAGCCAAUCAUCUUCUACCCCUCGCUCACCCGCCGAACGAUCUGCGACACGCCAUCAACAGUCGCCGGGACACGCGAAGCUCCAUCAACGCUUCGCGUGAACGACGGCAUGAGAACGAGAUCCGCCGCCGGGAGGAGUAUGACAGGGAUCAUGGCAUCCCAACUCGGAGUCAAGCCACCAGAACCGAGUCGGCAACGGCCUCGACUGGCGGAACUACUCGGGGACGGUCGAGGAACCACGACAACUACUCCCCUCCCCGGGACAGACAUCAUCCCCGACGACAGGAGGACACAUGUGGAGUGUCCGCCCUUACUCCACGUCUUAGGGCCAUUCAGUGGCCCCCCAACUUCAAGGUAUCCAAUGUCGACAAGUAUGAACCUAAGCAGGACCCAGGAGGCUGGCUGGCCGUCUACACCACCGCCGCUCGAGCCGCCGGAGCAUCCGAAGACGUGAUGACUGCGUACUUACCCAUUGUCCUCGGGCAAGACGCACUACAAUGGCUGUGACAUCUACCUCGACACUGCAUCGACGACUAGAGCGACUUCAGUCGACGCUUCACCGCCAAUUUUCAGUCCCUCUCCGACAAACCGGCGCAACCAUGGGACCUCAAAUCCAUCAAGCGCCGGGGGGACGAAACUCUCCGGUCGUACCUCAAAAGGUUCCAGACCAUGAGAAAUCGUAUCCCCGAGGUCGCGGAGGCAGCCGUGAUCGAGGACUUCUACAGAGGAUCCAAUGACUCGGCCUUCAUCCGAGCCAUAUUGCAGAAGGCGCCAACUACCUCCGAGGAGCUGUUCCGGGAAGCCGACCUCUACAUCACCGCCGACGAGCGAGCUCAGGACCUCAUCGGGGGAGCGAAGCCCGCACCGGCAGCACCACGACGCGACGCGAACCAGCAACCUGACAAACGCUAGGAGAAGAGACCUCGUGAAGAAGUGCACGCCGCCGGACCACCUACCUCUCGCGCCCGGGGAGGACCUCGCGGAGGCGAGCGCACGCUGGACGACAUCCUCGACGCCCAGUGCCCGUACCACAAGGACAUGCGCCACACUCUUCGGAACUGCCGAGACUUCAAGCACUCCGUCGGGCACGACCGACCCUUCCAACCUCUACCUCCUCCUCCGCCGCGGGGAGGACCAGAAGAACCACGACAACCCCAGCAACAGGAGGAGGGAGGAGGAGGAGCUUUCCCGCGCGUUGACAGGGAGGUCAACGUCAUCUUCGGCGGACACGGAUCGCAGGAGAACAGAAGACAACAAAAGCUCAACGAUCGCCAGAUAUUGGUGGCGACCACCGGUCCUCCCGCCCAUACCGGUGGUCGGAGCACCCGAUCACCUUCACUCGGGCGGAUCAAUGGCUCAACUUCGACCACCCAGGCAAAUACCCGCUCCUCGUCGAUCCGGUGAUCCGAGAUAGCAGGGUGAAGAAGGUGUUAGUGGACGGGGGGAGCAGCAUCAACGUCACCUUCCCCCGGACACUCCAAGGCUUGGGAGUUCACCUCAAAGAGCUCCGCGAGUCGGACAUGCCUUUUUUCGGCAUCGUGCCGACUGAAGGGGAAUACCCGCUGGGCCACAUCUACAUGCACGUCACCUUCGGAACUCCGGAGAACUACAGAACCGAGUUCCUGAGGUUUGAGGUGGCAAACUUUGACUGCGGGUACAACGCCAUCAUUGGAAGGCCGGGAUUGGCAAAGUUCAUGGCCAUCCCGCAUUACACGUACAUGAUAUUGAAGAUGCCAGGACCAUAAGGAAUCAUAACUGUGUGCGCUGACCUCCAAGGCGCCGCGGAAUGUUUCCGAAUAGCCAUCCAAGCGGCCCUCACCAUCAAACCGUCGGCGACUUCUACAGCGCAGGCGAACUCUAAGCCUGAGGAAGACCUUAUGGCACCGGCGAACGAAGCUCAAGCCGCGACCUCUAUGCGGCCGACUGAAGAAACUAAAAGGAUCAAUCUGGGGUUCGCUGAUGAACGCAAGACUGCCAUCAUCAGCUCCAGCCUGGAUGAUAAAUAGGAAGGCGCGCUCGUCCGGUUCCUGCAAGAUAACCGAGACAUAUUCGCAUGGCAACCUGCGGAUAUGCCGGGAGUCCCGAUAGAACUGGCCGAGCACAAACUGAAGGUCUACCCCCAUGAAGGCUGAUCUGGUAAAAACUACGUCGUUUCACGCCCGACAAGAGAGAGGCCAUUCGCGCUGAGCUGGCCCGCUUGGUCGCGGCUGGGUUUAUCAGAGAAGUGUUACAUCCCGAGUGGUUAGCCAACCCUGUUCUUGUACUCAAAAAGAAUAAAGUGGAUUGGCGCAUGUGCGUCGACUAUACUGAUCUCAACAAACAUUGUCCAAAGGAUCCCUUCGGGCUCCCAAGGAUAGAUCAGGUGGUAGACUCCACCGCUGGAUGUUCUGUGUUGUCUUUCCUGGAUUGCUAUUCCGGAUACCAUCAGAUCAGCUUGGCGAAGGAAGACGACGAAAAAAACAGCAUUCAUCACUCCAUUUGGUGCUUUAUGUUAUACCUCCAUGCUGUUUGGCCUAAAAAACGCUAGAGCGACUUAUCAGAGAGCCAUUCAAACAUGCUUAGCCGAUCACUGGGGCAAGCGUGUGGAAGCCUACGUGGAUGACGUGGUAAUCAAAACAGAGAACUCGGAAAACUUCAUCGAAGACUUACAGCUCGUUUUCAACAGUCUACGGCGAUAUCGAUGGAAGCUUAAUCCCGAAAAAUGUGUCUUUGGGGUACCGGCAGGGAAGCUACUCGGAUUUAUUGUCAGCCACCGAGGAAUUGAAGCUAAUCCGGAAAAGAUUGAAGCUAUCAUGAAAAUGGAAGCUCCACGAUCACAAAAGAAGGUUCAGCGACUUACCGGAUGUAUGGCAGCCCUAAGUAGAUUUAUAUCCAGGCUAGGAGAAAAAGGGUUACCAUUUUACAAGCUACUCAAGAAGGUGGACAAGUUUCAGUGGACUUCAGAAGCGCAGGAAGCCCUAGACGCACUGAAGAAAUUCUUGACAACCCCACCAGUACUGAAACCACCACGGCGAGCCACAUCGACUCAACCGGCUGAAGAUCUGCUGCUGUAUAUCUCUUGCACGACUCACGUGGUAAGCACCGCGUUGGUAGUCGAGCAAGCAGAAGAAGGACAUGCCUACCCAGUGCAACAUCCUGUUUAUUUCAUCACUGAAGUUCUGGGUCCCUCGAAGAAAAAGUAUCCUCAAGUUCAGAAGCUAUUAUAUGUUGUACUUCUAAUUGCCCGCAAGUUACGUCACUACUUCGACGACCACAAAGUCAUAGUAGUCACUGGUUUUCCGAUAGGGGAUAUUCUUCACAACAAGGAAGCCAUUGGCCAAAUAGCCAAGUGGGCCUGUGAACUGGGAUCUCAUGACAUCGAAUUUCGACCUCGCACUGCCAUCAAAACUCAAGCAUUGGUUGACUUUGUAUCAGAGUGGACUGAACAGCAAGUACCAGAUAACCCAGAGACUACAGAAGUGUGGCGAAUGUAUUUUGAUGGCUCGCUGAAACUACAGGGAGCAGGCGCGAGAAUUCUCUUCAUCGCACCUGAAGGCGAACACCUCAAAUAUGCCCUCCAGUUGUUAUUUCCAGCCUCCAACAAUGCAGCCGAGUAUGAAGCUCUGAUCCAUGGACUAAACAUCGUCAUAUCAUUAGGCAUCAAGAGACUAAUGGUAUACAGAGAUUCUCUGGUGGUCAUAAGACAGAUAAACAAAGAAUGGGACUGUUCGAAUGAUUCAAUGGGAAAAUACUGCACUGCCGUCCGGAAACUAGAAGAUAAAUUUGAAGGCCUAGAAUUUCAUCAUGUAGAAAGGGAUCGAAACACCGCAGCUGACGUAUUGUCCAAGCUAGGAUCCGGUCGAACUCAGGUCCCACCCGGAGUCUUUGUACAAGAAAUACUACAGCCGAGCAUCUCAAUGGAUCAAGCAGAAGAAUGUAAUAUCGUGGAUCAACCCGAGUCAGACUCUGAUGACUGGAGAAGGCCGAUCAUCAGAUAUAUAAAGAAUGAAGAGGAACCAGAUGACAAAAAUGUAGCUGAGCGCAUCGCCAGACAGUCAGCCCACUACACACUCAUUGGGGAAACAUUAUACAGAAGGGGUGUAUCAGGCGUCCUCAUGAAUUGCAUUCUCUCAUCUACUGGGAAGCGACUUCUGGAUGAGGUCCAUGCUGGGCAAUGCGGAAUACACGCAGCAUCCAAGACACUAGUCGGGAAGGUCUUCAGGUUAGGAUUCUAUUGGCCAACAGCGAAAAGCGAUGCAGCCGAGUUAGUUCAGAGGUGCGAAGCUUGCCAGUACUUGUCAAAGCAACAACAUCUGCCAGCACAGCAAUUGCAGACCAUACCAGUAACUUGGCCCUUCGCAUGCUGGGGACUGGAUAUGAUUGGACCUUUCAAGAAAGCUCAAGGAGGAUACACUCAUGUACUGAUAGCAAUCGACAAAUUCACUAAAUGGAUAGAGUUCAAACCCAUUGCUUCUUUAACCUCGGCUAAGGCCGUGGAAUUCAUACAAGACAUAAUAUUCAGAUUCGGAAUACCAAACAAUAUCAUAACUGACUUAGGAUCCAACUUCACAAGCUCAGAAUUCUUCGAUUUCUGCGAGCAAAAGAGCAUUCAGAUCAAGUAUGCUUCGGUAGCACACCCGAGGGCCAACGGGCAGGUUGAGCGAGCUAACGGGUGAUACUGGAGGCACUCAGGAAAAAGGUCUUCGAAAAGAAUGAAAAGUUCACAGGAAAGUGGAUAAGGGAAUUGCCCUACGUCGUUUGGAGCCUAAGAACCUAACCUAGCCGAGUUCUACAUGGAAACACUCCUUUCUUCAUGGUCUAUGGGUCAGAGGCAGUAUUACCCGCCGAUCUCAAGUUCGGGGCGCCAAGGUUGGUCUUCGAAAGCAUAGCAGAAGCCGAAGCUACUAGGCUGGAGGACAUUGAUGUACUCGAAGAAGAACGGCUGAAUGCGGUAAUUCAAUCAGCACGAUACCAGCAGACUCUGAGACGCUAUCACGUCAAGGCCGUGCGACAACGAUCCUUCUCAGUGGGAGAUCUCGUCCUCCGCCGAAUUCUAAUGGGGGAGGGACGGCACAAGUUGUCACCCUUAUGGGAAGGACCAUUCAUAGUAGCAGAAGUCACUCGGCCGGGGUCAUAUCGUCUCAUUCAGAUGGACGGCACAGGAAUCGGGAACUCUUGGAAUAUAGAACACCUCAGAAAGUUUUACCCUUAGCUGAAUUUCAAAAGCUGCUGGGACGACAAUGUACUCUGUAAAAUGGGAAAUAUGUCAUCAAUAAAAAAGGCUUCAAGAGUACUCAAUUUGCUCAUGACGGACGUGCAUUCUUACUUAAUUCAGGGUGGCCACUAUGCCCUGCUAACGGAGCAAUCGGCUUAAGUCGGCAACGACUUAAGACGGUGCAACAUGCUCGCGCUUACUUAACUCGGGGUGACCACUAUGCCCUGCUAACGGAGCAAUCGGCUUAAGUCAGCAAUGACUUAAGACGGUGCAACAUGCUCGCGCUUACUUAACUCGGGGUGACCACUAUGCCCUACUAACGGAGCAAUCGGCUUAAGUCGGCAACGACUUAGGGCGGUGCAACAUGCUCACGCUUACCUAACUCAGGGUGACCACUAUACCCUACUAACGGAUCAAUCAGCUUAAGUCGGCAACGACUUAGGGCGGUGCAACAUGCUCACGCUUACCUAACUCAGGGUGACCACUAUGCCCUGCUAACGGAGCAAUCGGCUUAAGUCGGCAACAACUUAAGACGGUGCAACAUGCUCGCGCUUACUUAACUCGGGGUGACCACUAUGCCCUACUAACGGAGCAAUCAGCUUAAGUCGGCAACGACUUAAGGCGGUGCAACAUGCUCACGCUUACGUAACUCGGGGUGACCACUAUGCCCUAUUAACAGAAGCAAUCGACUUAAGUCAGCAGCGACUUAAGGCGAUCUGACGUGCUUACGACUACUCAUAUAGGGAUGACUUCUAUAUCCCGUAAACAAGUUUCAAAACCAUCACACAGCCUUUUACUACUGCAAAUUUACGUACUGUUGAAUUCUGAAACAAUAGGAGAAUAACAAUAUCAUUCAAGGGCUAAACUGGUGUCCUCUAACAAAUGUCUAACCAUGCUAACCGCGCGCUCAAAGCACGCAAAAUAUUUCUCUAUUUCGCGAUAUCUUUCUCAGAAGCAACCGACGAGGAAGGGCGACUUGAGGAAUCAGGAGCAGCAUUCACGUCAGCCCUUAUAUCUUCAGGAACAACCACACCGGGUCUCCUCAUCAAGAUUCGUCUCGCCCGAAUGGCCUUAUCCAUGGCUCUGUCGCGCUGGGCUCUCAGAGUAAUGGAAGUUUCUUCAGCAACCUUGGCAGCUAAUUGAGCGGUUUCUAGCUCCUGAGCGAUGGAUUUCUUGGAAGCACGAAGUUCUUUGAUAGUAGCAUCCUUAGCCGAUAUCAAUUGCCUGAGACGGAUCACAUCAUCUGAGGAUUUCUGCAGCCUACAACGAAGAUUAUCUAACUCCUCCAUGGAGAAGCGAUGACUCCUCUCCAGGAUGGUCAACGAGUUGCUAGAGUCGCGAUACAGUCUGUCAAGAUUGUCGCGAGACGUAGCAAGAACACGUUUUUCUUCCUGCAAACAAGAAUCAACUCCUUCAAACAUCAAACAAGCAAUAGGAACACAGCAAUGCAAGGCACAGUUUCAUAAGUCACCUUUUCAUAAUCAAGUUGAGCGCGAAGGGAAGAGCUCAGUGCAUUGGCGUCAUCUAGGGCAGCAGAGACCUGGGCUAGUUCAGUCUGGCUUUGAGAAUACUUUUCUUCAAAAUCAGAGCACCGCUGGACCAGUUCAGCCUGAUCUCGAGAAUGUUUUUCUUCAAGAGUGGAAAUUUGCCGAGUCAUAUCUAGCAGGAGACAAUCAAACGAAAAGGGUCAGAAUGUAAGGCAGUUCAAUAAUGAAGACAAAGAGAAGCAAAAAAACACUAACCAGCAUUGGUCGCCUCCAAGUCAGAGACGCGAUGUUGAAGUAACAUCGGAUUCCAAUGUGCAAGAGACAAAGCUCCUUCUGGAACAGAAGCACCCUGCAACCUCAGCUGGCUAGCCAUCCCGUCCACCAAAGCCUGAUAAGGAGAACAGAUGAGUGUAAUGACAGCAGUUCAUACGGUGCAAAAGUCAGGACAGAAUAUAUCACAGUACCUGGAGAUUGGAGAAGAACGAAGGGACUCCCAAAUCGUGAGAAAUCGAUUGAUGACCGGGCGUAAGGUCGCCACCCGAAGCAGCUUGCAACAAACCAGCAGGAACCAACUCAGUGCCAUCAACAGAGCUCAAAACUUGGCCAGCGGGGACGCUGCCCUCUAAAGCGACUCCCUGGUCCAAAGCUUGGGCUACCACCAUGCAGCCGGAGUGCGGAGGCGAUCCCGCAUGAACGUCCAUGGAAGUACAAGAGGGAGACCCCACUCGGACACCCUCGGGGGCUGGGCCAUAGUUCACGCUACCCAUGUGAGCCGGAUCAUCUCCGGCAGUACCCUCGGGGGCUGGGCAGUGGCUUGCACUUCCCACCCGAGCCGAGUCACCCUCGGCAACACCCUCGGGGGCUGGGUAAGCGUCAACACCAUCCUUGAGGGCCAGGUUCUCUGCAGUAGCCGCCUCUAAGGCUGAAGGCCCCUCAGUUACUUCCAUGGGACCAGGAUGAUCCAAGUCAACCUCCUGACCCUCAAGACCGCGCUCUAAGGUCGAUGAGGCGCGGGAUGACCUCAACCCAGCAUCGAGCACAUCAGCACAAACCUCCAUCACACCAUCAUCCGCUGACUCUGAUAAUAGGUCCUCUGGAACCAUAUCUUCUAGAGUCUGAUCAAAAUUUGCCAGAGAUAACUCCUGUAGACCAACGAGAGCUGACAGAGCAGGAGAAGGAACCCCACUACUUUCCCCACUGACAAUAUACUGCCGACUGUUCUUCCGAGUCAGAGGGACCUCAUCUUCUUCCUCCCUGUCGUUUUCAUCAACAACAUAAGCAACACACCCAUUGGGAUCAGCAUCGGAUGGAGCACCCCCAUUGGGAUCAGCAGCAGAUGGAGCACCCCCAUUGGGGUCGGCGUCAGCAAAAUCAGGCACGGGAACCUCCUCAGCAGCAGGAACCGAAGGACCAGCGCCCCGAUCCAAACUAGAUACUUGCCGAAGACGUCUCUUUUUCUUUUUCUGCUCAUCAGCAGAAGGAUCAAGUUGAUUGGCUCGGCAAAGGCGUCUCGAGCGAGCACUGGCAGGCUUUUGAAUAUCCAAAGUCAUACUAGCUUCUGGGGGAGGCGCCACCACCAAUGUCCUGGCAGGAGCAGCAUCAGGAGAGUCCUCAGCCAGCAAAUCAAGCAUAGCACUUAUUUCUGCGUCACUAGGAUCCAAAGGCACCUCAAAGCGGACUUGCCGUUCGGCAUCAGGAAUUUCCCCGAGCGAGGCAACCAAAGUGUUAACUUCUUCGGCAGAGGGUCGCACUCUAAGGCCCAAACCGCCAUCAGCGACAGGUGGAUUCGACACAAAAAGAGUGAAGGCCUUGGGAGGAGGCAGGUUCCAUGCUGAGUAUGCCACUGGGGCACCAAUAUUUGCUACCUUGCCUCUAAGAAUCAUCUCAAGUCGGUUCACCAAGUCUACAGAGGGAAUUUUCCUGUUGGUAACCCGAGUUGAGUCAGCUAGACCUCGGUACAGAUAAGCUGGGUAUGCCCUGUCCUUCAACGGCUGAAUAUUCUUGAAAACAAAAUCAGCAACCACAACCUCAGCAGUCAGACCCCUUUCUUUCAGCAGUCCAACUUCAGCUAGCAAAGCCCCCGCCUCAGCUACCUCCUGAUCCGUGGGAGACUCAGUCCAACUCGGAGUGCGAAUAUCCGGCUGUCUUCCCGAUCGUGGGGGGGAGAAAAUUUCCAUGGUUCUCAACAAUAAACCAUUCCAAGCGUCAUCCCUUGAUACUGUCUUUGAGAGGGAUUUCAAGAUACUCAGUCUUCCUCCCACGGCGCAUCUCCAAACUAGCACCUCCAACCAACUGAUGCUGCCCCCCGGUCAUCCUAGGGCGACAGUGAUACAAAUACUUCCACAACCCAAAAUGUGGCAGCACACUAAGAAAAGCUUCACACAGAUGAACGUAAAUGGAAAUUUGCAGAAUAGAAUUGGGAUUCAGGUGGGUCAAGUUAAGGCGAUAAAAAUCAAGGAGGCCGCGGAAAAAAGGAGAAAUGGGGAGAGCGAGAUCGAGACCGCGGAGAAGAAAAGGAACGUAAAUCACGGAUUCAUGGGUAUCCUCUGUCGGAACAGUGACCACGUGGCAAAUCUGCCAAGAACAGAGCUCUCUCGGGGGAAGAACCCCGAUGGACACGAGGUGGAGGAGGUCAGGCUCGGAGACAACAGACAUAUGGUUACCUACGAAAGGCAACUGGCUGUUGGGGUCGAUGGGGGGAAUCACCGCAGCGGAUGAACUCGAGGCCUUUCUCUUGGGCGCCAUCUCAACUCUACUGGCGAACAGAGCGAGAGCCGAAUUGCAGAGAGGAUUUGGAGGCAGGAAAGCAAGAACUAGGGCACGGAAAGCAGAGGCGGCUGAAAGCGCAGUAUAUGCGGGAUAUUCCCGAGUCAGAUACCGUCUCUAAAAGCGCCCAGUCAGCACCCGGCAGUUACUUCUAAAACAUCGGCGUGCCACGUUGGCAUCCGGCGACUACUUCUAAAACCCCGGUGUGCCACAUCAUCACUCGGUUAUUAUCCUCAAAGUGGCCGACACGGCCCGUUUUAACUCGGCUGUCGUUUCUAAGACGCUGACGUUAUCACCAGUCGCUCGGCAGCUAUCUCUAAAACGCCGACGAUGUCCUUAGUCGCUCAGCGGUUACCUCUAAAGCGCCGACGUUGUCUUCAGUCGCUCGGCAGCUAUCUCUAAAGCACCGACGAUGUCUUCAGUCGCUCGGCAGCUAUCUCUAAAGCGCCGACGAUGUCCUUAGUCACUCGACAGUUAUCUCUAAAAAACGAUGGCGUUGUCACAGGUCACUCGGCAGUCACAUCUAAGAGCGCCGACGUGGUCAACAGUUAUUUCGACAUUGACAUGGUCUCGUCAUCACUCGGACUCUAUUUCAAACGCGCAAAUAUCGACAAUAAUAGCUCGGCCAUCACCCCUGAAGCGGCGAUAUGACGCCCGAGUUAUUUAAUUACUAUUCCGAAUGAAUCAACUUCACAAAUAAGAGAUCGAUUUACUUCGAAGCAGCGUAACUGGCACAGGAGGAGACAAAGUCAUUCUUCAUUAAGGGAAGUAAUAAUACUUACAAAUCAACUCAUUAUGAGUUGAUACUUCCCUAUUGCUACUACUAUACUACAUUGUACUACUACACUACAUUUCUACCACUACUAUACUACAUACUACUACUAACUACUACUACAUUAUUUCACUAUAUUACUUCUAAUCUAUACUAAUAUCUAAGAACCAGUGGCAUCUAGCCACUGGCCCUGUUGCUGCCCUUGCUGCUGCCCUUGCCGCCCCUGCCGCCGCCGCCGUUGCCGCCCCUGCUGCCGCCACUGCCGCCCCUGCUGCUGUCGUUGCCGCCCACCGUCGUCGUCGCCGCCGUCGCCUCCGUCGUCGUCGUCGUCGUCGUCGUCGCCUUCGCCACCGCCGCCACCGUCCUCCUCGGACGAGUCCUCCUCGUCCGAGGAGUACUCCGACUCAUCCGAGCCCGCGAGCCUGGAGCGCUCGACAACCUGGAUGUAAGUCCAGACCUCCGCGGCGAUCCCCUGAGAGUCGUCCGAGUCAUCGGACGACGCUGGGGGAGAGACGGGAGCUGGAGACCCCUUGGACUCAGAGGAGAACUCCUCCUCUGAGUAUUCCGAGUCGCCAAAGUCCUCGGACGGAGGAGUCGGCUCGCGCUUGCGUUUCUUGCCCAUGGUGGAAAUGCAAGGAGAGGAAGAAAGCAAGCAGUGGAGAACAGCAAGAGAUGUGAAAAAACCAGAGAGACAAAGGCACUAUUUAUAUAAGAAGAAGGCAACCGCUCACCUCCAACCACGGUCACUGAACAGUCGCGAAGCAUUCAAUACACACUUCAACCCGUCUGAAGACGCGCGGCUAACGCCGUUUCACGCAAUGCAACACCCAUUGGGACUCCAGUCAACCGCGCAGAAGAUAUGAUUACACCCGCAGUCACAUCACAUUACACUCAGAAGCAGCCGGCUAAAACACUCAGCGUACCAAGCCGUCCCUUACCCACACCCAUUGGGGGGGACGCCCAGGAGUAUAUUUUUCAAAACCGUCACAUCCGUGCAGGGCAUGCAAUGAAUACCUCAAGACAAAAAUGAGAUAUCAGUAAGGAUCAAAGGAAAGCCAAAUAUAGCCGGUGAAGUACAAAAUAUGACCGACAGAAGCGACGCGAAGACUAGCCAGGGAACGUCCAUCAAAUGUCCAAUCAAUCGCAGAGCAAAUAAAUUGCACCACCUAGCGAGAUAUGGGCGGAUCACGAACUCAGCUGCAAAAGACAAAAUACAUGGUGACCUCUAAAGUAUAAUAUUGAUGACAUAAUGCUGACCUCUAAGGCAUUCGGAAAAAAGAAAGAAUUAUUCUCAGCAGAAGGACACGAAAUGAAGACCUUCAAGAGGAUUAUUUUCAAAAAUCCACUCAAAGCUCGGGAGCUACACCCAUUGGGUGCACCUUCGGUGCACCCCAUGAAUCACCAUUUCAAGCCAAGAUGGUGCCGACUUCUAAGGCAUAAGACAAGAUUAAAGACAAGGCUGGCCCUCAACCAAAGUACAAGAGGAAAAUAAAAAUAAUUUCUGAUGAAGACCUUCGAGUAGAUUAUCUUCCAAAAUCUACUCGAAGCUCGGGGGCUACACCCAUUGGGUGCACCUCCGGUGCAUCCAAUGAAGUUCAGGGUCCUACAACACGAAAUGCCAACUUCUAAGGCACAAGCAUGAAACAAAGCUCCAGUUUACGAGUGAUCAGCAGCAGAAGGAGACAGUAAGAAAUCGUCUUUCUCCAAAUUACCUGCAAGCUGGGCCUAGGAUCUUUGGGCUGAUUACCCCAAAAUCAACCCAAAGAUCGGGGGCUUGUGGGGGACAGAUAUCCCCCGGGUCCACUGGAAGGGUAAAAGACCUCACGAAAGGCCCAAGGGCCCAAUAAAUCGUAAGGUCAUUCCUUCAUAGGCCUGGGGAGGAACAAUCAGUAAAGCAGAUCGACGUAAGGCCGGAUCGGUGCAAGACCGGAUGGCCCUACAGCGUUGAGCAAGAAACCACAACAGAAGAUCCGACUUUCCCGCGCUGGAGCCCUAUGCAGCGGAACCAGGCGAGGAUAGGUCGGCAGAAUCAUAGGAAGAUAGACUCAAACAGUUCACUAUCUUUUAGACGCACGUUGUUAUCAUAUCCACAUGUAUUGCCCCACGGUCGAAUAUAUAAGGCCCAGGGAGCACCCCUUCAGAUCGAUCGAUCUCACUACUCAGCCAUCCACCUUAACUCUCUAUGUUCUCGCUUUAGAGAACUACCCUGUAACCCAUUACACAAAGCAUCCUCACCAGGACGUAGGGUGUUACGCAUAUCUAAGCGGUCCGAACCUGUAAACACUGUCCAUUGUCCCUCGUGCGUCUGGCACGAACCAUUUUGUUACAGUCGGCGACACCGUCCUACUCCUAAAAACACCUCGAGGGGCAACCCCGGGUGUGCGAUCGGACCCAAAACACCGACAUAAAUGUCCUCCGAUGAUGCCCAAAAACCUAGAAUCAAAACUAAUGGUCACAUUAGUCUGGAGCCUAAAUUUAAUUGGAACCGAGGGGUCGUCGUUUCUAUAGUGGUGUACACACAUUGAUAUUACCUUCCGUUUUGAAAUUGUAGCUCAGUUUUAGUUCUUUUAUACUGGGAUUCACAAACGUUCUCUGCAUUUGAGAAUUGCUUAGAAAGUUAUGAUAACAUCACUGCAAGUUCAAAUAAAUGCAUAUCAAGAUUUUUUGAAGAAUGUAAUGAGCCACUUUGUAUUAUUAUUAUUGUUAUUAUUACAAACCGACAAUCUUUAAAAGGGCUGAGCCAGGACAAACUCGAACUGAACUGUAAUUUAGAAUGAAUGGAGUGACCACUGAAUCGAAGCAUCAUGCAAUGAUGUAACAUUUCUUCCUUUUUUUAAACAAAGGAAUCGUUGAUUUUAUAUUGAUAACAUAUUGUUGCAAUUUGUAAAAAAGCAACCUUGCCGAAUGGAUCAUUAUUAAUUGUGCUACUUCUGCAACAUUGUUCUCCAACGUGCUUGCUAACACAGCCUAUAUCGCGUCAAUACGACUAGUUCACUGGCAUGGUAGCGCGUUCUUCAUGAUCCUGGCGUAUUUCUCUAGCCUCUUCAAUCCUUCUUUGGGAGAGGCUGCUUCGCCUAACUGUCUCACCAUUGCGCUACCAAUGAUCACACCAUCUGCACCCCACUCUGCAAUCUGUCCAGGUGCAAUAUAUAUACUGUUAGAAUUUGUUACUAUAAAAAAAUCUGUGCAAUAUAUAUACUGUUAGAAUUUGUUACUAUAAAAAAAUAUGUGAAUAAGUUUUUGAGGCAUUUUUUUUAAAAAAGUUUUGCCUACCUGCUUUACAUGCUCAGGUUUCGAUAUGCCAAACCCGACAGCCACGGGUAUGUCAGUGACCUGCAGCAAACAAAAAAAACACAAGCCAGCCAGCUCAGUGAUUGUGAUUGGUAACAACAAAAACGAAUAAAAAUGGCAUCUUCUCUCUCUCUCUCUCUUCUCCUUUUCCAUUGACAUGACGUAUUAUUACCUGUUUAACCUCCUGAAUGAGAGACUGGACACGUGUGUUCACGUUUGCGCGUGGACCUGUAACUCCAUUGACGCUCGCCUGUGAUGGUCAAGUAGGAUACAUGAGCAUGCAUGCAUGUCAUCGGCAAGUUCAGUCGCUAGCAAAAACUCCUGGACGGAAAGUUUUGUGUCACUUACGAGAUAGACGAAUCCUCGUGAAGCUCGUGUUAUCUCCUCCAUCCUGUCCGCUGGCGUAGAUGGUGUUGUGAGCAGCACCUGCAUGUGUUCAGGCAUUGUUCAUGUCGUGAGACAGACGCUGCUUUCUCAAUUUUAUAUUGCGCAGAAGAACUAGUAGGAGACGCACGUGCUUCUCCUUGAUACAUACCAGCUCGAGGUUGUUCUUGAUGGCUUCGGUCCUGAGAGUGAGAGCGCACGAGUUCCCAUACGGGAGGUCGGGAACUAUGAGGCCGUGCACGCCGGCUUCCUUGACGGCGGCGGCGAAGUCGGCCAGGCCCCACCGCACGAUGGGGUUGAAGUAGGAGAAGAGCACCACGGGGCAGGACAGCUCCGGCGUCACCUCCUUCAGCAUCGCCAGCACGCCGUCCGGCGUCGUGCCGCUCGCCAGUGCCCGCGCCGCCGACGCCUGGAUGACCGGCCCGUCGGCGUAGGGGUCCGAGAAGGGAACGCCGAGCUCGAUGACGUCGGCGCCGCAGGCGUCCAGGAGCCGCAGCGCCUCCGCCGUCGUCGCCAGGUCCGGGUCGCCGGCGGUGAUGUACGGGAUGAACGCCGUCUGCGAGAACCACGACGUCACAACGGAGUUCCAAGUCAGGACCCGUACAUGGCUGUGCCUACAUAAUAGUACUGGAGAGUGCAGAUGCAGACGACAUGGUCUGCGAAACCGGCAGGCAUCGGCCGGACAGAACCACGCAUGUGCAUACCUUGCCCUGCGCCCUGAGCCUGGACAUGGUCUGCGACACCGGCAGGCAUCGGCCGCCGGCACCGGCGGUGAGCUUGGCCGGCGCCGCCGGGGCAGCCGGAGCUACCGCGGCGACCGCCCUUACAGUGGCCACAGACCUCCGCCGCCCCGGCAUGGCCACUGCAGCUGGUAGCCGCUUCGAUAACGGCGACGAGUGGACUGCCGCCGGGGAAGAAGACCACUGGGAGGAGGUCGAUGCAGCCUUGAUCGCGGAGGCCAUAUGUCUCUAGUACGGGCUCACGUACUGUGCUUCGAUUUCGAUGGAUCGGUUGGAGCUGGUUUAUACGGCCGCUACGGUGUGGGGGAGCAAAGUCACUGUGGGCCUGUGGCUUCGCUAGCUAGCUUCACGAGCAGCUGUGUGCAACUGCUCAGCUCGAACUCUGGAACGCCGGCAGUAGGAUAUGAGAUGCUGGUGCCAUGCCCACCGUGCCACAGAUUAUAUAUAGCAGCAGCGGGACGAGGAGGCCAGCCAGCUUCAGCAACAGUGCAACACCCAUCAACAGUGCUUUCUGUACAUCUCUAGGCUGAGCCCACGCCCCUACGCGUGUUUAAGGUAGGCCCUUAGCGGUACCCUUUCUCCCACCCCUAAACGGCAGCAACUUUCUCUCGCCCUCGUUGUUUUCAGCAGGUAUUUUAUCCUAUUCCUAUCUUAUCCUAUAUUUUAAACCUCAUUUUAUAAACAUUAAUAUCUACAUUAUAAAGCCUCUACUUUACAUGAUCUGUAGCGGACAUCCUAUAUCUAGGUAUUCAAUAUUCUCUUCCUAAAUAUUUUUAUACUCUAAAUUAUGAAAUAAACACAAAAUUAAUAUAUAUAUAUAUAUAUAUAUAUAUAUAUAUAUAUAUAUAUAUAUAUAUAUAUAUAUAUAUAUAUACACACACCAUUUUAGACUAUAAUAAAUACAUAUGUAGAAAAACAAAUUUAUUUUUUUUUUGGAAAUACAAUAUACCAUUUUAGAGAGAAUCGUUGUGAGAGUUGUGAUUUAGGGGAAUAGUGGAUAAAGAAAAAAAAAGAGAUAUAAAUAAAUGAUAUAAGAGAACCGUUUCGGACCGCCAGGCAGCUGGCAGGAUGUUGCCGGCGUGAAACUGACUGCUCGGGUCAUUUGCUAGCUAGCUCCUCGUCAUUUAAAAAACGUGUGUGCGGAUUUACUGGUCCCGCAUACUCUGAUAGGGGAAACCUUCUGUGUUCUCGGAGAAUUUGGAUUUAGGACUCGUUUUGGUUCGUACCCUCCCAGGCAGUUGCUGUCAGGCAACAGAACCUGAUGUUCGAAAUCGAACGCCGGGAAAUGCUGCCUGGGCUAGGCAAGUCCGGCCACGAGUAAACAAAAAGGAUCUGUUAGUCAAGAGGCUAAAUUUUAGUCUAAACUAAAGUUUAGUCCCUAUCUUAUAUAAUUAAAGAGACUAAAAUUAUUCCGAACGUAUUAAAUGACUCCUAAGAAAAUAAAAAUAUCUCUUAUCAUUCUCUCACCAUUAGUGCAAUUGAAAUAAAUAAGGAACAAAAUGUGGAAUGCAUAUAGUUUUGUCCCUUUUAGUCAUUUUAUAGGGCAUGUACAACUUAGAUACUACGUUGCGAUUCUUCAAGCAUUAGAUACACAUAAUAAACCCCUUCAUAUAACAUAAUAUAUUUAUGUCUUGUAUCUUAUACACUAGAACCUCUCAACAUACAACUUAUUUAUGUGGGUUGUAUGACUAAAACCGUAUCUAAACUUAGAGAACAGUGCUAGAGAUAUUCCAUCACCAAGAUACCGCCAUAUAUUUUUUGCACUUACCCCUUGAUACCCCUUUAUGUUACGGGACAUUUGUGUGGGUUGUACAUACCUUUAAGGGACUAGGAAGUUAAACAGUUUAGUCUCUGUUUUAGUCCUACUAUUUGAUAAUUUAGAGACUAAAUGAGACUAAAAAAACUAAUCUUUAAUCAUUCAAAGCAAACAUGCCCUCAUUAGCCCUGUAAACCUUCUGCGUGCUGUCAUAGAAAUUUAAAGCAACAAUUAUUUCAGUGCGCAAGUGUAUCUCUCUAUAUCUAUAUCUUAGAAUGACUUAAUAAAUUUAAAUUAUUCACGAUCUUUAUAAGUCAUUUGUUAAAUCAUUUUCGGAAUAGGUGAUUAUCAUUUAUAUUGACGAAUAGUUCUACUCUAUAUAUAUAAUAACAUAAUGUAUAUGCGUUACAACAGCACAUCAAUUAUAUUUGAUAAUAUAAUGCAGCAACUGUAUAAUAUACGAGGGCCUAAUGACAAAUCAGUGUGAUAGAUUCUUCUAAAAAAAUUAAAAUUAAAGUAGACUCCCCUCGUACUGAAGAUAGCUGCUCGUGAUAUGGAUUCAUUGGUGUCACUAAGUCUAUCUUCAACAAUAUCUGAUAAAAGGCACGGUCCACUACAUAUAAAUGAUACAAGUUUCCUCAAGGCGUACAACAUGGUGCGUUUCGUUCGGGCGGGCCGCCUACGCUGAAUCCCGCGGCGCCAUGAAGUUGUUGCAUGAAGUUGUUUUAUAUUUGUUGAUGCAUGUAUGUACACCACCGCUAUAUCUGUUGAUUCAUGUACGCAGUGAAGAUUUUUGACGUUUUAUGUACGGAGGUGUUAAAAAUAUGAAUGAUAUCUAAAUCUGACCAAAACUAACUAAAUUUACAUCACCUAGUUGGAUUACAUUUUCGUUUCCGUACCAUGAAAAUAUAGUACUGUAGAUGAUGUAAUGUAAAUAUUUUAAUUACUCCAUAAAUCAUUUUCGGCAUACAAGAAAGAAAAUCUUUUUGUUGUACAUCUAAAUAAUAUAUAAUACAACUUUCUGGUGCAUUGUAGGUUUUGCUAAAUAGGAACGACGCACAAAAAUGUAUUGUAAGAAGUAUAUAUUUUAAUUUUAUGAAGUACGCAAUUCAAAAAAUUUAAUUGCCGAAAUAGAAUUACAUAAAGUAGAUUAUGAAUUCUCGUAACAAUGUACAGAGGACCAAAUUUAGAGGUCGUUGUUAAAGAUAGAAGAUAUAGAAGAUUGAAUCUUUUAAAUAGUGUUAUAAAGAAUAGAGAAUAUUCUUUUAAAUGUGAAAUUUAAAAAACACGCUGGAACAUUCUAAUCAACCAUACUAACACAGUACCACAUCCUUUUCUCAAUUCAUGGGUGAUGUCUAGUAUCCCAUCAACCAUACUAAGACUAUCUCAGUGAGACUCCAUAUCCCACACUCUAUCUCACCAUUUAUUUUAAACUCUACUUUACAAACAAUACAAUUUAUAUUACAAAUAAUACUUUAUACGACCGUUUACAUGGUCCGCUAGAGAUGACCUAACAAAGUACCACGUCCUUUUCUCCAUUUAUGGGUCAUGUCUAGUAUCCCACCCAUUUGUGUCCAUCCCUCUAGGUAAGGUCUAGGAAAACCCACGUUUAUGACAUAAAAUUUGUAAACAAACACUGUCGGCAAAUAAAUUAUAUAUAGAACAAUGUGUUGUCAUGUCAACAACUGAGGUUGGUAAAGGUCGGACUAUGAACAAACAUUAAUCAAUCCGGGGUAUACCACCGGAAGGAUGAUCUAAUUUAUUAAUUUUGGAUCACUGGUAAAAAAAGCUCUAGGUUCGUAAUCUAUUUUCAUUCGUGUUUUCAGAACUAUCAGUGCUAGUACUAGUAGUAAAGAGCUCAAAGCCUACAGUAGAGUUUAAUUUUUAUAGACAGUUUCGGUGCUAUUUUUAGUAGCGGUUUUCUUGAUGAACCGUAUGUAGAAAUAUGAUUUUCUCCUGGUAGAUUUAUUAAGAAACCGCUACUAAAAAUUAUUUUUAUCCUGAUUUUUUUAUAUUUUUAAAUGACCUCGUAUGAAAAAACCACCAACAUAAAAAUUGUAGAUCUCUAAAAGUAUAAAACUUUGUAGUUGAUAACCUUUUAUUUGAAAUCAUUUUGGCUCUAAAAAAUUACAUCUAAAUUUGUCAAGUUUAAAAAAAUGUAAAUUUUGCAAACGAACUCGGAUGCGAAAAGUACCAAAUAGAAGUUGUAGACUUCAAAAGUUAUGAAACUUUGUAGUUGACAACUUUUUUAUUUGAAUCCAUUUACAACCUUAAAUAAUCAAUUUAUACUCGGAUUGUUCUAAUAUGGAGGCAACAAAACUACAAUAUAGACACGAAGGACUUGUUUGGUUGGUGGUCUGAAAAUUUUGUGUGGCCUAGGCAUGCACUCCAGGCAUCCAAUUUCUCAUGCCUCGGGUUGGAUUUUGUUGCCUCGCAGACACAUCUAGGCCAGAACAGCAACCAAACAGGUCCGAAGUAAAUGAUAGAUGGAGUGUUAGAGGGAGCUAUGCGCGAGGGUGAGAUGGGCUGGUGGGGCCUAGUGAGGCCCCUCCCCUAAUAAAAUUAUUUAUUUACUAUUUUAAAACACAUUUUAUGUUUUUUGGAAAAGAUCUUCACUUGCGGUCUUAUUAGCUCGACGCGAGUGAAAAUCAAUUUUCACGGGCGAUUUUCUCAACCCGAAAGCCAAUAACAAUUGAUUUUCACUAGCGGUUCUCAGUUACCUGUAUAUACAAAUAUUUUUUUCUACUGGCCCCUAGCACUAGCGGUUCUAAAAAACGUCAGUACAAAUGUGUUCACAACCGCCUGAUUUUUACUGUUGUUUUCUUAGGGCGACCGAUGGUGGAAAUCGAUAUUCACGGGGCGAUCUUAGUUACCCACCUGCAUAGAUAAUUUUUUAUUGUUCCCUAACACUUUUGGUUCUGAAAAACGGCAGUAUAAAUAUGUUUACAACCGUAUGUAUAGAGCCUCUAUCAGGGGCGGAUCCAGAGGGGGUAAAGUGGGCCAUGACCCCCUCUCAAUUAUGUACAAUCUUUUAAAUAUAAUGACCGGUUAAUGUUAAGUUAAGUUUAGAAAAAACCAAAGUUUUGAUGUGAUAUAGUGCUAUUCUAAACCUCUAAACUAAAUAGGUAGCGACUAAAAUUAGCCGAAAAAUUUAGAAUGGGUCAACUAAUUUUUAGCUAUACCUUUCAAAUAAUCAUUAAUUGUUACCUCAACCUAGCUAAAACCAGUUAACAAUUAGCUUUAGAGGCUUAGAUCAGGGCAUAAAACAACCCUGUCAUGAGCCUCCUCGUCAGAUCCUUCCCGACCUAGUCCUCGCAUCCAUCAGGCUGACCCUAAUCUUUUCAACGCCACCUAAACUAGUUUGCCUCGAUGCCCCAUUUCGACCAUUGCCUCCUUCCUGACGCGACGCUGCCCAACCCCCUCCUUCCUGGCGCCUCCACCCUGCCCCAUCGUCGUCGUGUCACCGGCCCGCCCAAUAAAGCCGGGUCUCACUCAUCGCAAUGAUGUGACCCUCUUUGUGGCCAACGAGCUUGGCGAACCAGCAAGCCCUGGCUCUCAGCUGCAGACGUCGCCUCACCCCACCCCUUUACUGGCAUCCCUGUCCUUCUAAGAGAUCGAUAUUUGACAAGAUAAACGUCUUUGAUUCGGUCAUCAAAAACUUAACGACAUGUUUGUUUAUUUUGUUCAUACAGUUUUAUUCUUUGAAUUUGUUUCGUGUAUUGGUAUGAAACUUGAAUUCUAUAUAACACUAGUUUUUUAUGAUCUUUACUUAAUUUUAUCACGUGGUCUUUCUGGCCCCCUAUGAAUUCAUGGCCUGCAUCCGCCACUGGCUUCUGUGUUAGGUGCCAGUAAAAAUGUUUCGGACAGGCGGUGACACCGUCGUGCGUUGACAUUCGGUAAAAAAAAACUCACCCAAAAGGCCAAAAGCAUAGUUUAAGCAGCACAAAUGAGCGAUGAUACAGCACACUGCCAUCUGAACGCUCACUAGACAGUACUGUUGCCCUUGCCCAGAUGUGCUGGAUGGAGUAGGCAACAAAUCAGCAAUAAAGAAUAGGUGAUGCACGUAUUCUUUUCUUUAAUUAGUCAACAUAUGUAAAACGCUGAUAAUUAGUAAUGCCAAAUUAUCGCCGUCCAGCUGGAUCACGAAUCAUGAAGGGUUUCUCAAAAGGACCAUAUACUUUGAUGUGCCAGUUAAAAGUUUAUAUAAUUCCCGGUUGGCACGUGCAAAUUAUAUUAAUAUUAGUUAAAGCCAAUUGUUUUUUUAAUGGAGAAUGAGUCGGUGAAUGCAUGUGUACACGUUUACCCCGUUCUUUUUCUUCGCAGCGCGUAAACAAUUACUUAGUGCUUCCCAGUUUUUUCAUCUUAACAAGCACUCCGUACUUAAUUAGCCAGUCAACUCCAGAAGGUACUACUAGUAGGGUAUAUAAUGCAUGUGCCUUGGGCUCACAAGAGAGCAGAACCACCUACACGCACGCAUCACGAUGCACUAGUGUAGAGAAGCUUUAAAGUAUGGUUAUAGUGUUUUCAGCGCCGCCGGUAAACUCUAGAUCCAAAAUAUUCUUCUUCUCUCUCACAUGAUGAAACCUAAAUCUAAAAUAUGGCUAAAAUUAAGUAAUAAUAAACAAAAAUUGACAAGAAAAACAUAAACCACCUUUCCUAGCAACAUUCUUUCAAAAAAUGAAGCUCAAAACCUCUCCCUUGUAUUUUGUAAAAUCUGAACCUCCAAUAGAAGUUGGCUGCAAGCUACAACUCCUCUCGGGGAGGAUGAAAGGGUAUUUAUAAUACAAAGUUUCACUGGUGAUUGGCUUAAGAAACCGCUAGUGAAAAGCUAUUUUCACUUAUGGUUCUCUUAACACAACCAUCAGUGAAAAUAACACUUUUUCACUUGCGGUUGGUGUAACCGAUAAAAUAGCCCAUUUCCACUGGCGAUUGUGUUAAGAGAACCGUCAGUAGAAAUAGGUUUUCACUACCGGUUUCUUAAGCCGAGCCCACCUGUUUAUUUUCACUGACUAACUGAAAUGCUACUGAAAAGUUUUGCAUACCACAUGCUUAGAGUCUUUUCCACUAGUGAUGUCUCCAACAAUGUAUAUUAUAUUCAUCAUCUAUAUCUCUUUUUUACAGUUGUCUAUGCUCUCUUUUUAUAUACCUUUUCUCUCCGGCAGCGCCAUCUAUAUAUAAAUAUCUAUUAUAAAGGCAUAUUUUAUUUUAAUUUUUUUAUAUAUACGUAUAUGUCAUAUCCUUAAACAUUUAAUAUAUAUUUUAGUUUUGCUUAAUCUGUUUUUAAAGUAUUAAAAUAGAUAGAGGAUAUGAAAGAGAAUCUCUAUAUAUAUAGAUGACGUUGUUAGAGUGGAUUUGAAGAGGCAAUCUCUCUGGUAGUUGUCUAGAGGGGUUAAUAGACAACACCUAAACAUUCAAUACUAAAAAUAAACUAAAUCCAAAGUUAGAGGUCAACGCACAUGCGGAUUCAAAGGGAGCUAGGGCUCUAGUCCUCCUAUAUCCGUGAAACUCUAUUGGAGAUAAAGGUCGAGGUAUAGGAGAAGGAAGGAGGGAGAAGAAGAAAAAAGAAAAUAAGCCCUCUCUACUAGCUUGUGGUGUCUCCGCCACUGCCCACUGGUCACCGGAAAAUCAGCCCUCGUUUAGUUCAUUCUUGGAUCUAUCACUGCUCACUACGGUAUUAGAUCUGAUUCGAAUACAUCUAUUGCUAAGAAACUAGAUAGAUAGAGCGGUGACAGUUAGAUCCUAUGAUUCUAUAGACUUACCAAAAUAUGUCAACAUACUGUAACGAUGCCAAUAUACUCUAAACAAAUCUUGCCACUUCAAGGCAGAAGGAGAUAGGCCACCAUGUCCAAGCAGUAGGGCAUGGGUGUGCAGGUUGUUAUCGCAAGCCCGUGCAACAUGUGUGCACAACACCGUACCCCCUCUGCUCUGUUGCCGCGAAGUUUCUCCCUUUCUCUCUCUCUCUCGGCCUAAAUUGACACCGCGCUUUUCCUUCCCGCGUGUCCACGGUCCAAUCCUAGCAUGAAGAAUGGACAGAUAUUCCAAAAGGAAAUGGUGCACUGCAUUCCCGGCCCUGCAACAAUAGACUCUCACAUCGGUUUCUGUGCUGCAGCAGCCAUGUGAUAAGCAUGCAUACGCAGAUGGCCACAGAGAUUGCACCGCGGUCUGAUUCCUCUCAGAGUCUCUGGUGGUGGCUGCUGCUGGCUGAAGAAAAUACGGAGCUCAGCUCACAACGACAGCACAUGUCCCGUUCCCCGUUUACAACAUGCGGAUUGGAUUUCUGUUCGGAUCGAGACUGUUUUGUGACUGGCGACAUCUUUACCGUAGGAAAAAAAAAACACUGCAGAGUAAUAUACUAGUAUCUUUCAGCAACUUCAUUUCCGUGUGAGGCUGGCUCCCUUAGUCCCUUUUCUUAUAUAAAACCAAAGCUAGAAACAGACUUUAAAAUUAUUUGGUUUACAAACAUGUAAGAUAUGUGCAUAAGACAGUGUACUCGAAAAUAUUUGCAAAAAUCUCAUAAGAAUUCCAAGCGCGAGCACAUUUUUCCUUAAGAAUUUAAAGCAAUCUAGUUCGCGCGUGGUCCUAGCUGCCACAUCUAGUCCUAUAUUGUACUUUGAUUUGGUUAGUGAUGGUUCAAAUGUUUCCUUCUGGGGCAACACUUGGGCAGGGGGUUUGAGGCAGAAGGACUUGGCGCCUCGUCUCUUUUCCAUUUCAAGGAACAAAAGGAAAUCUUUGGCCAAGGCUGUGGAUCACAGAUCUUGUCCUGUUUGACAUAACAAUUACCACCCACUAUAUUCAUGAGUUCUGCACUCUUUGGUCCGAAGUCUAAAAGAUCCAGUUUCACUUAGGAUCUGAUGAUGCCAUCAACUGAAAGUUUACUAAUGACCAUCGCUACACGGUAAAAAAAAAUACAGUAUACAUGCUAUGAAUGACAAGUAGUUAUGAUACAUAUGAUGAUCCAUUCAGAAUUUUUACUAGCAAUACAAGCGUCUAUUAUCUAUUCAGACGAAGAGACCAGCUGUUUCAGUGCCUCCCGAAAUCGAAGUCUCCUGGUUGCCAUAUUUUAUUACGCCAUCCAACUUAACGGAUCCCCAGAUUCAUGCACCUGGCGCGUAUUUCUCUAGCCGUUUGCAUUAGGGCCGUUCUCUCGGAGAAGAUUGGUUUCGCCAAUGAUCACACUUUCGCCCCCACUUUGCAAUCUGCCUCCGUGGUCUAAGUAUAAUAAGGUGGUGGUAUUUUUUUUCCUUUUACCUGCUUUACAUGUUGAGGUGUCAAUAUGCCAAAUCCAACGACGACCACAAGCUAGUUUGACAGUGACCCUGCUAGCAACACCUAGGUUGAACACCGAGAGAGGUUGGCUUCGUCGGAUGUUUAUUUGGUUGCAUGAUUGUUUGUUUCACUGGAUAUGGAAGAAUUAUUUAACAUCAUAAAAAGGUUAAUAAUACUUGGAGGAAUGUGGAUAGAUAAUCUAGUGGUUAGGAGAGCCCCACCUCAACUUCUGAGUUUGACUCGGAGCGAAUAUUCUAGAAUUUAAUGACGUUCUGUUUUCAUCGAUAAAAUGAGAUGUGUCCGUGAUGACUUUGUCAAUCUUGAGAACGUCUUCGAAGAUGCUCACUGGGUUAGAAUUCCUCGUUCACAUCAAUUAGUCGUUUUAGGUUUAUCUUAAGUCAAACUAUUUAAACUUUGAUCAACAAUAUAUAUAAUUAAAUUACUUUAAACUAAAAGAAUUAUAUAUUACGGUAGUUCAAAUCAUGAUGGAUCUAGUAAUUUUGUUUUUAUGUUGUAAAACCUUAUGAAACAUCCGGUAUAACCGAUCAAAGUUGAUAUUGAUUGAAUUAGGACAAAUUCAAAACGACUUUUACUUUAAACUAAAAGAAUUAUAUAUUAUGGUAGUUCAAAUCAUGAUGGAUCUAGUAACUUUAUUUUUAUGUUGUAAAACCUUAUGAAACAUCCGGUAUAACCGAUCAAAGUUGAUAGUGAUUGACUUAGGACAAAUUCAAAACGACUAAAACAUGUGCACUGAGCGAGUACGUUCUUAAAGGUGAAUAUGCGUAUAUAUAUGUAAUAGAAACUGUUGCAUGUAAGGAUUUACAGAUUUAGAAAUUAGAAUUAUUUUAUUUGGUUUACCUAGCCCAUCGAAUGACAUAUCAACAUUCUAUAGAUCCCUUUUCAGCGGUUAGCUUCUGGGUCGUCUUCACCUUCAAUGGAGUACACAUGUAAGAACACUGAACACAUGGUGAAUAUAACAAAGUACAUCACAUGGGUACUAUACUCUCUGGCAGAUGGGAACUACCCUUUUUGGGAAGCAUGUGUGACAAGCCAUAUGCCUAUAUCAAAAGGCCAAGAACUCUCGUUUCACACUAUCUCAAAAGCUGUGACUGUGAGGAAGGGUGUAGUGGGAAACAUUUGGAAUUUUGCAAAGAUCGAUUUAUACUAGCUAGCUAGGUCAAGGAAUCCUGCUGGACUUUGAAACGUGGAAAUCGAUCCUCUGGUACGUAAACAUGUGUUGGUAUUGAGAAUGAGCAAGACAGUGGUAGAUGGUAGGGGCUAUGGCUAUAAGAAGACUGACCGAGCCGGAAUCCGAUUUUUUUGCCGAAUGUUCAGCUCUUUGCCGAGUGCAGUUUAUCGGACACUCGUCAAAGAAUUUACCGAGUGUCACUCUCGUUGAACUAAGACUCUCGACAUAGACCUCAUUUACUGAGGGCGGAACACUCGACAUAGAAAGACACUCGGUCCGACAAAAAGUACUCGACAAAUAAGUCGUUGUCGAUGUACAGUUUGUCGAGACUUCUUUACCGAGAGUCACACUCGGCAAAGAGUUCGCCGAGUAUUUUCCGGCACUCGAUAAAGCAUCUGGUCGUGAGAUAUAUGAUGGAAGCCUUCUAGAGGAUUUUGACGAGCAUCUUUGGUCUAUUCAAAGCUAUAUCUUGUUUGUAUUGAUGUGGUGAACUUUAUCUUUAAAAUAUGGUUGCGGUGGGGCUUUUUAUCUGUCUUCGGAUAGCAUUUUAUAUCAUUUUUUUUUGUCUGUGGUCUUUUAAUUUGGAUGGCUUGUAUUAACUACUCUACUGUACUUUGAAAUGAGUGUCGAAAAUAGAUAGAAAUAUAUAUAUAUACAUGAUAAGAAAUAAUUAUUUUAAAACUAAAAGGUCUUAUAAUCUAGAGCAGCAGGAAGUAAGAAACAAGUCUCUAAAAUCAAUAAAUUAGCCUUCAAAUACGAACCUUGGUUUCCGAGAUAAUUGCUUCUAGAAGACUUGCUUCUACUGCUAGAGCUGUGCGGCUGAGCCAGCAGCAGCAGUUGCUGUACCUGUACUCCGUCUCCGGAAUGGACACCGCCCACCACCGGGAGGGAUCGCGGCAGGAGCAGCCGGGCAGCAGAUGCAUGCGCGUGCAACAUAUGCGCGAAAAACGUAUAUUAUGUGAUGGUGCGAGCCCUGCAGUCUUGAGCAACACACUUGCCCAUCAGACAUCAGGGUCGCUGCUGCUAGCCUGCUACGCGUGGCUGCUACACAUGAUUUUCACAAUAGUUUCCAAUUUUUUUUUCCCGGAGAGCCGUCAAUGCAGUAUACCUCCUUUGUAAAUACUAAUGUGCUGCACGAGCUUACAAGCUGUCCCUAGUUUCCGAACAAAUUUGCAUUAAAAAUAGCAUCUGGAUGUUUAAAUCCAUAUAUUUUUCAAAUGAGAUCAGAUAAAGACAAAUUUUAUGUCUAAUUGUAGAGGAUGGCGAGAUCUAAAACUUUAUAGUUCACGAGUUUUUUUUUCAUUAUAGAUUGUUUAAAAACUUAUAUUUUUAUUUAAAGUUCUCGUAUUUUAAAAUCUAAGUUUUUUUAAAUGCAUGCCCUCAAAUAUUAAAGUUAUGAUCUAAAACAUUUUAAAUUUGGAUUUUUUAUACUACCACCGUUAUUUUUUAUUUGUCACGGUUUAGUUUAAAAAUAAACCAGCGGGCGAUAAAUAUUCAAGAACGAAGGUAGUAUGUGAUUAGUUAGUCACCAAAAUAUUCAAAUAAAAUUUAUAACAAAAUAAUGAAGAAUAGCAUCUUAUACUUAUAUUUACAAGAAGUGGCUAUAGUGUGGUUGUGGGAUGGACUCUGCCAAGCAAGAGAUCAUGGACUCAAAUCCUUGUGGAUACAAUAUUGUUGUAAACAAAAAAGAAGGUUCUUGCUUGUGACACACAUUUUUUCUACUUUUUGGCACAAAUUAAUAUUUGUUUUUAAAUGUUCAAUAGGCGGUUGACAUGAAAUUUUCAAAGACAAAUGCAAAUGCCUCAUUCCUAUAAUUAUUGGAAUUGUAGAGAUUUUGAACCUCUUUAAAAUGGAUUUUGAUCGUGUCAUCGGUGUGCGACACCAUGGUACCGAAGAUACCAGAGAAAAUCAAAGGUAAAGAGAGAGGGUGUAGACUUGGGACCACUGGAUCAAGGCGUCGACUUGGUUGUAUGCACACACACACACACACGAUGUAAACAUAUCCGAACACCUUGAAUGUAAUAUCCUACAUGUUCUAUGCGAUAAAUGAUUAGAUGCAAGUAUUGGUAGAGCCUACAAGCUCGUAUGAUGUCUGUCUAACCAGCCUUGGAGUUGAGAAAGGAGAAUCAACAUCAACCAAUACAUUUUUAUGUUCCUCUAUAUCUUUAUUUUACAUCACAAGCGAGAAGGGAGUACACUCCUACAUAGGUGGGGGUCAUGCUCAACAGAAGUCCAACUACUCCUAUCUUGUUAUAGUUAUUAUACCAUAUAUGUAUCAAGUGUCUAACAAGCUACACUGGUGAGUAUUACACACCAUAGUGGCAGGUAUAGGUGCCCGUGUUGUAGUUGGUAUCUACAGGCACAGAUUCAACGUAAUGCUAGUGAAUACACUUGCAGCCUUAUGUGUGGCUACAAUGACUUCUUUUCACCACUACAAUAGCUUUAGUAAAACUUUUGAGUGCUACAUUGCCUCUUACAAAAAAUGUCAAGGACAAUAGCCUUAAUUAUCUUAGUAUCUUGGGCUUAGCCGACCUAGUCUAGAGCACAUGUGGUGCCAGGGUCAUGCCACCUACGGGUAUCUUCGAAAGUGCUAGAUGGGCAUGUAUAAAGCCCUUAGCUCAUAGGGACCCUAGGCUUGACCGGCAUAGGGCUUGACACCGUAGAUGUAGGGCCCUUAGAAUACCAGGAUUGUGCCAAGUUAGGCCCUCUAUGGGUGUUUCUUCUGAUGAUGAAGUCCUAAAGAGCAUUUUGCUAGCAUCCAAGGGUAUGUCUAGCCCUAGACACUAAAAAUGGCCCUAGGGCCCACCGCAGACCAAAGGAAGCCUAUAGGUGGGACCAUUCUUCCUACAUACACAUAAUAGAAUGGGUCUAUCGUGCAUGCAUAGAAGAAUGUAUGCUUCAACCAUCUCAACCUAUGGUCAAUGCAUCAAACAGUAGUCAUGUUGCAUGACUCCCAAACGGCAAUGGUCGUGUGACACUUCUGGUGUUGUGCCUAGUAGUUGUAAGAGGGGAGAGAAGGGCGCCUUGAAUCUUAUGUGUGUGGUUUCAUCUUCUUUUUCCUUCACUACUCCACACAAUCCACCUCACUUGCUAUCAAUCACUCUCCCUCUUUCCCAUAGAUGCCUCCAACUUAUCAUAAUCAUCCCAUCCCCCAGAUUCAUUAUGAUGUCAUGGCAGCUACCUCCCUGAGCACAUGAAUCCUGAACUAGGAGGGGAUGUACAUGGUGUGUCGGUUCCUCAAGUGGACCUCACCACUAGAAUUUACAAUGUGUGAGUGAUAUCAUUCCACCGUGCAUUCCAUGAGAGAGUGCAAGAGGGUACAUCUUCUACUCCUUCAUGAUAGUGGGGAUGAGCUUCCCCUUGUCAUGAUUCUUCCUCCAUGUCCUAGAGUUAUAUAGCCUCUAGAUCGAGCACCUCACCCUAACUCCAUCUUCGCCCUAUCGACCUUUGCAUAUAUGUGAGAUGCGUUCAUGGGGAUGAGGCUUUCCAUGGUGUUGUGUUAACACUUGUUUGUCUAUUGGGUAAGGGAUACUACUUGUAGUUCCACUCAAGCCCAAAGCCCCAAAUGCCUAACAACUUGCUCGACCUCGGCGAUAAGUGGGGGCACUCGAGACAAGGAUGUACAUCAUUAUCACUCUUGAAGCCCACAUGGAGAUGCUAAUGAGGGUGCCAGUAAGCAAGAAGAUUCGAUAAGAGAUGUCAGAGAUGGACGCUGAAGGAUCAAAUCAGGCAACUAGAGGGGUGAAUGAGAACUAAUAAAAAUCUUUGAUCAAAGGUAAUCUUGGCCUAAUCAUCCAAGACACCAAAAUAGUUAAUAGAGAUACUUAAGAGUCAAUUGGUCGCUAGAUAUUCUUGGUGUUGACCAAUAAACACAACGAAGCACUCAAAACGGCUAGGAAUGAGUAUGCGGGGAAACACUCCAAAAUCGAGAAAUUGAGCUUAUUACUUUAGUGAAAAUAAAUAAGAUGCUCAAACAAGAACACCUCAACCAACCAGUGAUUGGAUGUUUUGGAAAAGUUUUUGAAGCAUGCACAAACUCAAAAAACCAACACUCGAAAGUCCAAGUGGACAAAAUAGUGACAUGGUGUAACAUUCCAAAAUUCCAACCCAAGGUUUGGAACCCAAAUCUCCUAACCCCCCUUUUUAUCUCUCUCUAAAUUCCACCUCAUAGGACAUCUCAUCAUAUGCAUACACUUUGAUUGUUAGAAGCACCUCACAUAGAUGAUCAUUUUUCUUUUUAGCACCUAAGAUUAUUUAGCUAAUUAUUUGUUCAAAAGAAAAGGAGAUAAGAGAAAUAGAAAUAGAAAAUAGAAAAGAAAAAGGAAAAACCUUCUCCCCUCGAUUGGGCCAUUUCUGGCCCAGCUCCCUCCCGCGCGCCUCGCCCCCCCUUCCCUGGCCCACGCGGCCCAGCUCCCUCCCGCGCGCCGUGCCACUCCCCCGUUGACCGGUCGGCCCCACCCGUCAGCCCGCACCCCCUCGCUCUCUCGCGAUCUCUCUCUGGCGAGCGGGCCCCGCCCGUCAGCGCCCUCCUCGCGUCCGUGACCGGGGCUAGCGACGUGAUCGCCGCCGGCCACUGCCCGCCCUGUCGCCUCGCCAUUAUCGCGUUCACCAGCUCAGUUUGGCGCCUUGCUGUUUGGUUAUAAUCAUUUUGAUCUGGAAAACUAACAUUUAUUCUUAUUUUGUUAUAUGCCGCAUGUUUGUGAGCAGAGUGAAGGUAACACUGCAUUUGCGUGACUUAUAAGCCUGCAAUAGGAACAUGGAUAGUUUUUUAAUGGAAAUGCUUGUUUCUUCAGGGGCAAGAUGUUGCUUUUGAGCCAGCAAAGCUUCUCUGGCUUAUCCAGAGGGAUUUCCUCCGUAAGUUGCUUCAAGAAUGGUUCUCCAUAUUAUGAUUUUAAACAGUUCCAUUUUGUUUGAGAAUGCAACAUGUCAACCUUUGGACUGACAUCCUUUAUGAAUUUUGAUUUUUUCUGCAAUCUGCACAACAUGUAAUCUUAACCACAUAGAAUAGCAUGUAAUCAAUUCAUUUGGGCAUCAAUAUGCGUUUACUUGUCCUAGGUGUCUGUUGGAAAAGACUUGUGAAAGCUCUUGCUACUAUCUCCAAACUUUGAUGUACUUCUAGUGUUUAACUAUUUGUUACUUGUUAGACUAUGUUGCACUAACUUAACCCACAGUGGCUUGCUAAAUCAAUGGGCUUAUUAGUCAAUAACUGCUGCUUGUUACACUAUAUUAAUACUUGUUAUUUGUAGUUUCUACCGUAUUAUAGUGUUUAAUUAUGUGUAGAUUAAAUACAUCAUAACAUGAUGUUUUUGUUCAAAAUAUAAGUUCUUAUUUCAUUGGAGUUGUGCCCUUAUUCCCUAUCAUUCUCUUAUAAUUGGUGAGCUAUAUUUACCUGUGCUUAAUACAAAAAAAAUCACUAAGAGUGGUCACUUUGACAUUGGAAACAGAAGGAAAAUCUGUUCAACAAAUGGUCAAUGAAGCCCUUCAACGGGUGCCUAAUGAUAAUGGUCAGCUCAAACAACAUGACUAUUUCUAACUUUGUGUUAUUUGAGCAUCUAUUAGAAAGGCCUCACUCUUUUUUGUAUUUAUUUCUGCAGGUGACAAAUAUAUUGAUGAGGUGUAGUUUGUGUAUGAAAUCUAGUAAUAUACACUUUUGAACCAAAAGUUGUUAGUUCUAAGCUCAGUUACAAAUUCUUUCUGUAUUUUUAGGUCAAUCAAAUACGAGAUUCGUUGGCAGUUAUGGGGAACAACAGCACUGCUUUUAGCUUGCCUCAGGUGCAUCUCUGAUAAUUUGCUUGCAACGUCUAACUUGCAGUUAUUUAAUUUAUCUUUGACUGCUCAACAGAACAUUAUAUGUUGUUAUGUAAUUGUGAAAGAGCCUCUAGCCGAGUUGGUUAGGUGGUCUGAGUAGCAUUGCUUAGGUUAUGAGUUCGACUCCCCGUGAGAGCGAAUUUUAGGUUGUGGUUAAAAAAUCACAUUGUUUGUACCACGCCAAAGCACAGGUCUACGGCCUGGUCCCGAUCGUGGUCGUUUCUCACAUGGGCUACGGUGCCGCUGUGUAUGGGUGGGGCAGGGGUUCGGGGGGUUUUCUCGAUCUGCGUGAGAAGGUUUAAUAUAAUGCCUGUGGGCUGUCUUACCCCCGCAGGUCGAGUUUUUUUUAUAUGUAGUUAUGUAAUUGCUACAAUUUAUCUUGUACUGUACCGAUCAAUGUUCAUGCUUCUGCGUUGUGCUUUGUAACCUGCAAACCAUAUGAACACUGAUUUUGUUUAUACAGCCGCAUCUUCAAAGAACAAAAUUAUGUGAUAUGGAGGACAAAGAACUUGAACCCUUAUAUGUAAAACGGCGGGAGCAAUUAAAGCAGCUUGUUUCGUCUAUUGUAAAACCAAAAAUUGUGCAGGGCAGAACUCUAAAUGGGAAGGACUUUGUGUCUUUCUUGCAGCAGGUAAAAUACUUAAUGAUGUGGUUGCUGAUAUGUAUCUGAUCAGUUAGAAUUAUCAGUAACUUUUCCUCCUGUCUCCUCUGUUUCAGAUUCUUGAGGCUUUGAAUAAAGGCGAAAUUCCAUCAACAGGGUCUCUAGUUGAAAUUUUUAACAAAGCCAUUCUUGAUCGCUGUCUGAAGGUGUACAGGGAGAAAAUGGAUGGCUUAGGCCUACCAGUACCGGUAGACAAACUGCAGAAACUUCAUGAGAUGGCAAAUGGUGAUGCUAGAAUUCUCUUUGAUAAGCAGCACUUUGGCAAACAUCAUGCUGCUCAGUCAGCACUCAAGCUUGAAGAUGAUAUUAAAAAGGUUAAUAUUUUUUACUCUUUUUGAAUGGUCACUACUACAAGUUGAAUUUUUGUCGCAUGUUGUGAAUAAUGUUUUGGUAUCCUAUAUCCUUGCUGUAGCUCCUGUCUUUCUUUCCGUUGGUUUUGGAACGCCACUGAAACUCUGUGUCAUCUCUUACAUGCCUUCAACUCAACUUAUACCUGUAGAAGAUAAUAAGUUUUACAUACUUACAGGAUGUACUUUGUAGGUGUACAGAAACUUACUUCUAGCUAAUGAAUAUCAAUCGUCAAAGCUGUGUGAAGCUCGCUUUUCUGAGUGUGAAGAUAAGAUGGAUCACCUUCAAGUCUUGAAACUUCCUUCGAUGGCAAAAUUCAAUGCAGGCUUUACUCACUGCAACCAAAGUUUCGUAAAGGAAUGUGUUGGACCUUCAAAAGAAAGCUAUGAACGUAGAAUGUCAAAGGUUUGCCUGUUAAUUCUGAAUACAGUUGUCAUGUCAGUUACCAAAGGUUUGCCUGUUAUUAUGCAUUUGCAGCCUAGUUUCCAACGACAAACCAGCCUUCUUUUAUUCUUAUUUUUGGUUGCUGUCAUCUUAAAUUUCGUUUCAUUUCAUCUGUCUACAACUCCACAUGAUGAAAUUCAGUUACUUCUAUAUUGGUAUCAAAUUUUCCCCUGUAGAUUGAUAGAUUUGUUUUGGUACCUGAUGACACUUAUGUUGUGAACUGCGAUGCACUCGCAAGAUAGUCCUGGUACUCAGCCCUCCCGUAGGAGGCCCUAAGAGUAAACCAGAUCUAUUCUUCUUGCCUAUCCCUACUAACACCCUGCCCCUCCUUAUGUAGAGAGGUAGCCCUAACUUAAUAGCUAAGCAACAUAACAAACCUUAUUUGGCUAGCACUGUUCACGCGCUAAUGGACUAGUUUCACACAGCUACAGUACUGUUCACGCGCUAAGCAACGUAACCCUACAGAACCGCACGUGAACAGUGUUCACGGCUAACCUAACCCUAGUGAUCUAGCUAAUGGGCUUAAGGCCCAUAACAGCCCAUAACACACUAAGAUAUUUUUUACCUGUAAUUAUCAAAAUAAACAUAUAAGCUAGUAAAAGAUGCACAAGCAGUAACAUAAAUAACCACGUUUAGACUUUAGUGUGGAAGGAGGGAACCCGUGCUGUAGUUAUCCUGUGCAUUGAUAUCUUCUAUGGUAUUGCGAUUUCUACUCAAGUAUGUGCUCUGUUUGGUUGCUUUUACUCUUUAAAACUUGUUGUGGUUUGCAUGGAGCCAUGGACUAAGCUCCAGUUUGAUGCUGUGUUUAGAUGCUUGCCAAGUCUCGUGCUCUUUUCAUCAAGGAGUACAAUAACAAGCUUUUCAAUUGGUUGGUGACCUUCUCUUUGGUCAUGGUGGUCAUCGGGCGCUUUGUCAUCAAGUUCUUCCUACUUGAAAUCGCCGCCUGGGUGAUGUUCAUCUUCCUAGAGACGUACACGAGAAUGUUCUGGUCAGCGGAAUCGCUGUACUAUAAUCCAGCUUGGCACAUCAUUGUUUCUUCCUGGGAAACCAUCGUGUACAGCCCAAUUCUUGAUCUGGACAGGUAGUCUCCUUGCUCCUAACUGUAUAUAUUGGCAUGCUACUCUGUCUGACUAAAGCCCUGUUUAGAAGCAUCCGGAUUUUAAGAAACUGGUUUAUAUAUAAAUUGGGGUGGUUCUAAACAUACCAGUUUAUAACCCAGUUUAUAGAAAUUAGAUUCUCAGUUUUUUAAAAACCAAGAAGCUAGCAUCUCCUAACUAAAAGAUAAAAACUGGGUCUAACAUGUAAUUCUUUGCACAGAUGGGCCGUCCCAAUUGUCAUAAUGCUAUUAUUUGGGGUUCUUUACUGGAGAUGCUUCGGUGGUAGAAGGAAGCGGGGAAGGGGUUCGCUCCUCCCAUUGUACAAGAAUUCUUAUAACUCGAGUCGUCGCUCCAGAUCAGACUAGUUAUACACGCAAUGCUCAAGUUUUUUUCUUUUAAAGAAUGGUACAAAAUAUCUGCCUGUAGAAGAGGCUAAACUGCCGAAUGUGGAUCAUCUGUAAGUGCUUUUGGAUGGGCAUGUUUUGAUGGUGCCCUGCCAAUGUAUCUCCAAUUCUUUUUGGUGGAUGAAGAGAGGCGGUGAAGCUGCUAGUAUGGGGCGGGGCACCUGCACAAAGCCUCUGUUGUAAUUCAUACCAGGGUACUUUUUCCGUAGCUAGAUUAUCCUUACAUGUCACGGUCCCAAUUGAUUGAUUAUUGUUUACGUCCACUGCAAAUUUUUUUGGCAAGAAUUUUGUUUUUUAACGUCAUAGAUAGAAGGUAGCUGUUAGAGCGUGUACCGUGUCAAUCAUAUGCUCAAAGUUAUAAUCUGGUGGUGGAAUUUGGAAACGUUCCUUGUUUAUACUGUUGUUAUACAGUUUAUAUCCACAUAUAUGCUAUACUCUGGCUAGGAGCUGUGUUGUGUUUAUGUUUUGCAUUAAGCCAGUGGCACUCAGAACUAGCGAGAGGCAGAGCGUGCUCUUCGAUGGAAACCGAACUUGCUGUGUCCACUGCAAUGUGUAGCAGACAGCAGUUGGCAUAGUACACGUCACAUGGACACCAGAGAUCCACAUGGAGAACGAACAAUAAAUCAAUAGCAGUAGACCCGUAAGUCCACAACGAACGAAUGCGCAUCGCAGCAUUAGCAAUGUCCACUACAAAGUAUGUGAAACUGUUAAUUUAUCAUAUUCUUUGCCGUGGGCAUCACUGCAUCAGGGCCUUUAUCAUAUCCGAUGGAGUAGGAACCUAGGAGGUCGACCCCGAUGAAGCCGGGCCUCCGCACAUCCUCUUCUGGAGGUGCUCCAGGCUCGCCACCCGCUGCAGCGAGUCAGUGCUGCCCAUCUUGCCGGCGACCUGAGCCCCGUUGACGAAAUCGUCGUCCUCUUGAGCCGAGGAAGCUAUAUCUGGCAUGUAACCGUUGCUGCCUCCGAUCUCGCUUGGAUUGGCGAAGUAACUGUUCAGGUCAUCUUGGAUGGGUACGGCGGCAUCAGAGGCGGAGUCGGAUGGGGAGCCAUUGAAUGGCAUGCUGAGGGACGACAUAUCAGACACGGCAGGGAACAAUGUGUUCAUGCCAGUUACCCGCUUCACUGAGUCCUCUGCCA